This 94755-nucleotide long non-coding RNA is filed under the name Homo sapiens (human). RNAcentral's name for it is "non-protein coding lnc-FAM174A-6:7". The record is from RNAcentral. Lineage: Eukaryota; Metazoa; Chordata; Mammalia; Primates; Hominidae.
AGUGCUACGCGCCUGCGAGCUCGCGCACAUACACAUAUACAUACAUACACACAUACAUACAUAUGCACACACACGUACACGCAGAAUCACACACACUCUCCUGGGACAUCAAAGCAUCAGCUCUCUGGACCUGGGAGCUCCAAGAUAGUCUAUCCGCAUCUAGGUGAGAGGGCACCUCGCCUGGGGACAGAUUACAAAAGCGUCCCGCCAGAGGAAUGCUUCAGGUAGAGCUAGGGGUGGAUUGCAAGAAGAGUACCUUCUUUCAAUCGCUUUUGCUAAACACACACCCUCACACGCAAAAACACGCCCUCCAAGGUGGAGUGAAACGGGGUGCGGGGGUGGGGACGGCGGUGGAAGGAAGAAGACUUUUAUUACUCAAUCUGGAAAGUGCAAAUACACACAUGAACCUGUUAGCCGAUGGGCCCACUCUGCAUGGGUGGUGGACGACGACCCUGGCUCAGGAUUCUGCAGGAAACAAGUGAUGAUAGAGGUGUCAUUAGGAACUUUAUGGAUAUUUAUGCGCCUCCCUUUCAUUGCCAUUUGGAAACUCCUCACGCAGAAGUCAAGGAAACUCCAAUCCCACUUAAACUUCAUUGCGGAGAAACAGAGUUCUGAAAAAAAAGCAGCUACCAUGGACCUCUCUUUUAAACGCAAGUACACCCACACACAUUCGGAUACCAAGGAAGGAAGGAAAGAAAGAAAGGAAAGAAAAGGGAGGGGAGGAAGGAAGAGCAAAGUCCUCUCUAAAAGUCUCAAUUAUAUAUAUAGCCUCUGAUUGUCACCUCUCCUCCGUCCCACCAUUUUUCGUACUUGUAUUGGGUGGCAGGGACACUUUUCAAGAGUUCUGUGUUCGAUUGUUCACUCUGAGUACCUCUCCACCAUCCUCCAGUCGUUGCCCUCAUUGGGAGAGAUGCUUGCUACUCUGCUAGUACCACGCCUUGGUUCCGGUCUUUACUGUUGGCUGGUAGGUCGGGAGGCACCUCUAGCAUGAGACAGUGUCUGGAAGCCAGGAUUUCCCUCAUCUAUAUGCGCCGGUCCCCAGCUCCCUGGUCGCCAGGGUUUCUCUCCAGUUGAAUUCCGUGUUCCUUCAGGUUGAACAGUAGCUUCAGCGGUUUUUCACGCUCAGAAAUGAUGAGGCCCAAUUCCAAUCUUCCCUCCCGCCGGAAGUAAGAAGGGGAAUUCUGAGUUGCUUGUCGCCUGACAGCUUAAAAUAGCAACGAAAACAGCCAGCAUCUUUGCUUAAAAACCCAAGGUUCCCGCCAGUGUUUACCAUACUUCCUCUAGAGUUUAAGAAGUUAAGAACUUCCGAGAUCUUGAAUUUCCUCUUUGCAGCACAGCGAACGGGAGUGUGGAACAGUCUUCUGUAAUGAGAAAGCCACAAGAAAAUCUUCAAGAGGAAAAUAUCCAUGGCUGUGGAUCAACUUCUGUGGCUCUGUUCCCCUUGUCUUCUCACACCAGAUUCCAGCCUCUUCAAGAAGUGGUCCUUAUUUGGGACAUCUAGCAAGACAGACCUGUCAGAAACACUUGAUGCCUUCUGAAGUUUUUCUUUUUCUUCUCAGAUGUUUCUAUACGCUAUAUUCCCUCACAUUCCAUUGGCUAAAGCUUGAAAUGUGGCCAGGCCCUAAAUCAAUGGGACAAUAAUGUAGUACCUCUUUAAGGAGGUCUCUAUAGGCCGCAUGUCAAUAAAUGAUUCAGGAUAAAGCCCUUACUAGAAAGAGAACAGAGCAAAAAUUGAGCGGCAAAAAUAAGAUCUACCGCUGGAAGGUGGUACUGAUCCCUCACACAAGUUAUGAAAAUGUGGUGGAUAAAUCAUUGAGAAACUAAUAUUCAGGAGAUAAAUCCACACUUUUUAAAGAGACAUGUAUCUGUCAUGAAUAAAAUCCAAAUGCUGACGAUGUCUUCAGGGUCCAAGAGGAUAGAGGAUUUAAGAAAAGAAUAAAUGUCAGGAAUACUUUUUUUCUGAAAAAGUCUAGAAAAUAAAAACAAAUGAAACAAUGAGAAUAAUACUGUUGUAAAAAGAAGGUAGUUAAUUAAUAUCUCUAAAAUUCUCAUAAGUGACAAUUCUUUUAUGGUAAAAUUUCCGUGAUCCGACGUCUGGCCACCAAAUUUACUGACUAAGGUACAUGAUUCUAUCAUCACUCCACAAAUGUUCCAUAUAUCAAAGGGCAGACAGGUAUUAUUAAACCCAUGAAGCAAAGAGCAUGUUUUAUUCAUCUCAGGAUGGAGAUAGUUCUGCCAGAUGUCUAAGUGUAUUUGAAGGCUGAUGGCCAAAGCUCUCUUUCCAUAAAAAAGUGGUGAACUAGCAGCUGCCAAAACCUGUAUCUUCAAGUUUCUUUUCUAUAGGAUUACUGGUUUAAUCUUAAUACUUUCUGAUUGACCCAUUUAUUGUUUAGCUUUCUUAAUCCAUAUAAUCAGGUUGCAUUUAUGUGUUCACAGCAUGAAGCUAUCCUGUCUCAUAUAACAUUGUAUCUCUGAUCUUUAAUUUUAAAAUUUCUCCCCCCAAAAGCAACCACUAUUGCCUGGCACAGUGUGGUUCAUGCCUAUAAUCCCAAGCCUGUAAUCCCAGCAGUUUGGGAGGCCGAGGCAGGCAGAUCACUAGGUCAGAAGAUCGAGGCCAUCCUGACCAAUAUGGUAAAACCCCAUCUCUACUAAAAUACAAAAACACAAAAAACAAAACAAAACAAGAAUUAGCCAGGUGUGGUGGAACAUGCCUGUAGUCCCAGCUGCUUGGGAGGCUGAGGCAGGGGAAUCACUUGAACCUGGGAGGCAGAGGCUGCAGUGAGCUGAGAUCGCGCCACUGCACUCCAGCCUGGUGACAGAGUGAGACUCCAUAUCAAAAAAAAAAAAAAAAAGCAACCAAUAUUCCCACUCCUUUCCUAAAAUUUAGAGGGUUCACCUUCCAGAGAACUGAUAUCUUAUUUACAUAUUCCCAAAUCUUAAAUUUAGAGAAAACUUCCCCUUAGUUAUAACACCUCAAUUAAUUAAUAAUGUUUAUAUUUGAGAGAUAGACUUCAAGAAAUCUUGGAUAUCACAUUAAUAAUCCAAAAUGUCUCAAUGAUCAAGGCAGAAAGACUUAGAGAGCAAUGAGCUAUGAGCAUAAAGGUGUUCACAAAGGUAUGAUAAUGAGUUUGGUUAUCCUUUCUCAUUGUCCACUCUAGACUUUAGCCAGAAUCAUUUUUUUCUCUUUUUUUUAAAUUAUACUUUAAGUUCUAGGGUACAUGUGCACAACGUGCAGGUUUGUUACAUAUGUAUACAUGUGCCAUGUUGGUGUGCUGCACCCAUUAACUCAUCAUUUAGCAUUAGGUAUAUCUCCUAAUGCUAUCCCUCCCGGCUCCCCCCACCCCACAACAGGCCCUGGUGUGUGAUGUCCCCCAACCUGUGUCCAAGUGUUCUCAAUGUUCAACUCCCACUUAUGAGUGAGAACAUGCGGUGUUUGGUUUUCUGUCCUUGUGAUAGUUUGCUAAGAAUGAUGGUUUACAGCUUCAUCCACAUCCCUGCAAAGGACAUGAACGCAUCCUUUUUUAUGGUUGCAUAGUAUUCCAUGGUGUACAUGUGCCAUAUUUUCUUAAUCCAGUCUAUCACUGAUGGACAUUUGGGUUGGUUCCAAGUCUUUGCUAUUGUGAAUAGUGCUGCAUUAAACAUACGUGCAUUAAACAUACAUGUGCAUGUGUCUUUAUAGUAGCAUGAUUUAUAAUCCUUUGGGUAUAUGCCCAGUAAUGGGAUGGCUGGGUCAAAUGGUAUUUCUAGUUCUAGAUCCCUGAGGAAUUGCAACACUGUCUUCCACAAUGGUUGAACUAGUUUACAAUCCCACCAACAGUGUAAAAGUGUUCCUAUUUCUCCACAUCCUCUUCAGCACCUGUUGUUUCCUGACUUUUUAAUGAUUGCCAUUCUAACUGGUGUGAGAUGGUAUCUCAUUGUGGUUUUGAUUUGCAUUUCUAUGAUAGCCAGUAAUGAUGAGCAUUUUUUCGUGUGUCGGUUGGCUGCAUAAAUAUCUUCUUUUGAAAAGCAUCUGUUCAUAUCCUUCACCCACUUUUUGAUGGGGUUGUUUGAUUUUUUUCUUGUAAAUUUGUUUAAGUUCUUUGUCAAUUCUGGAUAUUAGCCCUUUGUCAGAUGGGUAGAUUACAAAAAUUUUCUCCCAUUCUGUAGGUUGACUGUUUCUGAUGGUAGAUUAUUUUGCUGUGCAGAAGCUCUUUAGUUUAAUUAGAUUCCAUUUGUCUAUUUUGGCUUUUGUUGCCAUUGCUUUUGGUGUUUUAGACAUGAAGUCCUUGUCCAUGCCUAUGUCCUGAAUGGUAUUGCCUAUGUUUUCUUCUAGGGUUUUUAUGGUUUUAGGUCUGACAUUUAAGACUUUAAUCCAUCUUGAAUUAAUUUCUGUAUAAGGUGUUAGGAAGGGAUCCAGUUUCAGCUUUCUACAUAUGGCUAGCCAUUUUUUUCCCAGCACCAUUUAUUAAAUAGGGAAUCCUUUCCCCAAUUCUUCUUUUUGCCAGGUUUGUCAAAGAUCAGAUGGUUGUAAAUGUGUGGUAUUAUUUCUGAGGCCUCUGUUCUGUUCCAUUGGUCUAUAUCUCUGUGUUGGUACCAGUACCAUACUGUUUUGGUUACUGUAGCCUUGUAGUAUAGUUUGAAGUCAGGUAGCGUGAUGCCUCCAGCUUUGUUCUUUUGGCUUAGGAUUGUCUUGGCAAUGCAGGAUCUUUUUCAUCUCAUAUGAACUUUAAAGUAAUCUUUUCCAAUUCUGUGGAGAAAGUCAUUGGUAGCUUGAUAGGGAUGGCAUUGAAUCUAUAAAUUACCUUGGGCAGUAUGGCCAUUUUCACCAUAUUGAUUCUUCCUAUCCAUGAGCAUGGGAUGUUCUUCCAUUUGCUUCUGUCCUCUUUUAUUUUAUUGAGCAGUGGUUUGUAGUUCUCCUUGAAGAGGUCCUUCACCUCCCUUGUAAGUUGGAUUCCUAGGUAUUUUAUUCUCUUUGAAGCAAUUGUGAAUGGGAGUUCACUCAUGAUUUGGCUCUCUGUUUGUCUGUUAUUGGUGUAUAGGAAUGCUUGUGAUUUUUGCACAUUGAUUUUGUGUCCUGAGACUUUGCUGAAGUUGCUUAUCAGCUUAAGGAGAUUUUGGGCUGAGACGAUGGGGUUUUCUAAAUAUACAAUCAUGUCAUCUGCAAACAGGGACAAUUUGGCUUCCUCUUUUCCUAAUGGAAUACCCCUUAUUUCUUUCUCCUGCCUGAUUGCCCUGGCCAGAACUUCCAACAUUAUGUUGAAUAGGAGUGGUGAGAGAGGGCGUCCCUGUCUUGUGCCAGUUUUCAAAGGGAAUGCUUCCAGUUUUGCCCAUUCAGUAUGAUAUCGGCUGUGGGUUUGUCAUAAAUAGCUCUUAUUAUUUUGAGAUACAUCAUCAGGGAUAUUGGUCUAAAAUUAUCUUUUUUUGUUGUGUCUCUGCCAUUGCCAGAAUCAUUUUUACUUUUGGGUAAUAAUUUGCAAUCAGUGAAGUGUACCGUUCUUAAGUGUUCAAUGUAAUAAUUUUGGUAAAAUCUGUAAGCAAUAAAUAACACUUUGAUCAAAGCAUAGACUAUUUUCAUCAUCCCAGAAUAUCCCUUUUUCCCUCUCCCUAGUAAACCCCAUCUAUCAUAAACGAUCAUUCUCUAUUAUUUAUCUCACCAUAAAUAUUUACCUGUUCUUGAGCUCCAUAAAAAUUGAUGUAUGCAGUAUCUGUUGUUUGAGAUCUAUGUUUUGAGUGUUCUCAAUGUUGUGGUUUUUAGCAGUUCAUUUGCCAAAAAAAUAUUGUUUGGUAUUCUAUUGAAUAAAUAUACCUCAGCUUGAUCAUUUAUUUUCUUGUUGAUGGAUAGUUGGGGUUAUUUUCAGUUUGAGGCUUUUAUAGAUAAACUUAGAACUUUGCAAGUCUUUUGUGGAAAAAAGAUAUUCAUUUCUCUUGGAAAAUAUUUUUAUUUUCAGGGGUGAUAAUGUUUGGUCAUUUAAUACGUGUGUGUGUGUGUGUGUGUGUGUUUGUGUGUGUUUCACUCCCCCAUCAUUGUAUUAAAGUUCUAGCUAUUCCACAUUAUCACCGACAUUUGAUAUUUUCAGUCUUUUUCCCAAUUUUGUACCUUCUAUUGAAUGUGAAGUAUUAUCUCAUUAUGUUCUUGGCCAUUUGUGUAUAUUCAUCUUUGAAAUUUCUGUAAAGAAAUGCACCUAUUUUUAUUGUGUCUGUUUUCUUUUUAUUAUUGAGUUAUAGGAGCUCUUUAUACAAUCCGGACAAAAUAUAAGGUUGUAAAAGCAAUGUGAUUUUAAUGACAUUACUUCUAAUGGCAAAAACUGCAGUAAGUUGCACCAAUUUAAUACUUCAUCACAUAUACCUAUUCUAAGUAUUUUUCCCUAAUCUAAAGCUUCCCUUUUCAUUUCCUUAGAGCGGCAUAAGAAUGAGCAGAUGUUUUAAAUUUGGUAAAGUUCAAUUUAUCAGCUUUUCUUCUAUGGCUUGCGUUUUUUGUGUCCUGUCUAAAAACCCCUUUGCUCUCCACAGAGUUGUGUGUGUGUGUGUGUGUGUGUGUGUGUGUAUAUACAUAUACACAUAUACGCACACAUAUUCUACUUCAGAAUUUUAGGUUCAAUAUCAAGGCCUGUUAUCCUUUUCAAAUUAAUGUUUGUAUGUUAUAUAUUAUUGGUUAAGAUAUAUUUUGUCCAUAUAAACAUUGAGUUGUUUCAGCACUAUUUAUGCAAAAUACAUUCUGUUCUCCCUUAAUUGUUUUGACAUUUUCAUUAAAACCCACUUGGCCAUGAGUAAAACUAUUUCCAGAAUUUGUAUUUUAUUUUAUUGAUAUAUCUGUUAAUUGUUAUACAAGCAUAAUACUAUUUUGAUUAAUGUAGCUUAAUAGUAAGUCUUAAAAUCAGUAGAAUGUAUCCUCCAUUUAUUUUAUUCUCCAAAAAUUUUGUUUUCCUAGGUUCUUUGCAUUUCCAUACACAUUUUAGAAUCAGUUCAUCAAUUUCUUUAAAAAACAAACAAAAGCCUGUUAUUAUUUUGAUUGGGAUUGCAAUGAAUAUAUAAAUCCAUUUGUGGAGAAAAGACACCUUGACAACAUCAAGUUUUCUAAUCCAUAAUCAUGGCGUAUUUUUCCAUUUAUUUAGGUUUUAAUUUAUCUCAGCUAUGUUUUAAACUUUUUAAUGGAGAUGUCUUCCACAUUUUAUGUUAAAUUUAUUUCUAAACAUUUUUUAAAUACUACUUUGAAUGGUAAUUUUAAGCUGUUAUUUUUCAAUUCUUUCUUGCUAUUAAAUAGAAAUAUAACUUUUUAAAAGGCAUUAACCUUGCAUUCAAUAAUAAAUCUAAAAUUAUUUAUUAGUUUCUUUGUCCACAGUUUCUUUAUCCACUCGUUGAUUGAUGGGCAUUUGGGUUGGUUCCACAUUUUUACAAUUGUGAAUUGUGUUGCUAUAAACAUCUGUGUGCAAGUAUCUCUUUUACAUAAUGAUUUCUUUUCCUCUGGAUAGAUACCCAGUAGUGGGAUUGCUGGAUCAAAUGGAAGUUCUACUUUUAGUUCUUUAGGGAAUCUCCACACUGUUUUCCAUAGUGGUUUUACUAGUUUACAUUCCCACUAGCAGUGUAGAAGUGUCCCCUGUUCACUGCAUCUAUGCCAACAUCUAUUAUUUUUUGUUUUUUUGAACAUGGCCAUUCUUACAGGAGUAAGGUGGUAUAGCACUGUGGUUUUGAUUUGCAUUUCCCUAAUCAUUAGUGAUAUUGAGCAUUUUUUCAUGUUUUUUGGCCAUUUGUAUAUCUUCUUUUGAGAAUUGUCUAUGCAUGUCCUUUGCCCAUGUUUUGAUGAGAUUGUUUGUUUCUUCUUCUUGCUAAUUUGUUUGAGUUCAUUGUAGAUUCUGAAUAUUAAUUAGUCUUUUGUCAGAUGGAUAUAUUGUGAAGAUUUUCUCCCACUCUGAGGUUGUCUAAGUACUCUGCUGACUGUUCCUUUUGCCAUGCAAAAUUCUUUUGCUUAAUUAAGUCCCAGGUCAAAUGGAUAGACUGUGAAGAUUUUUUCCCACUCUGGGGGUUGUCCAUUUACUCUGCUGACUAUUCCUUUUGCCAUGCAAAAGCUCUUCUGUUUAAAAGUCCUAGCUACUUAUCUUUGUUUUUAUUGCAUUUGCUUUUGGGUGCUUGGUCAUGAAACCCUUGCCUAAGCCAAUGUCUAGAAGGGUUUUUCUGAUGUUAUCUUCUAGAAUUUUUACAGUUCCAGGUCUUAGAUUUAAGUGUUUGAUCCACUUUGAGUUGAUUUUUGUAUAAGGUGAAAGAUGAGGAUCCAGUUUCACUCUCCUACACGUUGCUCGCCAAUGAUCCCAGCACCAUUUGUUGAAUAGGGUGUUCUUUUCUCACUUUAUGCUUUGCUUUAUGGUUUGCUUUGUCAAAGAUCAACUGGCUGUAAGUAUUUGGGUUUAUUUCUGGGUUCUCUAUUCUGUUCUAUUUGUCUAUGCCUAUUUUUAUACCAGUAUCAUGCUGUUUUGGUGACUAUGGCCUUAUGGUAUAGUUUGAAAUCAGGUAAUGUGAUGCCUUCAGAUUUGUUCUUUUUGCUUAGUCUUACUUUGACUAUGCAGGCUCUUUUUUGGUUUCAUAUGAAUUUUAGGAUUUUUUUUUCUAUUUCUAUGAAGAAUGAUGGUGGUAUUUUGAUGGGAAUUGCAUUAAAUUUGUAGAUUGCUUUUGGCAGUAUGGUCAUUUGCACAAUAGGGUUUCUACCUAUCCAGGAGCAUAGGAUGUGUUUCUAUGUUUAUGUUGUCUAUGAUUUCUUUCAGCAGUGUUUUGUAGUUUUCCUUGUAGGGAUCUUUCACCUUCUUGGAUAAGUAUAUUCCUAAGUAUUUUUUUUUUUGCAGCUAUUGUAAAAGAGAUUGAAUUUUUGAUUUGAUUCUCUGCUUGGUCAUUGUCAGUGUACAGAAGAUCUACAAAUUUGUGUACAUUAAUUUUGUAUCCUGAAACUUUGCUGAAUUAAUUUAUGAGUUCUAGGAGCUUUUUGGAUGAGUCUUUAGGAUUUUCUAGGUAUAAAAUCAUAUCAUUAGCCAAUAGUGAGAAUUUGAUUUCCUCUUUACCCAUUUGGAUGCUCUUUAUUUCUUUCUCUUGUCUGAUUGCUCUGGCUGGGACUUCUAGUACUAUGUUGAAAAGAAGUGGUGAGAGUGGGCAUCCCUGUCUUAUUCCAGUUCUCAGAGGGAAUGUUUUCACAUUUUUCCCAUUCAGCAUUGUGUUGGCUGUGGGUUUGUCAUAGAUGGCUUUUAUUAGAUUGAGGUAUGUCCCUUCUAUGGUAAUUUUGCUGAGGAUUUUAAUCAUAAAGGGAUGCUUGAUUUUUUCAAAUGCUUUUCUGCAUCUAUUGAGAUGAUCAGGUGAUUUUUAAUUCUGUAUAUGUGGUGUAUCGCAUUUAUUGACUUCCAUAUGUUAAACCAUCCCUGGUAUGAAACCCACUUGAUCUCAGUGGAUUAUCUUUUUGAUAUGUUUUUGGAGUCGGUUAGCUAGUAUUUUGUUAAGAACUUUUGCAUCUAUAUUCAUCAGGGAUACUGGUCUGUAGUUUUUUUUGUUUUGUUUUGUUUUGUUUUUUGGUUAUGUCAUUUCUUGGUUUUGGUCUUAGGGUGAUACUAGCUUCAUAGAAUGAUUUAGGGAGGAUUAUUUCUUUCUCUAUCUUGUGGAAUAGUAUCAAUAGGAUUGGUACCAAGUCAUCUUUGAAUGCCCAGUAGAAUUCAGCUGUGAAUCCAUCUGGUCCCCAAAUUUUUUUUUUUGGUAAUUUUUUUAUUACCUUUUCAAUCUCACUGCUUGUUAUUGGUAUGUUCAGGGUAUCUAAUUCUUCCUGAUAUAAGUUAGGAGGGUUGUAUCUUUCCAGGAAUUUAUUCAUCUCUUGUAGGUUUUCUAGUUUAUGUGUGCAAAUAUGUUCACAGUAGCCUUGAAUUAUCUUUUGUAUUUCUAUGGUGUUAGUUUUAAUAUCUCCUGUUUCAUUUCUAAUUGAUCUUAUUUGGAUUUUCUCUCUUUUUUCUUGGUUAAUCUUGCUAAUAGUCCAUCAUUUUUAUUUAUCUUUUCAAAGAACCAGCUUUUUGUUUCAUUUAUCUUUUGUAUUUUUUCUUUGUUUCAAUUUCAUUUAGUUCUGCUCUGAUGUUAGUUAUUUCCUUUCUUCUGCUGGGUUUGGGUUUGGUUUGUUCUUGUUUCUCUACUUCCUUGGGGCAUGACCUUAGAUUGUCUAUUUGUGCUCUUUCAGACUUUCUGAUAUAGGCAUUUAGGACUAUGAACUUUUCUCUUAGCACUGCUUUUGAUGUAUCCCAGAGUUUUUAAUAGGUUGUGUCACUAUUAUCAUUCAGUUUGAAGAAUUUUUUAAUUUUCAUCUUGAUUUUAUUGUUGACCCAAUGAUCAUUCAGGAGCAGGUUAUUUAAUGUCCAUGUAUUUUCAUGGUUUUGAAGGUUUCUUUUGGAGUUGAUUUCCGGUUUUAUUUCACUGUGGUCUGAGAGAGUACUUGAUAUAACUUCAAUUUUCUUAACUUAUUCAACUUGUUUUGUGGCUUAUCAUAUGGUCUAUCUUGGAGAAAAUUUCAUGCACCGAUGAAAAGAAUCUAUUUUCUGUGGUUGUUAGGUAGAAUGUUCUAUAAAUAUCUGUUAAGUCUAUUUGUUCCAGAGUAUACUUGAAGUUCAUUGUUUCUUUGUUGACUUUCUGUCUUGAUGACAUGUCUAGUGCUGUAGGUGGAGUAUUGAAGCCCCCCACUAUUAUUGUGUUGCUGUCUAUCUCAUUUCUUAGGUCUAGUAGUAAGUGUAUCAUACAUUUGAGAGCUCCAGUGUUAGGCAUGUAUAUUUAGGAUUGUUAAAUCUUCCUUUUGUACAAGACCUUUUAUCAUUAUAUAAUGUCCCUCUUGUCUUUUUUAACUGCUGUUGUUUUAAAGUUUAUUUUGUUUGAUAUAAGAAUAGGUAGUCCUGCUUGCUUUUGGUGUCCAUUUGCAUGGAAUAUCUUUUUCCACCACUUUACCUUAAGUUUAUGUGAGUUCUUAUGUGUUAGGUGAGUCUCUUGAAGGAAGCAGAUAGUUGAUUUAUGAAUUAUUUUCAUUCUGCAAUUCUGUAUUUUUUAAGCAGAGCAUUUAGGCCAUUUACAUUCAACAUUAUUAUUAAGAUGUGAGGUACUAUUCCAUUAAUUGUGCUAUUUAUUGCCUGUAUACCUUGUGGGGUUUUUUUUUGUAUUUUUAUUUUAUAAGUCCUGUGAGAUUUAUGGCUUGAAAGAGAUUCUGUUUUGAUAUGUUUUCAGGAUUUGUUUCAAGAUUUAGAGCUGCUUUUAGCAGUUCUUAUAAUGCUGUCUUGGUAGUGGCAUAUUCUCUCAGCAUUUGUUUGUCUAAAAGAGACUGUAUCUUUCCUUCAUUUAUAAAGAUUAGUUUUGCUGGAUACAGAAUUCUUGGCUGAUAAUUGUUUGAGGAGACUGCAGAUGGAGCUCCAAUCCCUUUUAGGUCGUAGGGUUUCUGCUGAUAAAUCUACUGUUAAUCUAAUAUGUUUUCCUUUAUAGAUUACCUGGUGCUUUUGCCUCACAUCUCUUAAGAUUCUUUCCUUCAUCUUGACUUUAGAUAACCUGAUGACAAUGUUCCUAGCUGAUGAUCUUUUUGUGAUAAAUUUCCCAGGUGUUCUUUGAGCUUCUUGUAUUGGGAUGUCUAGGUCUCUUGCAAGGCUGGGGAAGCUUUCCUCAGCUAUUCCCCCAAAUAUGUUUUCCAAACACUUGGAUUUCUCUUCUUCCUCAGCAACACCAGUUAUUCUUGUUUGGUCACUUAACAUAAUCCCAAACUUCCUGGAGGCUUUGUUCAUUUUUUUCUUAUUCUUUUUUCUUUGUCUUUGGAUUGGGUUACUUCAAAAACCUUGCCUUCAAGCUCUGAAGUUCUUUCUCCUGCUUGUUCAAUUCUAAUGCUGAGACUUUCUAGAACAUUUUGCAUUUCUCUAAGUGUGUCCUUUAUUUCCUGAAGUUGUGAUUGUUUUCUGUUUAUGCUAUCUAUUUCACUGAAGAUUUCUCCCCUCAUUUCUUCUAUCAUUUUUUUUUCAAUUUCCUUACAUUGAACUUCAUCUUUCUCUGGUACCUCCUUGAUUAGCUUAAUAACUAACCUGAAUUCUUUUUCAGGUAAAUCAGGGAUUUCUUCUUGGUUUGGAUCCAUUGCUGGUGAGCUAGUGUGAUUUUUGGGGGUGUUAAAUAACCCUAUUUUGUCAUAUUACCAGAAUUGUGUUUCUGUUUCCUUCUUAUUUGGGUAGGCUAUUUCAGAAGGAAGGCUACUGUUCAGUUUCUUUUGUCCCACAAGGUGUUCCCUUGAUGUAGUAUGCUCCCCCUGUCCUAGGGAUGUGGCUUCCAGAGAGCUAAGCUGUAGUGAUUGUUAUCUCUCUUCUGGAUCUAGCCACCCAGCAGGUCUACCCGUUUCCAGUCUGGUCCUGGGGGAUAUCUGCACAGUGUCUUGUGAUGUGAAUGAUCUGCAGGUAUCUUAGCCAUGAAUAUCAGCAUUUGCUCUGGUGGAAGUAACAGGCAGGUGAAAUGGACUCUGUGAAGGUCUUUAGUUUUGGUUGUUUAGUGCACUAUUUUUUGUGCUAGUUGGCCUCUUGCCAGGAGGUAGGCUUUCAAGAGAGCAUCAGCUGUAGUAGUGUCCAAUCUUAAUGUCUUUUAGACAACAUGAAAUAAUGCAAAAAUAGUACCAAGAUUAGUCCAAUACAACAGUAUAAAAUUUAUAGGCACCAUGAACAAUGUACUUUAUACAAAACAAAAAGCCUCCUGAAUUCUAGAGUGGCAAGUUCUUUGAGCUGGUGUUAUGACUUGAACAUGUGCAUCCCGCAAACUCAUAUGCUAAAAUCCUAAUUCCCCAAUAUGAUGAUAUUAGGAAGUGGGGCCUUUGGAAGAUCAUAAGGGUGGAGCCCACAUGAGUGGUAUUAGCACCCUUAUAAAAGAGACCCGUAGAGCUCACUAGUUCUUUCUAUCAUGUUAGAACACAGCAAGAAGAUAGCUGUAUAUGAACCAGAAAGUAGACCUUCACCAGACAUGGAAUCUACUGGUGCCUUGAUAUUGAAAUCCUCAGCCUCCAGAACUGGAGAAAUAAAUGUUUGUUGUUUAAGCUACCCAACCUAUGAUCUAUGUUCUUUUGCUAUAGCAAUACAAACAGAUCAAGAUAGCUGGAAAUUAUUUUCAUCUUCUUAGAGAACUAUGAAUGCAUGGCUGGGGUUGGGGAAAGACUAGAAAUAGGUCACAAUAUCCUAUAUUGUGAGGGGAAAUGGCAUUAUCCUGGAGAAAUAUAAGUGUCCAACAAAUAUUUUAGUGUGCCAGAAAUCUCCCUUUAUGCUUAAUUAUGAUCACCAUGCUCUGUCAUAAAUGAAGUACUCCAGAUAUCCAGGAGAGAUUGCCAGGGACAAUGGCUUUUCGCUCGAUCAGAACUCCAGCUUCAAUUCUGUAUUACUAAUACUGUACUAAAAAUCUUCAGGUUUUUCUAGAUUUAAACAAGUCUGAGUCAUCCUGUUGACCAAUUAAGGCCUAGGCAUUGGAAUGAAUUAAAAUUAAUCAUUAUAUUAAUAUGUUAGCUGAUAAAGAUACUCUGAUUUUCUGUAAGGAUUAUGCCUUAUAUUUGGUACAGGAAACAGACUGUGAGAUGAAGACUUGAAUGAAGAAAGUUGAUUUACCAGUGCCUUUGAUAUUAAUAUCUGUGUUGGGGUGAAGGAAGGAAGUUUGGGCAGAGAAAAUGUAAACUGUGAUUCAGUCUUAACAAAAGCCUUAGCAUAUCCACAAGGAACUCUGAAUCUGAGAAAGCCUUUCAGUGUUAUCCAGCCUCGAAGCACAGGGAUCAGGUCUUGAUAUCAUUUUAUUGAUCAGUCAUAGAUUGGGUUUCUUCAGGGUACAAAUAUUACCCUGAGCAGGCAGCUCUCUUUGACUUAAGGCAAUUCAUGGAGAGGGAUUCAGCAGGGAACCAUUAUCUGUUGACAGUUCUGAAGGAGAUCUCUGGAUUGUGCACCACAGCAUCCACUAUGGUUCACCCCUUGUGCUAUCUUAGUCCACUUCCACCCUAUGAUAAAUUUCACACAUAUUUUAUGUGACGCUUAUUAGUCUAUAAUUCAAGAUAAACUUACAAAAAGAAGGGAAGUGGGAUAAAUUAUCAUCCCUGCUUCUGCAAGUGGUCUUAAGACUGAGGCUUUACCAUGUAGAUUUUCUAUCAUUAUUACCUUUCAGGACCACUACUGAUUAGGGUUGUAGUACAGCAGCUGAUUAAGCUCAACUUCCAUUAGUUGGACAAGAUAAAUUCCUAUAUUGUUAUAAAUGUAGGCAGAUAUAGAGGGACUGGUACACCAAUGGUGGGUGUUACAAGGGUCUGGACCACUGCAUAUUCCUGAUUUUAGAUGUAUCAUUUCUAUGUUACAAUGUGUUUCUACUAGGCCUGCCUUGCUUAUGACAUGAAGGGUCUGACAGAACUCAGCUCAUGAUUUGCAGGGCAAAUGGCCACUUAAUUUCUUAUGGUUAAGUAUUUCUUCUAUACCAGGGCCAAAUAACAUGCUAGAAACAGAGUUUUUUUUUUUAAUGUUGCAUAAUUCUCCACUAUGCCAUAAAUAACAAAGAAUCAUUACCCAUUACCCAAACCUCUGUAUAAGAAUAUGCCAGGUUGGUACAGCUUUUACUUUUUCUAGCUUUUCUCUAUUGCAGAAUACUUUUCUGGUCUGGACCUACUCAAAGAUGGCAGGUAUGCAUGUCACUUUGUUAAUAGCUUGUGGCAAUAUUCUUAAGUGUGGGAGAUGCUACUUCUCUUUUUCUUUUCCACCACCCCCUCCUCUCUCUUUCCUUAUCUCAAUAGGCCCCAUAUAUGAAAACUGGCUCAAGUUCAGAAACUGUCAAGAACCAUGGAAUUUUAUUGGAGAUGCUGCCCUCAGUCUACUGACCAUCCAUGCUUAAUUUCUUUUGAUUGUGCAUAUGGAGAAACUUUCAUCAGCUCCCCACCUGAGGAUGCUGCUAUCUAUUAACUACCUCCAUAGCUCUCUGAGAGUCAUGGCCUACAGGUGGCCAUUGUGAUUUUUCCACUAGUUAUGGCAACUGGUUCCAUCCUGUUUCUGAUGAUUAAAUACUGCUUUUGGCCUCCACCUUUUCAAGAUUCCAUUACCUUUUGUGUCAUCGAGGAACCCAGUUCUGUAACAGUAUUUAUUACUCAUAAGUCCUCCCAGUAGAGGGCAGGUGACAUUGAGUUUCUCCAGGAUGAUAUUUCUCUCACUAGUACAUCACAUAUUGCUUUGGCAAAUGCGGCUCUUCUUCAGAAUAUGGUUAAAUGGCGAAUUUUCUGGCCUUACAUAGUAUAUUCAGUAGGUUGGCCACUUUUGUAAAAUUUUAAACUCUUCUUUGCCACGUCUGGCAGUCUUGGCAUUUAUACUUUACCUACUAUAAACUACCACUUUCUCAAAACUUCUAAUAACUCAAUCAGUAUGUUAACACUGUUUUCUGAGGUUUUCAUCAAAGUGUCAAAUCCUUUUGGGAUAGUUUUCCUUUAUCAAUAAACUGGCCAGCCAUUAUCCAUUCUCAUGUUCUACCUUCUUUGAUACAAGAGCCUCUGGAUACAGACCAAAUCACACUCUCCUAACUCCUUCCAGUAUACAGUCAUCCCUGGUAUCCACAGGGGAUUGGUUCCAGGACCUCCCCUGGAUACCCAAAUCUGUAGAUGCUCAAGUCCCUUAUGUAAAAUGGCAUAGCAUUGGCAUAUAAUCUAUGGACAUAAUCCUGUAUACUUUAUAUCAUUUCUAUAUUACUUACAAUACCUAACACAAUGUAAAAGCUGUGUAGUUGUUAUACUUUUUAAAAAAAUUUCUACAUUAUUAUUUUUUAUUGUAUUUUUGUCAUAUUUUCAAUCUGCAGUUAGUUGAAUCUGUGGGUGGGGAACCUGUGAAUACAAAGGACUAAUUGUAUAUUGACUAGGUCUUGCUGAACCCAUUAGAAGUUUGUUGAGAGAUGUCCUCAGGUCUUUUUGGGAUAUAGUCGCUUAUCUUUCUUAACAUGCCUAGCACUUUCCCAGCAUGUAAGCUAAAAAUGGAGUUGAGUUUAGAUGCUGAGGAGUGUUCAAGACACUGGGUGAGGUGGAAAUUACUGCAUCAUUUUCAGACAAUGGGGGCAUUCUAGUCUUUAUUAGGAAGCAAUGUGCAUCUUCUUCAAGCCCAGAGUAUUCAGGGGAUUUGGGUUUAGUGAUUUUUAAUCCAUCAACAAAAAUAUUUCCAACUCAAGGCUCAGGGUCCCAAGCUUUUCCAACCAGGAAUCUAUCAUUGGCAUUAACAUAGCCUUUGUUGGCUAUGAAUUCGACCUCCUCUGGAAGGCUCUCUGCUGCUAUUAUAAUUAUAAUACUAUAAUUGAUUCUUGGACCUGAUUCUCAGGUUUUUUCCUGCCCUCUAUCUUUAGGAAAUAAGAGUCCCUUUUUAACCUGCCAAGGAGGCCCUCUGAAUUUUACAGUUGACUUUCAUGGGUGAUUAAUCACCCACAACAUUUUAUUGGUCUUCUCUGAUGUAUCAAUGUCACUCAGCUAAAACAUCUAAUUCAAUUUCCUUCUAACACUCCCCUUAGCCAGUCAAAAGCCGAGACACUGAAAUUUUGAGUGCAUUAACUUAUACCAGCAUACCAUCCCAAUUUAUCAAAGGUUAGAGUUUUAACAAUUGCACUGCUAUAAUUACAGUACUCCAUCUCCUCCCAAUAAUGAUGCCGCCCUUACCAGCUGGCUGAUAGAGGAACAGGCUUCAAUAUCUCAUAUUAAGAUAUGUUUACUUAGACUUGAUGAUGCCAAUGUCUUAAGUCAGGAUUCCCUGAAAAGAAAUGAAGAUGGAUUUUGCAUGUGGGAACUGUGUUGGGCAGUAUCCUCGAAAUCAACAUUUUAAACAUGUAAAGUCACUAGAAUUUGGCAAAGGAAGAAGUUAAGCUUCAAUGCAGUUACAAGGAUGGCCUCAAAUAGUUUCAGGAGAAGCGCUUGAGCCAAAAAGACCCUUCAGAGUCAUCUUGCCUUGAGACAAAGGAGCCAUGACUUUACACUUUUAUACUGACAAUGAAUAGGUUUAAAUGUUGGGAAGGGUCCUGACACGAGCACACGUUUCCAGCUAAAAGAAAGUUCUAAAGAGAGACUUAGCUGCUCACAUUUUCAGAAGGUGGUGGAAUGAGUUUCUCAGUCCUGCAGGAGGAGUCUGGGUGGCACGUCAUAUUAUCCAUUACAGAAAGUGAUUGCAAAUUACAUUGUGUUACUCACUUCUUCUUGAUUUCAUGUUCAUAAGUACUUUAGGCGCUUUUUCCCUCCCGGCUUCUACUAUAACUUCUGGGAGUAGUAAGGAUAUUGAUUCAGGUUUCCUUAUGUUUAUUUUCCUUUUUUUUUUUUUAUUAUACCUUAAGGUCUAGGUUACAUGUGCACAACAUGCAGGUUUGUUAUAUAUGUAUACAUGUGCCAUGUUGGUGUGCUGCACCCAUUAACUCAUCAUUUACAUUAGGUAUAUCUCCUAAUGCUAUCCCUCCCCAGUCCCCUCAACCCAUGACAGGCCCCGGUGUGUGAUGUUCCCCACCCAGUGUCCAUGUGUUCUCAUUGUUCAACUCCCAUCUAUGAGUGAGAACAUGCGGUGUUUGGUUUUCUGUCCUUGUGAUAAUUUGCUGAGAAUGAUGGUUUCCAGCUUCAUCCAUGUCCCUGCAAAGGACAUGAACUCAUCCUUUUUUAUGGUUGCAUAGUAUUCCAUGGUGUAUAUGUGCCAUAUUUUCUUAAUCCAGUCUAUCAUUGACGGACAUUUGGGAUGGUUCCAAGUCUUUGCUAUUGUGAAUAGUGCCGCAGUAAACAUACGUGUGCAUGUGUCUCUACAGCAGCAUGAUUUAUAAUCCUUUCGGUAUAUACCCAGUAAUGGGAUGGCUGGGUCAAAUGGUAUUUCUAGUUUUAGAUCCUUGAGGAAUCGCCACACUGUCUUCCACAAUGGUUGAACUAGUUUACAGUCCCACCAACAGUGUAAAAGUGUUCCUAUUUCUCCACAUCCUUUCCAGCACCUGUUGUUUCCUGACUUUAUAAUGAUCACCAUUCUAACUGGUGUGAGAUGGUAUCUCAUUGUGGUUUUGAUUUGCAUUUCCCUGAUGGCCAGUGAUGAUGAGCAUUUUUUCAUGUGUGUGUUGGCUGCAUAAAUGUCUUCUUUUGAGAAGUGUCUGUUCAUAUCCUUCACCCAUUUUGAUGGGGUUGUUUGACUAUUGUUGUAAAUUUGUUUAAGUUCUUUAUAGAUUCUGGAUAUUAGCCCUUUGUCAGAUGGGUAGAUUGCAAAAAUUUUCUCCCAUUCUGUAGCUUGCCUGUUCACUCUGACAGUAGUUUCUUUUGCCGUGCAGACUCUCUUUAGUUUCAAUUAGAUCCCAUUUCUCAAUUUUGGCUUUGGUUGCCAUUGCUUUUGCUGUUUUAGACAUGAAGUCCUUGCCCAUGCCUAUGUCCUGAAUGGUAUUACCUAGGUUUUCUUCUAGGGUUUUUAUGGUUUUAGGUCUGACACUUAAGACUUUAAUCCAUCUUGAAUUAAUUUUUGUAUAAGGUGUAAGGAAGGGAUCCAGUUUCAGCUUUCUACAUAUGGAUAGCCAGUUUUCCCAGUACCAUUUAUUAAAUAGGGAAUCCUUUCCCCAUUGCUUGUUUUUGUCAAGUUUGUCAAAGAUCAGAUGGUUGUAGAUGUGUGGUAUUAUUUCUGAGGCCUCUGUUCUGUUCCAUUGGUCUAUAUCUCUGUUUUGGUACCAGUACCAUGCUGUUUUGGUUACUGUAGCCUUGUAGUAUAGUUUGAAGUCAGGUAGCGUGAUGCCUCCAGCUUUGUUCUUUUGGAUUAGGAUUGACUUGGCAGUGUGGGCUCUUUUUUGGUUCCAUAUGAACUUUAAAGUAGUUUUUUCCAAUUCUGUGGAGAAAGUCAUUGGUAGCUUGAUGGGGAUGGUAUUGAAUCUACAAAUUACCUUGAGCAGUGUGGCCAUUUUCAUGAUAUUGAUUCUUCCUAUCCAUGAGCAUGGAAUGUUCUUCCAUUUUUUUGUGUCCUCUUUUAUUUCGUUGAGCAGUGGUUUGUAAUUCUCAUUGAAGAGGUCCUUCACAACCCUUGUAAGUUGUAUUCCCAGGUAUUUUAUUCUCUUUGAAGCAAUUGUGAAUGGGAGUUCAUGCAUGAUUUGGCUCUCUGUGUGUCUGUUAUUGGUGUAUAGGAAUGCUUGUGAUUUUUGCACAUUGAUUUUGUAUUCUGAGACUUUGCUGAAGCUGCUUAUCAGCUUAAGGAGAUUUUGGGCUGAGACAAUGGGGUUUUCUAAAUAUACAAUCAUGUCAUCUGCAAACAGGGACAGUUUGACUUCCUCUUUUCCUAAUUGAAUACCCUUUAUUUCUUUCUCCUGCCUGAUUGCCUUGGCCAGAACUCCUAACACUAUGUUCAACAGGAGUGGUUAGAGAGGGCAUCUCUGUCUUGUGCCAGUUUUCAAAGGGAAUGCUUCUAGUUUUUGCCCAUUCAGUAUGAUAUUGGCUGUGGGUUUGUCAUAAAUAGCUCUUAUUAUUUUCAGAUACGUCCCAUCAAUACCUAAUUUAUUGAGAGUUUUUAGCAUGAAGGGCUGUUGAAAUUUGUCGAAGGCCUUUUCUGCAUCUAUUGAGAUAAUCAUGUGGUUUUUGUCUUUUGUUCUGUUUAUAUGAUGGAUUAGUUUAUUGAUUUGCAUAUGUUGAACCAGCCUUACAUCCCAGGGAUGAAGCCCCCUUCAUCAUAGUGGAUAAGCUUUUUGAUAUGCUGCUGGAUUUGGUUUGCCAAUAUUUUAUUGAGGAUAUUUGCAUCAAUAUUCAUCAGGGAUAUUGGUCUAAAAUUCUCUUUUUUUGUUGUGUCUCUGCCAGGCUUUGGUAUCAGGAUGAUGCUGGCCUCAUAAAAUGAGUUAGGGAGGAUUCCCUCUUUUUCUAUUAAUUGGAAUAGUUACAGAAGAAAUGGUACCAGCUCCUCUUUGUACCUGUGGUAGAAUUCGGCUGUGAAUCCAUCUGGUCCUGGACUUUUUUUGGUUGGUAGGCUAUUAAUUAUUGCCUCAAUUUUAGAGCCUGUUAUUGGUCUAUUCAGGGAUUCAAUUUCUUCCUGGCUUAGUCUUGGGAGGGUGCAUGUGUCCAGGAAUUUAUCCAUUUCUUCUAGAUUUUCUAGUUUAUUUGCAUAGAUGUGUUUAUAGUAUUCUCUGAUGGUAGUUUGUAUAUCUAUGGGAACAGUGGUGAUAUCCCCUUUAUCAUUUUUUAUUGUGUCUAUUUGAUUCCUCUCUCUCUUCAUCUUUAUUAGUCUUCCUAGCGGUCUAUCAAUUCUGUUGAUCUUUUCAAAAAACCUGCUCCCAGUUUCAUUGAUUUGUUGAAGGGUUUUUUGUGUUUCUAUCUCCUUCAGUUCUGCUCUGAUCUUAGUUAUUUCUUGCCUUCUGCUAGCUUUUGACUGUGUUUGCUCUUGCUUCUCUAGUUCUUUUAAUUGUGAUGUUAGGGUGUCAACUUUAGAUUUUUCCUGCUUUCUCUUGUGGGCAUUUAGUCCUAUAAAUUUCCCUCUACACACUGCUUUAAAUGCGUCCCAGAGAUUCUGGUAUGUUGUGUCUUUUUUUGUUCUCAUUGGUUUCAAAGAACAUCUGAAUCUCUGACUUCAUUUCUUUAUGUACCCAGUAGUCAUUCAGGAGCAGGUUGUUCAGUUUCCAUGUAGUUGAGCAGUUUUGAGUGAGUUUCUUAAUCCUGAGUUCUAGUUUGAUUGCACUGUGGUCUGAGAGAGUUUCUUAUAAUUUCUGUUCUUUUACAUUUGCUGAAGAGUACUUUCCUUUCAACUAUAUGGUCAAUUUUGGAAUAAGUGUGAUGUGGUGCUGAGAAGAAUGUAUAUUCUGUUGAUUUGGGGUGGAGCGUUCUGUAGAUGUCUAUUAGGUCAGCUUGGUGCAGAGCUGAGUUCAAUUCCUGGAUAUCCUUGUUAACUUUCUGUCUCGUUGAUCUGUCUUAUGUUGACAGUUGGGUGUUAAAGUCUCCCAUUAUUAUUGUGUGGGAGUCUAAGUCUCUUUGUAGGUCUCUAAGGACUUGCUUUAUGAAUCUGGGUGCUCCUGUAUUGGAUGCAUAUAUAUUUAGGAUACUUAGCUCUUCUUGUUGAAUUGAUCCCUUUACCAUUAUGUAAUGGUCUUGUCUCUUUUGAUCUUUGUUGGUUUAAAGUCCGUUUUAUCAGAGACUAAGAUCGCAACCCCUGCUUUUUUUUGUUUUCCAUUUGCUUGGUAGAUCUUCCUCCAUCCCUUUAUUUUGAGCCUAUGUGUGUCUCUGCACGUGAGAUGGGUCUCCUGAAUACAGCACACUGAUGGGUCUUGACUCUUUAUCCAAUUUGCCAGUCUGUGUCUUUUAAUUGGAGCAUUUAGCCCAUUUACAUUUAAGGUUAAUAUUGUGAUGUAUGAAUUUGAUCCUGUCAUUAUGAUGUUAGCUGGUUAUUUUGCUUGUUAGUUGAUGCAGUUUCUUCCUAGCCUCGAUGGUCUUUACAAUUUGGCAUGUUUUUGCAGUGGCUGGUACUGGUUGUUCCUUUCCAUGUUUAGUGCUUCCUUCAGGAGCUCUACUGAGGCAGGCCUGAUGGUGACAAAAUCUCUCAGCAUGUGCUUGUCUGUAAAGGAUUUUAUUUCUCCUUCACUUAUGAAGCUUAGUUUGGCUGGAUAUGAAAUUCUAGGUUGAAAAUUAUUUUCUUUAAGAAUGUUGAAUAUUGGCCCCCACUCUCUUCUGGUUUGUAGAGUAUCUGCUGAGAGAUCAGCUGUUAGUCUGAUGGAUUUCCCUUUGUGGUAACCUGACCUUUAUCUCUGGCUGCCCUUAACAUUUUUUCCUUCAUUUCAACUUCGGUGAAUCUGACAAUUAUGUGUCUUAGAGUUGCUCUUCUCGAGGAGUAUCUUUGUGGCGUUCUCUGUAUUUCCUGAAUUUGAAUGUUGGUCUGCCUUGCUAGAUUGGGGAAGUUCUCCUGGAUAAUAUCCUGAAGAGUGUUUUCCAACUUGGUUACAUUCUCCCCGUAACUUUCAGGUACACCAAUCAGACGUAAAUUUGGUCUUUUCACAUAGUCUCAUAUUUCUUGGAGGCUUUGUUCAUUUCUUUUUACUCUUUCUUCUCUGAACUUCACUUCUCCCUUCAUUUCAUUGGUUUGAUCUUCAAUCACUGAUACCCUUUCUUCCAGAAUUGGCUACUGAAGGUUGUGCAUGCAUCACAUAGUUCUUGUGCCAUAGUUUUCAGCUCCUUCAGGUCAUUUAAGGUCUUCUCUAUGCUGCUUAUUCUAGUUAGCCAUUUGUCCAAUUUUUUUUCAAGGUUUUUAGCUUCUUUGCCAUGGGUUCAAACAUCCUCCUUUAGCUCGGAGAAAUUUGUUAUUACUGAUCAUCUGAAGACUUCUUCUUUCAACUCAUCAGAGUCAUUCUCUGUCCAGCUUUGCUCUGUUGCUGGCAAGGAGCUGUGUUCCUUUGGAGGAGAAGAGGCGCUCUGAUUUUUAGAAUUUUCAGCUUUUCUGCUCUGGUUUCUCCCAAUCUUUGUGGUUUUAUCUACCUUUGGUCUUUGAUGAUGGUGACGUACAGAUGGGGUUUUGGUGUGGAUGUCCUUUCUGUUUGUUAGUUUUCCUUCUAACUGUCAGGUCCCUCAGCUAUAGGUCUUUUGGAGUUUGCUGGAGGUUCACUCCAGACCCUGUUUGCCUGGGUAUUCCCAGUGGAGGCUGUAGAACUACAAAUAUUGCAGAACGGCAAAUGUUGCUCCCUUAUCUUUCCUUUGGAAGCUUAGUCUCAGAGGGACACCUGGCUGUAUGAGGUGUCAGUUGGCCCCACUGGGAGGUGCCUCCCAGUUAGGCUACUCGGGGAUCAGGGACCCACUUGAGGAGGCGGUCUGUCCUUUCUCAGAUCUCAAACUCCAUGCUGGGAGAACCACUACUUUCUUCAAAGCUGCCAGACGGGGACGUUUAAGUCUGCAGAAGUUUCUGCUGCCUUUUGUUCAGCUAUGCCCUGCCCCCAGAGGUGGAGUCUACAGAGGCAGGCAGGCCUCUUUGAGCAGUGGUGGGCUCCACCCAGUUCGAGCUUCUUGGCUGCUUUGUUUACCUAUUCAAGCCUCAGCAAUGUUGGGUGCCCCUCCCCCAGCCUCGCUGCAGCCUUGCAGUUCGAUCUCAGACUGCUGUGCUAGCAGUGAGGAAGGCUCCGUGGCCAUGGGACCCUCUGAGCCAGGCUCAGGAUAUAAUCUCCUGGUGUGCUGUUUGCUAAGACUGUUGGAAAAGUGCUGUAUUAGGGUGGGAGUGACCCAAUUUUCCAGGUGUCAUCUGUCAUGGCUUCCUUUGGCUAGGAAAGGGAAUUCCCUGACCCCUUGCACUUCCUGGGUGAGGUGUUGCCUCGCCCUGCUUUGCUUAUGGUCUGUGGGCUGCACCCACUGUCCUGCACCCACUGUCCGACAAGCCCCAUUGAGAUGAACCUGGUACCUCAGUUGGAAAUGCAGAAAUCACCAGUCUUCUGCCUCACUCAUGCUGGGAGCUGUAAACUGUAGCUGUUCCUAUUUGGCCAUCUUGGAACUUCCCCUCCUUAUGUUUAUUUUCUACUGUUAAUGUUGACACAUAUGAUGGCUAUUUUAAGUGAUACAUGUUAUAGUUUUGCUAUUUAAUAUAUAUUUGGGAAUUAGAAUACUUAUUUUUUUCAUGAAACCCAGGAUUUUAUAGCAAAAAGACAGCUCAUUCCUGACACAUUUUCCAAAAGCUAACUUCAGCAAAAGGAAGAUGUCCAUUCCUUCCUAAUAAAGGCAAGAAUGUCCCCAAUAUCUCUGUAGACUAGUAAAAUAGAGCUGUUUAAGAAAUUCUAGGAGGCCUAAAGGAAAAUAAAAAGAAGUAAAGAAAACAAUAAAUGCCACCUUCAGUUUUAAGUAAAUUUUGUUCAUCUUGCUGUUUGAAGCAGCCAUUGUUAAUUUUGGAAAUCUUUUACAAUAUUUACUUUUGGAUCACUUUUAAUGCCACUGAGAUUUACUAUCUAAAUGAAACAAUCAAAAUAAGAAACAGUCAUGUAAGUGGCAAACACCUCUGCUCUACUAUCUCAUUGCAGUGGGAUAAUAAAGCUUAGGUCCAUUGAUCCAGGAACGACUGUGUAAGAGCAUCACAUGGCUCAUAGCACAGAAUCCCAACUAAGAUAUGCAGAGAAUUAUACUCUAACAUAAUAUUUAAAAGCCCUGUAGUAAGUUAAUAUAUAACAUUAUGGUUUGAAGAAAGAGUAUUUUUGUGAGAGAUUUCACAUUCAAACAUAUUGAAUACUCAAUGUGGCAUGUAUUUGGAUGGGCAAUGAAAAAUUUAUACAACUGUUCAUGAAUAAUCACACGGUUGCACUUAAUGUUCAGUAACACUUACCUGAAUGUUUUCAUAUUGCUGAGAUACAUUCAUAUACAAAGCCUGAAAGCACACAUUUGAAUGUAUGAUUGAUGAAAAUAGAUCUACUUAAUAUUGUUCUAGCCUCAUCUACUCUCUCUAAUGUUUAUAUAGUUCUUGGUAUUGUUUUCAAAUAAAAUAACAAAAUGCAAUAUGAGAGCUUGAAAAAUAUUUUACUAGUUAUCCCAAAAGAAUUAAGAAAUAAUACAAAUGAAUUAGAAGUCAUUUUAGUAUUUUUCAUAGUUUAAAGAAAUAUAAUGAGAGACAUUUUCCAAAGAGGUGUUUUAGAAGCUUGUGAAAAUGGAUGUGGCUUAAUUACCUUUCAGUACCUGGAGUGUGCUGGUUAUGUGCCAUGUUUGACACAAAAGAGCAGGAUUCUACUUCUUUGUUCCCCCAGUUUUACUCAGUGUGGUUGCAUAGCUGAACCAAAAUAUUCAUCAUCACCGAAUAAAGCAUUUAGCUUUGAGGGUGGUGGGUUAGAAUCAAGGAAGCAUAGGAAUUUUACACGUUCUAAGUAUCCUGAGGGAAGAGAUAGAAAUAAAACAAGGUGGCUGGGAAGAAUUCCUUACAAAUCACUCAAGAACAUGCUAAUUCAUUUCUUUCAGCUUUAUUCAGGUACAAUUGACAAGUAGAAGUUGUAUGUAUUUAAGGAGUAUAACUUGAUGUUUUGAUACAUGUGUUAUAUUAUAAAAUAAUCACCACAAUCAAGCUAAUUAACAUAUGUGUCACCUCACACAUUUAAAUUUAUUUUUAUUUUUGAUGAAAACACUUAAGAUCUAUCAUCUUAGCAAAGUUUAAGUAUGUAAGUCAUUAUUGUUAAUGGAUGUACAGGAGAUCUUCAGAACAUAUUAUUUUGCAUAACUAAAACUUUGUAAGCUUUAACAUCUCUCCAUUUUUUUCUCGCUCAGCUCUGACAACCACCAUUCUAACUCUCUGCUUCUGAGUUUGACUAUUUUAGAUUCCACAUAUAAGUCAGAUCACACAGUAUUUGUCCUUUUGUGUCUGGCUUACUUUAUUUAGUGUAAUGUCCUCCAGUUCAAUCAUCUUGUCAUAAAUAUCAGGACUAUCUUAUUUUUUAAAGCUGAAUAAUAUUCCACUGUGUUUACAUACCUACCAACCUACCCACCUAUCUACAUAUCUUGGGUUUUCUUGUCCAUUCAUCUAUCAGUGGACAUUUAGAUUGUUUCUAUAUCACGGCAAUGGUGAAUAAUGCUGCAAUAUAAACAUGAGAGUGCAAAUAUUUGUUUGACAUAGUUAUAUCAUUAUCUUCAGAUAUACACCAGAAACGGGAUUGCUGGAUAUUAUAUGAUAGCUGUAUCUUUAACUUUUUGAUGAAUUUCUAGACUGUUUUCUAUAAUGAGUGUAUCAAUUUACAUUCCCACCAGCAGGGUACAAGUGUUACCUUUCCACCAGAUUCUUGUCAGUAUGUGUUGCCUUUUGUCUUUUUGAUAAUUGCCAUUUUAACUGGGGUGAGGUGAUAUCUAAUUGUGAUUUUUACUUGGAUUUUUCCAAUCAUUAGUGAUAUUGAACACCUUUUCCUACAGCUUUGGGUUCUUUGUAUGACUUCUUUUGAAAAAUGUCUAUUCAGGUUCUUUGUCCUAUCUUGACUUCAAAACACUACAAAACUAUAGUAGCCAAAACAGCAUGGUACUAGCAUAAAAACAGAUAUAUAAACCAAAGGAACAAAAUAGAGGGCCCAGAAAUUUAUGCAUGUAUGGUCAACUGAUCUUUGACAGGGUGCCAAGAACAUAUGAUGGGGAAAGGAUGGUAUCUUCAAUAAAUUGUACUGGGAAAACUAGUAUCUACACAUAGAAGAAUGAUUUUGAACCCUUUCACCAUAUACAAAAAUCAACUGAAAAUCUAUUCAAGUCUUAGACAUAAGGCCUGAAACCAUAAAACUACUUGAAGAAACUACAGGAAAAAGCUCCUUGAUAUUGGUUUGGGCAAUAAGUUUUUUUGGAUAUGAUACUAAACACACAACAACAAAAGCAAAAAUAGACAAAUUUAGAAAAAAUAGUAGAACUUCAUUAAACUGCAAAGCUUCUGCACAGCAAAUAAUCAAUCGUGUGAAAAGAGAAUCCACAGAAUGAGAGGAAAUAUUUGUGAACCAUAUAUCUGAUAAGAGGUUAGUAUGCAAAAUAUGUAAGAAAUUUAUGCAAUUCAAUAGCAAAUAAGCAAGGAAAAAAGGAACCCACUUAAGAAAAGGAACACGCUCAUUUUUUGACUCUUACUUUAAGACUGAUAAAAGAUCUGCAGAAAAAAAGCCACAUAUAAAAAUAUAUAUAUAUAAAAAUACAUAAAUAAAUCUGAUUUCUGUAUGUUGGUAGGUAAAAAAAGAACUCCCUUUAAUAAAGUUUAAUUAUUUAAUUAUUACUGUGUAUAAUAUUUCUUUCUCUUUGAGAAUAUUCACACCAGAGGGUAUGGUUGAAAAAAUUUAUUUCUUGUGUUACUAAAACUGCUAACUAAUUAUCACAUUAAUUGUAUGGGUUUCACGUAUUAUUCUUUGAAGUAUCUGAAGUCAUUAGUGCUCAUGAGUCUUAACAGCUCUCUUUAUGUAAGGCCUUUGGGGUAACAGUAGACACUCUAGAAAUUUAAUAAUAGAUUACAAAAAAUAUACUACUGUUUGCCAUUAUCUCAAUUUCCUGAGUGUUCCCCAUUCUAAUGCAUUUUCUUUAAUCUCCUCUUUCCCCUCCUCAUGAAACUACCUCUACAUUAUGUUCUAUAAAAUUGGCAUUUCUUUGUUAGUUUAUUGGUUGUAUCAAUUGCAAAUUGUCUCUCUUCCUGUUGGCAUUUUAAUAAGGCCUAAGGAAAGAGCAUAAAUGCUAUUGUGAUGGUUAAUUUUAAGUGUCAACCUGUAGGGUAUUUUUGGAUGAGAUUAAUGUUUAAAUUGGUUAAUUUUAGGUAAAGCAGAUUAUUAUCCACAAUGUUGGUGAGCCUCAUCCAAAUUGUUGAAUACCUGAAUGGAACAAAAUUUCCAACCUCUGUGAGCAUGAAGAAAUUUUCUAGCAGACUGCCUUUCAACUUCACCUGCACCAUCAGCUUUCCAGAGUCUCCAUCCUGUCAGCAUUUGGACUGGAACAAUGCCAUUGGCUGUCCUACGCCUCAAACCUCCUGGCCCGUGCUGCAAGAUUCUAACUCACUAGCCUUUGUAAUCAUGUGAGCCAAUUCCUUAAGAGAUAAGAAUCUCUUUCGAGAUAUUAAACAAGACAUUCAAUUGGUUCUUUUACUCUGGAGAACCUAAUACAGCUGUCAUGAAAAACUUGGAUAUUCAAAUUAGAUAAAAGUAUAUUUCAGAAAUGUACCAGGAUCACAUUGUUAGCUUGUCUCUAUGGCUUUAUCCUAAGUCCUUAAGUAUUCUCUGCUUAGACAGCAGGGUUUGCUUAGUGGAGAGAUUGUAUCUCUAACUGUAUUGCCAGGACAGGUUUUUGACUACAUACCACCUAUCUUUCUCAAGAAAGUGAUAAUAAAAGCAAUUUUUUUCAUAUUUGAAAUCCUAGAGUACAACAAUAGCAAAUGGAAAAUGAAGAAAGAGGGAAUUAAAAAUGAGUAAAAGUAUUAACAUUACUUGUUUUAGGAAAAAGUAACAAUAAGUAGAUAAACAAUGGCUAGAUAAGGAAAAAUUUUUAAAGUCACUGUUAAAACUUGAAUUUUCUUCUAAAAUUCUCCUGCUGAACACCUUUCUAGAUGGGUAAAAGAGUGAGAAUAUUAAAUAAAAUUCUAAACUUUUAAAAAUAUAACUGGUUUUAAUUAUCUGACAGGUAACAUACAAAAUUUAUAUGUAAGGACAUUUUUAACUAUAGCAGUUGUUCCCAACAUAUACUUCAAAAGUAGUGUUCGGCCGUCCUAAAACACUAGAAAACUUCUACAGGCCUUUGACCUCUUGUAGAUUAUGUGGAAAACAGUAAUCUAUCUAUUCUGUAUUUUUUUUCAGAAGUAUCCAAAUUUUUUCCUCAGGGAAAAAAAAUACAGGUAAUAAGUUUCUUGAUAAAAUGUUUCUCUUAAAAACUGCAUAGAUUACUUCUACUUUCAGGUAAGGUCUUACUUCUCUCCAUAAAUAAUUGAAAACUUAGAUAAAACAUGUUUUUAGAUACUAGACAACAGUAAAUACUGUGAGCUAAAGAAAUAAAAUAGGUAACUACCUACAAUCAUUCUGACUUUCUGGCCUACAGGAUAUUUAUAAAUCUUGGGGCAGGGAGAGCCAACCCACUAGCUCCCAAGAGCUGUAGCUAACAUUUUAUUUAUUAUUUUUUGAUUUGAGGAGAUGGUGUUUGUAGCAUAAAUCUGAGAUUGCUAGAAUAUUUUGGGACGGAUCACCAAUGAAGAAAGAGUUACUCAGAGAAACAGCUCCAGAAAUCUACAUAACGAAUCAACGAAGUCUUUAGUUGAAUGCCAAUCUGCAUGUUAAGGUGAAACUCCCUGAGGAUAGGCAAAGAAAAUUUCUGAGGAAAGAAUAAUUUCCAGGUACAUAUAAGUCAAAACAAUUUCCACAGGACAAACAGUGUCAUGACUCCUUCCAAGUGCUAGCAAACAAAGUGAAGUAACAUCAUUGAAUACAUGGGCAGUAGUAGAGACGCAAGAUAGGCCCAUGCUCUAGUAAUUGGGCUAAACUAGUCCCAUAAAAUAGAUUAUUCUGUACCAGGGAUCAGCAAAUUAAGGACCAAUCUGAACCACUACUUUCCAGUAACUAAAAUUUUAUUGCAAAAUGGCUUUUCACUUAUUUACAUAUUAUCUAUAGAGACUUCAGUGUUACAACAAUAGAGUGAUAGAAAUCAAACGGUCUGCAAAGCUUUAGAUAAAUACUGUGUGGCUCUUGACAGAAAAAAAAUCCCUUGCUGAUUCCUCCUCUAGACUUGCCCUAAUCAAAGGACUUUCAUGCAACUCAACAGCCUAUCAGAACAAAAUUCAACACUGAUAAAAGUCUGACAACAAAAUUCAGUAAUCAAAUAUUUAACAUUUUCAAUGUCUGUCAUCCAAUCCAGAAUUACCACACAUACAAAGAAGGAGGAUAAAAUACCUCUAUACCCAGGUAAAACAAAUCAAAAAAUAACAUAGAUGAUGACAAAAGUAGAAAACAUUUUUUAAAAUAGGUAUAAUUAUCAUGUGCAGCAUGUGCAAAUAUUUUUUAAAAUGAACAUAAUGAGGAGAGUCAUAGGGAUAUAAAAAAAGAACCAAAGGGAAAUUCUAAAGAUAAAAUUAUGAUACCAAAAAUUAAAAUUAUUCUGAUUGGUAGAUUAGGCCCUGAAAUAGAAAGUCAGUGAAAUUGAAAACAUGGCAACAAAAAUUAAAAUAUAAAAUAAAUAUAAAUAAAUGCACAAAGGUAAAAAACAAGAUAUUAAUGGCCUCAAUAUUAAUAUCAGAGACAAUAUCAAUUGCAACAAAAUACAUGGGGUGGAAUACUAAAAAGAAAGAGAAAGAGAAAAACAAUGUGAAGCAAUUCUUUUUUUUUUUUUUGAGACAGUCUCACUCCAUCGCCUAGGCUGGAGUGCAGUGGCGUAAUCUUGGCUCACUGCAACCUCUGCCUCCCGGGUUCAAGCAAUUCUCCUGCCUCAGUCUCCCAAGUAGCUGGGAUUACAGGCUACUACUACCAUGCUCAGCUAAUAUUUUUUUUUUGUAUUUUUAGUAGAGACAGGGUUUCGCCAUGUUGGCUAGGGUGGUUUUGAACUCCUAACCUCAGGUGAUCCACCCGCCUCGGGAUUACAGGCGUGAGCCACCGUGCCCGGCCCAUAUUUUAAAAAUAUCUAUAUUUUAUACCAAGUCAUCAGACAUUUGAGAACAUAUCCUAUUGAAGUAAAACACAGUAAGGAUGUAUUUAAAGAAUGAGUAUUGAAGAAAUACUCACAGAAUUGAAAAAUCAGAGAAUGUUAAAUAAUUAUAAUAUAUUCAUAUUAAAAAAUAAUAUUCAGUCUUAAAGCAAAUAGUUAAAGCAACUAAACCAGUUGUAAUAGGCAGAUUUCCAAAAAACGGUUAUGUAAGAAAACAAGAUACAAACAUUGUAAUAUCAUUUCAUGUUUUCAAUAUAAAUUAUUUAAAAAUUUCAUAUAUGUAUAUGUAUGUUUACCAAACUAUGUGAGUACUGAGAAAAAUAUGAAAGAAUGCAUGCUUGAUUGUCAUAUCCCAUGGGUGUGUAAUGGGAGUAGUGAAGAAGAUAAAUGGGGUAGUAUAAAAAAUAUAAAACCAUAAUACACUAAAAUGUAAUAUGAAUGUUAUACUUUACAUUUGUUUAAAAUUACAUAUGUGAUUUGUACAACUAAAGUGGUAUAAAAAUUAGAAGCAAAGUUAAAUGAGAAGGAAUUGAUUAAAUGUACAUACAUAUACCCACAGAACGGUAUCAAUACAUGGGUACACAUACACACACAUAUAUAUAUAAUGUUUAUGUUCACUAAAUAAUUAUGUGUCACUUAACGAUGGAUAUACAUUCUGAGAAAUGUGUUGUCAGGCAAUUUUGUCCUUGUGCAAAUAUCAUAGAGUGUAUUUACACAAACCUAGUUCACACUUUGGCUAUCUGGUAUAGACUAUUGCUUCCAGGCUACAAACCUGUACAACAUGCUACUGUUCCAAAUAUUGUAGGCAAUUGUAACUGGAUGUUAAGUAUUUGUGGAUCUUAAUGUAUCUAAACAUAGAAAAGGCACAUACAAAAAUACAGUAUUAUAAUCUUAUGAGACCAUGGUCAUCCAUGUGGUCCAUCAUUGACUGAAGAAUCGUUAGCAUGUCAUGACUGUACAUAUACAGCAUUCAUAUAUUUAAAUACAUGCAUAUAUAUUAUAUAUAUAUGGGGCAUACACAUAAGUAAUAUAUAUUUUCAUACACCUUGCAAUUUUACUGCUUGGAUUUAUUUUCUUAGAAAACAAAAUAAAUAAGAUAGUAUAGAUUUAAAAAUCUAUGGAUAAAAUAAUUCAAAGCAAUAGUACUUUUGUAGUGAAUAACAUAAUAUAGUAUAAAUGUACAAAUACAGUGAUGCAUUACAGAUAUUUUGCGUAUUUUACAGCAUGCAAGUUAUCUCUUUAAAAGAGCUUUAGAAAUGAAUUCAGUAAGUGAAAGAACAAAAUAUUUUUAUAUCAAAUUAUUUUGCCAAAUUUAUACGUUACUACCGCUAGUAACGUAUGAGAUCAUUCAUCUCACCAUUGCAAACAUUGUCAUUAUAAUUCAAAAAAUUGUAUUUACUAUUUGGUUGACUUAAUUUACAUUUUUAAGAAUAGUAUAAAAUGGCUAAAGUGAUGGCAUUUUAAUUAUUUGAUUCAUCUUUUUUGGCUCCACUUAACAAUUGAGGUUCUAUUAAUUAUUUUAUGGAUUUAUGUGGGCUUUUCUAUCAAGCUACGUUCUGAAAUAGUUGCUCAUAAUUUAGUACUGCUUUCUUUUUCUCUUAAUUUUAGUUAAAGCUUCUGACAUACAGUAGUUGUAAAUUAUAUAUUAAAUCUAUUGGUUUUUUCCAUUAUGAUUUUUUUCCUUAUUGUAAUAAAGCUUAAAAUGAAUAUCCUUCCUCUUGAACAAGUUUCCUAUCUAGCUUGUAUUAAAUUAAUCUCAGUGGAACUUAAGGAUCCAUAGCAAAUGGAGGAUUCCUGAAAUCCAACUGAAUAUCAAGUAUUUUCUGAAGACAUCAUAAGUAAUAGUUUGUGUACUUUUAAUUGUGUGAAAUAUUUUAAGCUUAAUAAGCCAUAUAUGUAUUUAAAACUAAUAAAUUUAUAGAUAGCAUAUGCAACAUUGAAUUGAUCUAACAGAUACCAAAAGAAGUACACCUAUAAUGCAGGCAGUUGAAAUUUAUUUUGACACAGGAACUUCUUUAUUUUUAUUUUUUAUUUUUUUGAGAUUGAGUCUCACCCUGUCGCCCAGGUUGGAGUGCAGUGGCACCAUCUCUGCUCACUGCAACCUCUGCCUCUCCGGUUCAGGUGAUUCUCGUGGCUCAGCCUCCCAAGUAGCUGGGAUUACAGGCGUGCACCACCAUGCCCGGCUAAUUUUUGUAUUUUUAGUAGUUUUGAACUCCUGACCUGAGGUGAUCUGCCCACCUCGGCCUCCCAAAGUGUUGGGAUUACGGGCAUAAGCCACGGCUCCCAGCCAAGGAACUUAUUAUACUAAGUGUGGAGAACCCUGCUAUAGAAGUCUGUCAAAUAUUUACUGCCCCCACCCUUUUCUUAGUAUUUCUGUAAUUCAAAUAACUUUUCAUAUUUCAUAUUUAGUUUUUCAUAUUUAUUAUUGUAAUCUAUUGGGAAGUUAUUUUUACAUAGAAAGUUGGUUAGGAAUACGAUUUAUCUUGUCAGGUUUUAUAGUUUUUCUAAAAGUUUACCUACGUGUUUUCUUUUUUCUUUUUUCUUUUUUUUUACUUUUUUUUCUUAUUUUGAGAUGGAGUCUCACACUUGUUGCCCAGGCUGCAGUGCAGUGGCGCGAUCGUGGCUCACUGUAACCUCCACCUCCCGGUUUCAAGCGAUUCUUCUGCCUCAGUCUCCCGAGUAGUUGGGAUUAUAGGUGCCAGCCACCACACCUGAAUUUUUUGUAUUUUUAAUAGAUACUGGGUUUCAUCAUGUUGACCAGGCUGGUCUGGAACUCCUGACCUCAGGUGUUCUGCCCGCCUCGGCCUCCCAAAGUGCUGAGAUUACAGGCGUGUUUUCAUAAGUUUCUUUUCUCUAUAAAUAUCAUAUUGUAUUACUAAAGUGGAGUCAUUUUUGUUUCAUUAUUACUUAAUAGCUUUAACUGUGGUAAUGAAUUUCAGUGCUUUCCUUUCAUACUUUAUGAUUUUUGCACCUUCAGCUUGAAAUCAGGUACUAUUAAACUCCAGUAAUUUUUAUUUUUAUAACACAUUGCAAUUUUUGUUAUUUUCUUUUCCAAUAAUUCUACAUUUUUGUUCAUUGUAGCAACAUUAGAAAUAUACUUUUAUUAUUUAUUUAUUUAAUUAAUUAUUAUUAUUAUUUUUUGAGACAGAGCCUCUCUCUGUCACCCAGGCUGGAGUGCAAUGGCACAGUCUCAGCUCACUGCAACCUCCACCUCCUAGGUUCAAGUGAUUCUCCUGCCUUAGCCUCCUGAGUAGCUAGGAAUACAGGUGCAUGCCACCAUACUCGGCUAAUUUUUGUAUUUUUAGUAGAGACGGGGUUUCACUAUGUUGGCCAUGCUGGUCUUGAACUCCUGAACUCGUGAUCAGCCUGCUUUGGCCUCCCGAAAUGCUGGGAUUACAGGCGUGAGCCUCCACACUGGCCUCACAUGCUUUUAGUUAUAGUGUUUUGUUUUUGCUUUUUAGUAAUUGAAGUAAUUGUUGUUUUCAAAUUCCUUCUUCUGGUUUAUCAAUUUCCUUAUAUUUUUCUUAAUGUUUUUACUGAGAAAUGCUAACAAAUUUUAUCAUGCAAUCAUGUAUAUUUUUAUUAUAUUCAGUAAUAUACUAAUGCUUUAUUAUGUUAAUUAGCUAUAAAAAUAUAUUUAAAAGUCCUGCUUUGUCAUGUUGGCUACAGAAUAACACUAAUCACUAAUAUGUCAUUUCAAAUAUAUAAAUAUCAAAGUAUAUAUGUGUGUGUUUUAUACACCAUAUAUUACAUUAUAUUAAAUACAUAUAUGCCUUAUUUAUAUAUAUAUAUAAUGUAUGCUGAAUUUUCUUUCUCUUUCUUCCCUUCUUCUUUCUUUCUCUCUCACUUUAUUUCUUGCUUGCUUUUCUGUUUUUGUUUAAUCUGUUUUUUGGUGACCCAGACAGCAUCCAUUUUCUCUUCCUAAGAACAUUCUAUUUUUUGGGGGGAGGGAUCUAUCACUUCCCCUUAUUGUUGAUAAAUUGAUAGAAUGAUAAAUCAAGUUACCUUGACCACUCUUAUAUAGCCAAUGACUCACUCUAGGUCAAUAAUACUAUCCCAGGACUUUGCAUCUUGACUGAACAUUUGUUCACUCUUCUUGAGUAAAAAAACUCCAAAACUCGGUGAAAACAAGCCAAAAAUAUAUUAAUUAUUGCUCACAUAUCUAUGAGUUGGUUUGGUUUCUGACCUUCCAGGCAGGACUGUCACGAAUUAUUCUUGUCAUUAUACAUCUGAGAUGACAAAAAGACUAGCUGAGAUGAUAAGUUCUGUGUUUCACUGAUCAUCGUUGGAUGAGUGAGCUUAACAAGAGACGUUACUCUCAUAGCAACACCAAAGAUGAUAAAGAGCAUUUGGCUAACUGACACUUUUCUCCAUGUACUAUUUGCCAAAACAAGUCACAUAACUAAGCCAAAAGAGAUGGAGGAAUUCAUUUCCCUCAUGGAGAUGAGAAGACUUGCAAAGUUAAAUAACAAGAGUAGAUACAGAAGAAGGAGAAGUAUUAGAGUCAGUAAUGAAAUCUACCAGGCAUUGAGAGCCACAAAGGCAAAAUGUAUGUGUAAAAUAUUCACUUUAUUAGCACCUAAGAAAGAGAGAGUUGAGCAAGCUAUAUCUGUUUCCUAAGAGCCCAGUAAUUGCUGGUAUACAUGUUGUUUCUUAUGCUAGUUCCUAGUCUCUGUGUAAAUUUGAACUAAACAAUAUAUAAAAGAUUCCCCUCUUCUUAAUUUUGUGGAAAUUGGUAUUGCUUACUUCCAAAUAAAGAAUCCUAAGUGGUUAAGAAUAAAACAAAAUUUGAAGAAGGUAGAAUAUAUAAAGAGGCUGACAAAUUCUUUGUGAUCUUGGCUUAAAGAACAAUACAUCUCACUGUGGCCUUUGCUACUUUAUUACUUUUCUUCCUAAGAGCCUUAGGAAUUUCUAAAUCCAGUUUUCCAGCUUAAUCUUUACAGUGGACAGAAAACUUCUCUUUAUACUAACUCCCAUUUGAGAAUCCUGUACUUUUCCUCAAAUAUAGAGAACUUCACUUCUCUCCUUGCCAUGGCCAGCUUAUUUUUCACUUAUUGGCUUCCACAAAGUUGGCCGUGACCUGUGCUCUCCACAACAAAAAUCACAUAAACUGAUGGCAAUGCAGAAUUCAAGUAAACAUAUUUAGCUAGUGAUGAUGCUUGAUCCAGUAGUAGCUGCACUGUUAGUUCUCUCAACUUCUAUUACUUUUGCUUGCUAUUUCUCUUAGUUUCCUUUGUUUUCCCUUCAUAGUACAUUCUAUUGUAUUACACAAUAUAAAUAUGUCAUUUUAUUAUUAUCAUCAUAUUACACAAUACAAAGAUUCUACAGCAAUGCUGUCCAAUUGAAAUAUACUGUGAAUGAUAAGUAUAAGACAUAUAUGUAGUUUUAAAUUUUAAUACCCAUAGUGAAAUAAAAAGAUAAAAUGAAAUUUAGUAGUAUAUUUAAUUCCAAAUAUUCAAAAUAUAACCAUCUAAAAAUACAAUCAAUAUUAAAUUGUUAAUAUGAGUUUUUUCUUUUUUUUGGUAUAAAGUGUUCAAUAUCCAAUGUGCAUUUUAUACUUACUGCAAGCAUGUCUCCAUUUGGACUCACUAUAUUUGAAGCGGUCAAUAGCCACACAUGGCUAGAGACUACAAUAUUCAACAAUGUAAGUCCAUAAAGUUUCUUAGGGCUGAGUUAUGUAUGUCUAAUUUAUUUGCAAAUUUCAUAAGGGCAGAGGUCUUUUCUAUACUGUUUACCACAAUACACAUAGAACCAAUCAGAAGGUUUAGUCUAAAAUAAUAGGCAUUUAAGAAUUUUGUAUCAAAAACUCAUUUAGUAUAAUGUUAUCUAUUUUUUCUAGAGUGAAAUACAUAGUUCCAUCUUUUAAAUUUCUACCUUAUAAGCACUAUUAUCUACCAUAAAAUUAUCUGUUCAUUUGUCUUGAAAUUCUUUAUUAAACACUUAGAUACAAGUUUUUCUUUAUUUAAAUUCUCUCAAUAAUUUUCCAUUUUUCCCAAUGCUACGUGAGUCAAUCGUCAAGGAAAAAUAUCCUGUUCAUUAAGAGUUUAAAUGUUUUAGUAUAAAAUGAUGACCUGUUUUAUGAUCAAACAAUAGUUAUUUACCAAAGGUUACACAUUCCCAGCUGUGUAUUAUUAUGAAACUUUAGGUUAUGUCAAUCAUCAAUAGAGUUUCUUCAUUUGAUACCCUUAACAUAAUUUUUUCCAGAUAUAGAUACAUUAUGUUCAUAUGUUAUCUUUAGAUUUCUGGAUUUUUGUGAUAUCUGUUCUCAUUUAUAUGGUCAUGAACGAUUUUAAUAGAAGGUGAAAUAGAAUAAGAUACUCUUAGUAAUCUGCCUCAUAAGUGAGAAAUUCACUAUAUUUUUUUGACAUUUAUUAGAAUCAUUAUUUUUAAAUUCCAUGGCUAUAGUGCUAUACUUAUCCUACUGAGAACUGCUCUCAAUUUAAUUAAUAAGGACUUGUCUGUUGAAUACAUCAUUCCUUUUAGUAUUCCUCCCAUCUUCUCAGGGUAUACUGGAAGGAAAAUUUGUGUGCUUUUGCUGAAUAUUAUUAUAGUUAUACCUUUGGAUAGUUUAAUACACUGACAUGAUUAGUUGUACUGAGUUUAUAUUUUAAUAUAACACUCAAAUUUUUUACUGGAUUAUGCGAGUCAGGUACUCUUACCUGAACAUUUUAGCCACUUAUAUAUAAACCUCUACCAUAGUUUUACAAUGCUAGGCUGUCUUUAAAAAGUCCAUGGCAUUUAUCAGGAAUAAGACAUUUUAAAAAUCAAUUUCUAGCAGUUUGAGCUAUGAGAAUGCAAAUUAUAACAUUGUACUACAGUUCUGGGAUGUACUAAAAAAUUAAGAAGAGGCAUAACAAUAAUUACGCCAGGUGGUGUGUUUUAUUUGUAAUGACAAAGCUUAUUUCUACACAAAAUGCCUCUAGUAUAAAAGAAUGUCAAGAAUUACUAUCUAACGCAUUGCUGAUUUCUUUAAUUACUCUCAUUAAUGUGCCUUUAAUAGCUACCCAGAAUUAAAUAUUUAAAAUAUAUUGUGCAUUUUUUAUUAAAGGAGAUAUUUAAAUAAAGCAAAAUAAAUUUCAUAUCUAUAAUCUUCAGUUAUAGGAAUGAAGAUAGAAGCAGUGUAUAUUUAUCUUAGGGAAGUUGUUAGUAAUUACUAAAUUUCUUUAACAAAGCAAAAUUGGAUUCACCAAAAUAUAAACAAUAUAAAUAAUCAUAUGUUUAAGUGGUUCAACAUUUUAAAGUGUUAAUUACCUUCUAAGAUAUAUUCUGCCUCAAAGCCUCCAUACAUGCUGAGAAACAUACUGAGGAAUUAUAAACAUCUUGUGUAAAACAUGUUGUCAUAUAUUCUCCAACAACUGUGUUUCAGUAAAAUCUGCCCAAGGCUUAACAAAAAAGUGUUUAAAGUAUUAUCUGUCUACAUCAAGAGCAGCAUUUUGUCAGUUAAAUAAAUUAUGAUAACUUUGUGAAAUACAGUAAUUAAGGUGCUUCUAUGUAAUAGAAUAAUGUGUAACUGGUAGAAUAUUACUUUACAAGAAUGUUUAAGGUUAUUAAAAUGUUCAGAUAUGUUAAACAAAGUGCACUUGUUGAAUAAUAUACAGCUUAUGAUGAAAAUUUUGUGAGUGAAUGAUGAAAAUUUUGUUGGGUAUAUAUGUAAAUAUUUAAUGUGUGUAGAAAAUGAGAGAGAGACAAAGAUGGUAAGAGCAGGUAAGUACUUUAAAAGAAUUAUAACCCAAAGAAUUAUAAUAAUCAUCAUCUGGGUAGUAGAAUUAGGUGUUCUUAAUUUUCUUCUUACACUUUCAAAAGCAUUUUACAGUGUCAUUAUGAAUAUAUAUGACUAUUUUAAUAAAAAUAAUUGCACAAAGUAUGUAUUAAUGAUUAUAAAUAGAAUAUAUUAUUUAGUAUAUACUAUACUUAUAAUUACUUCCUUCAACAGAACUACUUUGUUUUACUAUGAUCAGACACUAAUAUUAACCAAAUUAUAUCUUCUAGAUUCAUCUGCUCCAUUUAUACCCUCUUUUAAAUUUACCUCCAAGAAAGCAAUUCUGUUCUUUCUUGCACCUCUAAUUUCUUUCCACUGUAUCCUUUCUUUUUAAUUCCAUAAAUGAGUAUGAAGUUUGUCAUGGAUGUUCUGUGUGGCCCUAGGACAAAAUCUAUCAGAAACUGUAUUGCAUGAAGAUGGCUGGCAGCUGAGUCCUUUAGAAAUGCCUUUUGCUGAAGGGAGUUGGGCCAUCAAAGAUGUAAUGAUACAUCCCUGGGAGAGGUCAGGGUCCAAUGACGGUUUAAUGUGAGGUUUGAGAUGCCCAGCCCCCUUGCAUGAUUCAGAACUUCUCUGUAGGGCCGUCUCCAUUUCAUAAGCCCUGUGUGAUUGGCUGAAGUUUCUGUUCCUACUGUAACCAAUUCCUCCCUUCUCCUUUUCCAAUUCAGCUUCUUGUGUUUCCUCAUAGAUACUGCGACUGAAAACGACCCAAUGCCUUUCCUGCAUAAAAAUGUCUGUCUCUUAGUCUACUUUGCAGGCAAAAUGACAAAGGGAUUAUUCAAAGGUACAUCCAGCUAGUGUUGCAAGGAAAUGUUUAUUGGGAUUACACACAAAAAUGUGAAGGUUCUGUAUAAGAAGGGGAGCCCAUUUUCAGUUCAAACCUUAAAUAAACUAAAUGAAUUUUUUUUUUUUUUUUUUUUUUUGCUCUCACGCUUAACACGGCAAAAUAAUUAAAGAAGAUAGGAAAUAUCAGUACAGAAAACCGUAGUCUAAGCAGACAGACAUAGGCUUUUUUUGUGGAAAACAAGUGAAACUGUCAGUCAGCAGUUACAGAAAAUAUUGCAGAACAUCUCAGAGGGAAGCAAUGUCCCUCUGGACAUCAAUUGUGGUAGAUUUACUUAAAGUAAAUUGUAUAAUUUUUCAUGACUUCAAAGGCUAAGUAUUUAGUGGUAAUGGCUCUUAAAACUGUCAUCAGAAGGAAGAGGAUCAGCAGAGUUGGGACAAUCUAGUCAAAUUCAAUUAAAUAUUGAAUACUAAAUUCUUCCUAUAUUUUCUAGCUUUGUUCUAGAUGUUACUUGGGAGGCUGAGGCAGGAGAAUCGCUUGAAUCUGGGAGGCUGAGGUUGCAGUGAGCCAAGAUCCUGCCACUGAACUCCAGCCUGGGUCACAGAGUGAGACUCCAUCUCAAAAAAAAAAAACCAGAAAGCAAAACAACAACAACAACAACAACAACAACAACAACAAAAAACUUAAGCUUUAGAAAAUGUUGUAAUAGAGAUUUUAUGGAGGGUAAUAUGGUUAACAUUUCUCUACUUCCUUAGUGAUGGAGAAUCAAGAGUUUCUUACCUACCUAUUCUCUAUCUACCUCUCAGUUUUGAAUCCUUCACUUGUUUACUCUGCAUCAUAUCUAGCACUCUGCCAGUCUGUUUUAUAUCCCUACCCCUCUUGAACCUUGAUAGCUAAACUUAAGCAUCAUGUAGUCUACAACUAAUCCAGACUUAUUCUCUCUGUGAAAUAGGUUCUAGCAUCUAUCACCAUUUCAGUAAAGGGCAAAUGAAAGAAUUGUAAACACACCCUCACAUUCUAAGUCUUCCAUCCACUGAGCAACAGGAAUUUCUUAAUUUAUACUCCAUAUGGUGGCCAAGGACUGAUUUAUUAUUAUGUGAGUAAUUCACACCAGGUAUUCAUGACCAGGUAAAUCUACACUCCUCAUAAUUCUGUGGUUUCCCUGUUGUUUGAAAUAGUCUGUAAAGUUGUUUAUUCUUCCCUGUGUCCUUCGUUUUGUGCUUUUUUUUAUUCAAUUACUUAUUACUUAUCUAUCCUAUUUUUCUUUCCCCUCCCACCCCAAACUCUGACAACUACUGACCUGUUCAUCAUUCCUGCAGUUUCUCCUUUUCUAGAAUGUCAAAUAAAUACAAUCUUAAAAUAUGUAACCUUUGAGACUGGCUUCUGUUACAGCACAAUGCAUUUGCAAUUCAUCUAUGUUGUUGUGUGUGUCAGUAGUUGAUUACAUUUUAUUGUUCAGUAAUACUCCCUUGUUUGUAUAGGCUAAGUUUGUCUAUUCCAUCACCUAUGCAUUUGAAUUAAUGCCAGUUUGAGUUAUCCUGGCAUAAACAUUCUUAUAUAGAUUUUGGGGUGAAAGUAACUUUUCAUUUCUCUAAAAUAAACAUGUAGAAAUGGGAUUGUUGAGUCAGAUGGUAAUUACAUGUUUAACUUUUUAAGAAACAGACUGCCUUAGAUUCUUUAGUGUUGCUGUAAUAGCAUAUCAUAGACUGGGUAAUUUUAAAGAGGGUAAAUUUAUUUCUUAUAGUACUGGAGACUGGAAAGUCCAAGAUCAAAUGGCACACAUCUGGAUAAGGCCUUCUUACUGCACCAUUUCAUGGAUGGGAGCAGAAAGGCAAGAAAACAUAGAAGUGGGGUCACUUUUUUGUCUGGUAGCUUUACUUUUAAAUUUUUGAAGAACCUCCAUCUGUUUGUAUUAGUUCAUUUUGUGUUGCUGUAAAGGAAUACCUGAGGCUAGGAAAUGUAUAAAGAAAAGAAUUUUAUUUGGCUCAUAGUUCUGCAUGUGCUGUACAAUCAUGGCACCAGUAUCUGCUUGGCUUCUGGUGAGGCCUCAGGAAGCUUUUACUCAUAGCAGAAGGGAAGGGAUCCAGCAUGUCACAUGGUGAAGAAGGGAGCAAGCAAGAGAGAGAAAGUGCCAAGCUCUUUUAAACAACCAGCUCUCGCACGAGCUAACAGAGUAAGGACUUACUUAUUCCUGUGAAGACAACACCAAGUCAUUCGUGAAGGAUCCAUGUCUAUGACCCAAACAUCUCGCAUUAGGCCUACCUGCAACAUUGGAGGUCACAUUUCAACAGAAUAUCAGUGUUUUCACAAUGCCUAUAUUACUGCUGAGUUUUAGGAGUUCUUUCUGUAUAUCUUUCUGGAUACAAGUUUUUCAUUGAUGUUAUGCUUGAUAAAGCAAACAAGGUCUGAGGGCAAAGACUAGAGUAAAUACCUAAUGCCUUGAUGCACAGACAUUGAUGAAUGUUCACAAGCAUCAAGAAUAUGAAAGGCAUUAUGACUUCAUGAAACAAACUAAAUAAGGUGCCAGUGACUAACUUUAAAUAGAGGGAUAUGUGUGACCUCUCAGACAGAUAAUUCAAAAUUACUGCUUUGAGGAACUCAACCGACUUUAGGAAAAUACAGAGAAGGAAUUCAAAAUUUUAUCAGAGAAACUUGACAAAGAGGUUGAAAAAAAUCAAAUGGAAGUCCUGGAGCUGAAGAUGCAUUUGAGGUUCUCAACAGCAAAAUUGAUCAAGCAGAAGAAAAAACAUCAGUGAGCUCAAAGACAGCUAUUUAGAAAUAUCAAAAAGUCAGAGAAAAAAAAAAGAAUGAAAUUCUAUGGCCAGGUGCAGUGGCUCAUGCCUGUAAUCCCAGCACUUUGGGAGACUGAGAGCGGAGGAUCACUUGAGCUCAGGAGUUCAAGAACAACUGGGGCAACGUGGCAAAAACCCAUCUCUACAAAAAAUACAAAAGGUAGCCAGACAUGGAGAUGCACACCUGUAGUCACAGCUACUCAGGAGGCUUAGGCAGGAGAAUCACUUGGGCUUGGAAGAUCAAGGCCACAGUGAGUUAUGAUCGAGCCACUGCACUCCAGCAUGGGUAACUAAGCAAAUAUCCUGUCUCACAACAACAACAACAACAAAGGAAUGGAAUCCUGUCAUUCACAAUGUGGAUGGAACUGGAGGACAUUAAGUGAAAUAAACUAUGAACAGAAAGUUAAACACCACAUGUGAUAUGGUUUGGCUCUGUGUCACCACCCAAAUUUCAUCUCGAACUGUAAUCCCCACAUGUUGAGGGAGGGACCUGGUGGGAAGUGAUUGGAUCAUAGGGGUGGUUUCACUCAUGCUGUUCUUGUGAUAGUGAGUUCUCAUGAGUUCUGAUGAUUUAAAAGUGUUUGGCAGUUCCUCUCCUCUCUCUUGCCUGCUGCCAUGUAAGAUGUGCCUUGCUUCCCUUUUGCCUCCUGCCAUGAUUGUAAGUUUCCUGAGGUCUCCCCAGCCAUGUGGAACUGGCAGUCAAUUAAACCUCUUUUCUUUAUAAAUUAAAAAAAAAAAAGUCAGGGAAGAAAACAGGAAAAGAACAAAAAAUGAAAAACAUAAAAUCUAGAAAACAGCCUCAAAAGUACAAAUCUAAGAGUCAUUGACCUUCAAAAGGGAGUUGAGAAGGAAUAAAGGGUAGAAAGAUUAUUGAAAGAAAUAAUAACAGAAAACUUUCCAAGCCUAGAAUAAAUACAUAGAUAUCCAAGUGAAGGAGUGUCGGAGAUCACCAAAGAUUUAACUCAAAUAAGACUACUUCAAGGCAAGUAACACGUUAUAAUUACAACAGCUUAUUUUAAACUGAUGACCCCUUAACUUUGAUCACAGUAUAAGAAUGGAAAUAAAGAAACUCUAAAGCAAGAAACUCUAAAAUACAGAAACUCUCCAUAUUAACUUCAUUUUCUGCAUCUCUCCCCCAGGCAUAAAUAUUUUGACUUCUAGAUGUCUCAAUUUACAUCUUUUAUAUUGUUUACCUCAAUAUAUUUUUAUUUUUAUUAUUGUUAAUAAUUUUGUCUUUUACUUUUUAUGUUAAAUAUAUGACAGGUUUACAAACCACAAUUUCAUCAUUGGAGUAUUCUGAAUUUGUCUGACAUUUACUUUUAUCAUUGAGUUUUAUGCCUUUAAAUUUUGUUGUUAAAUAUUACUGUCCUUUCCAUUUAAAUUGCAGUACUUUAUUUAGUACUUCUUCUAAGGUGGAUCUGGUGGUCACACAUUCCCUCAACUUUUGUUUGCCUGGCAAAAUCUUUAUUUCUGCUCCAUGUUUGAGGAUAGUUUUGCUGGAUACAUCAUUCUGUGUUGGCAGGUUUUUGUUUCUGUUUUUGUUUUUGUAUUUCAGCACUUUAAAUAUGUCACCCACUCCUUCCUGACUGCGUGAUUUCUGCUGAGAAGUCUGCUUCAACACAUUGAGGAGCUUCUUUAUCUGCUAUUUUCUUAUUUUUUCUUGCUGCUUUUAGGGUCCUCUGUUCAUCCUUCACCUUUUAGAGUUUGAAUAUUACUUGUGAGGCAUUGAACUCAAGUGCAGUCCUGUUACAGCAGAAGGAAAAACGACCAAAUUCAGCUGUGUCCACAGAGAGAGCAUUUAAACCAGCCCUAGCCAGAAAAGAAUUGCUCAUUCCAGUGGUUGGAACUUGAGUUCCCAUUAGUCUUGCCACUGCAGGCUACAGCAUUCUGUGUCUCCAAGUAAACUUGAAAAGCAGUCUAAGCCAGGGGUGUCCAAUUUUUUGGAUUCCCUGAGCCACAUUGGAAGAAGAAGAAUUGCCUUGUGCCACACAUAAAAACACUAAAACUAACGAUAGCUGAUGGACUGAAAAAAAAAAGUCACAACAAAAUCUUACUUGUAAACUUUUAAGAAAGUUUACAAAUUUGUGUUGGGCCACAUUCAAUUGGGUUGGACAAGCUUGGUCUAGGUCAUAAGGACUACAACUAUUAGGUGAGUCCUAGUGUUAAACUCAGCCCAGAGACAAUGGACUUGGGGGGCACAUGACAUACUGAGGUCCAACUAGGGCAGCCAAGGAAGUGCUGCCAUCACUCAUUCCUCAAGGCCAGACCCCUUCCUUCUGCUUGAGGAAAGAAGAAGGAAAAGUGGGAAGAACUAUGUCUUGCAUCUAGGCUAUCAGUUUAACCACAGCUCAACCACAGAAGGAUAGGACACUGGUCAGAGUUAUGAGGCCCCCGUUCCAGGUCCUAGCUCCUAGAUGACAUUACUAGACUCACCCUGAGCCAGAAGAGAAUCCACUACCUUGAAGGAAAAGUCCUAGUCUUGGCAGCAUUCAGCAUCUGCUAACAGAAGAGCCCUUGGGCCUCAAAUAACAAGCAGCAAUACUCAUGUACUACAUCAAGGACCUUGAUGAACCUCUUAUAAUUACUGGCUUCAGGUGAGACUCAGCAAAUUGCCAGCAGUGGUGAAUAUGUGGUGAAACCCCUUCUGCUUGAGAAAAGCAGAGAGAAAAGUAGAGGAGACUUUGUCUUGCACCUUAGAUACCAGCAUGAGUACAGGGCGGUAGAGCACCAAGUGGGCUCCUGGGGUCAAUGAUCCAAUAAAUUCACUUUUGAACAGCAUUUCUGAACAUUCCCGGGGCCAGAACCCACUGCCCCUGAGGGAUAAGUCCCAGGUCAAAAAACAUUCACAACAAGCUAACUAAGAGACCUUAGGCCUUAAGGGAACAUUGGUGGUAGUCUGGCAAUAAUCCUCGUGGACUGGGAUAGAAGUGGCUAGGAGGUGAGGCUCCUCUGCUUUUGGAAAGGGGAGGGAAGAGUGGGAAGGACUUCAUCUUGGGUUUGAGUGCCAGCCUAGCUGCAAUACAAUAGAAUACCAGGUAAAAUUCUAAGGUUUUUGACUGAAGUCCCUAACUCCUGAAUGGCAUUUCUGGACUCAUCCAGGGCCUGGGGGAUCUCACUGACUUGAAGGGAAGGACAAAGAUCUGGCUGGCUUUGCCACCUGCUGAUUGUAGAGCCCCAGGGCCUUGAGGGAACACAGGCAGUAGCCAGGGAGUGGAUGAAACAGGCCUUGGGCAAGACCCAGAACUGUGCUGGCUUCAGAUGUGAGCCAAGGCAGACACAGUAGUAGUGGCCAUGGGAGUGUUUAGGCCAUUCCAACCCCAGCUUUAGAAGAUUCAGAAAGAGAGAGAGAGCGAGAGAAAGAAAGAGAAACUCUGUAUGUUUGGAAGAAAGAAGAAAGUAAGGGAAGAGAACAAGAGUCUCUGCCUGGUAAUCCAGAGAAUUCUCCCGGAUUUUAUCCAAGACCUGCUAGGCAGUACCUCUAUGAGUCUGCAAGAACUACAGCAUUACUGUACUUGGGGUGCCCUGUACAGCAGAUACAGCUUAGAUCACAACACUGAAGGCCUUUCAAAUAUCUGAAAGGCCUUCCCAAAAAGGAUGACUACAAAUAAACCCAGACAGUGAAGACUACAAUAAAUACCUAACUCUUCAAUGGCCAGACACCAACGAACAUCUACUAGCAUCAAAAUCAUCCAGAAAAUCAUGACUUCACCAAAUGAACUAAAUAAGAAACCAAGAAUCAAUCCUGGAGAAACAGAGAUAUGUGACUUUUCAGAAAGAGAACUCAAAAUAGCUGUUGAGGAAACUCAAAUAAAUUCUAGAUAAAGGCUGUCACGGUGGCUCAUGCCUGUAAUCCCAGCACUUUGGGAGGCCAAGGCAGGCAGAUCACCUGCGGUCAGGAAAUUGAGACCACCCUGGCCAACAUGGUUAAACCCCAUCUCUACUAAAAAUACAAAAAUUAGUCGGGCAUGGUGGCAGGCACCUAUAAUCCCAGCUACUUGGGAGGCUGGGGUGGGAGAAUCGCUUGAACUUGGGAGACGGAGGUUGCAAUGAGCCGAGAUCAUGCUCCUGCACUCCAGCCUGGGUGACAGAAUGAGUCUCCAUCUCAAAAGAAAAAAAAAAGAAAUUCUAGAUAAACAUAGAGAAGGAAUCCAGAAUUCUAUCACAUAAACUUAACAGAUAAAUCGAAAUAAUUAAAUAGAAUCAAACAGACAUUCUGGAACUGAAAAAUAUAACUGGCAUACUGAAGAAUGCAUCCAAGUCCUUUAACAGGAGAACUGAUCAAGCAGAAAAAAGAAUUAGUGAACUUAAAAACAGGAUAUUUGAAAAUAAAAAUUGGAAGAGACAAAAUAAAAAAAUAAAAAGCAAUAAAGCACAUCUACAAAAUCUAGAAAAUACCCACAAAGGGGCAAAUGUAAGAGUUACUGGCCUUAAAGAUGAGGUAGAGAAAGAGAUAGAAAUAGAAUGUUUAUUCAAAGGGAUAAUAAGAGAACUUGCCAACGUAGAGAUGACUCAAUCAAAAGUAAUAACUACAACAAUUUUAAAGACAUAGUUAAUACAAUAAGAUAUAAAUAGAAACAACAAAAAGUUAAAAAGCAGAAGGAUGAAAUUAAGGCAUAGAGUUUCAUUAUUAUCCUUUUUGCUUGUUUGUUUGUUUACAGAAAUACUGUUACGUUGUUAUCAGUUUAAAAUAAUGGUUAUAAGAUAGCAUUUGCAAGCCCUAUAGUAACCUAAAGCAAAAAAAAAAAAAAAAAAAAGAAUAAAUUGCACAAAAAACAAAAAGCAAGGAACUAAAUCACAUCACAAGAGAAAAUCACCUUCAGUAGAGGAAAACAGGAAGGAAAGAAAGCAGGAAGAGAAAACCACAAAACAACUAGAAAACAAAUAACAAAUUGGCAGGAAUAAAUCCUUAAUUAUCAGCAAUAACAUUGAAUGUAAAUGGAGUAAACUCCUUAAUAAAAAUACAUUGACUGGCUGAAUGGAUAAAAAAAAAACAAAACCCAUGGAUUUAUUGCCUACAAGAAAUACACUUCACCUAUAAAGACAUAUAUGGACUGAAAAUAAAGGGAUGGAAAAAGAUAUUUCAUGCCUAUAGAAACUGAAAAAGAGUAGGAGUCACUAUACUUAUAUCAGACAAAAUAGAUACCAAGACAAAAAUUGUAAGAAGUGAUAAAGAAGGACAUUAUAUAACAAUAAAGGAGGCAAUUCAGUAAGGGAAUAUAACAAUUUUAAGUAUAUAUGCACCCAAUUCUGGAGCACCCAGAUGUAUAUAAAAAAAUAUAUUAGAGCUAAAGAAAGAGAUAGGUCCCAAUACAAUAAUAGCUGGUGACUUCAACACCUCACCUUCAGCAUUGGACAGAUCGUAUGGACAGAAAAUCAACAAACAAAUAUCAGACUUAAUCUGUACUGUAGACCAAAUGAAUCUAAUAUAUAUUUAGAGAACAUUUCAUCCUUGAGCUGCAGAAUACACAUUCUUUUUCUCAGCACAUAGAUUAUUCUCAAGGAUAAACCAUAUGUUAGGCCACAAAACAAGCCUUGAAACAUUCAAAAAAUUGAAAUACUAUCAAGUAUCUUGUCUGGCCAAAAUGAAAUAAAACUAGAAAUUAAUAACAAGAGUAAUUUUGAAAAUGGUACUAAUACAUGGAAAUUAAACAAUAUACUCCUGAAUGAUCAAUGGGUAAAUAAAGAAAUAAAGGAGGAAAUCAAAAAAAUUCUUGAAACAAAUGAUAAUGGAAGCACAACAUACCAAAAUUGAUGAGAUACAAAAAAAGGAGUACUAAGAGGGAAGUUACAGCUAUAGGUGCCUAUAUAAUAAUGAGGAAAAACAGCAAAUGAAUUAUCUACAUAUGCGUCUUAAAGAACUAGAAAAGCUAGAGAAAACCAAACUCAAAAUAAGUAGAAGAAAAAAAAUAAGAAAUCUCAGAGCAAAAAUAAAUGAAAUUUAAAUUUAAAGAUACAAAAGAUCAAUAACCUCAAAGUUUGUUGUUUGAAAAUUUAAACAAAAUUGAGAAAACAUUAGCCAGACUAAGAAAAAAAUGAAUCCAAAUAAAUAAAAUCAGAAAUGUAAAAGAAGACAACUGACACUGCAGAAAUUUAAAGGUUUAUUAAUGACUACUAUGAGCAACUAUAUGCCAACAAGUGGGAAAAUCUAGUGGAAAUGGACAAAUUUCUAGAUACAUACAACCUACCAAGAUUGAACCAUGAAUAAAUCCAAAACUUGAUCAGACCAAUAAGUAAUGAGAUCAAAAUUGUAAUAAGUGUCACCUAAUAAAAGUUUAAGAUUUGAUGGUUUUACCACUGAAUUCUACCAAACAUCUAAAGAAGAAAUAAUACCAGUACUAUUCAAACUAUUCUGAAAAAUAGAGGAGGGAAUACUUCCAAACAGUUGCAGCACUGUUUAAAAUAGCUAAGAGUUGGAAGCAACCUAAGUGUCCAUCAACAGAUAAUGUAUAAAAAAAUGUGGUACAUAUAUACAAUGGAGUACUCUUCAGCCAUAAAAAAAAAAAGAAUACAGAUCCAGUAAUUUGCAGCAAUGUGGAUGGAACUGGAGAUUAUUAUGUUAAGUGAAAUAAGCCAGGAGCAGAAAGAUAAUCAUCACAUAUUUCAUUUACCUGUGGGAUCUAAAAAUCUAAACAUUUGAACUCAUGGACAUAGAGACUAGAAGGAUGGUUAUCAGAGGUUAGGAAGGGUAGUGAGGAGCUUCGGGGGAAGAUGGUGAUGGUUAAUGGUUAUUAAAAAAAUUAAAAAAAACAGAGAGAAUAAGACCUACUAUUUGAUAACACAAUAGGGUGAAUAUAGACAAUAAUAACUUAAUUGUACAUUUUAAGAUAACUUAAAGAGUAUAACUGGAUUGUUGGUAAUUCAAACGAUAAAUGCUUGAGGGGAUGGAUACCCCAUUUUCCAUGAUUUGCUUAUUUCACAUUGCAUGCCUGUAGCAAAACAUCGCAUGCACCUUAUAACGAUAUAUGAUGGACCUACAAAAAAAUUUUUAAGAAAAAAACAAAAAAGGAGAGAUGACCUAAAUAAAAUCAGAAACAAAAAAGAAGACAAUAUAACUGAUGACAAAGAAAAAGAAAGGAUAAAAAAUGCUACUAAGAAGAACCAUAAGCCAGCAAAUUGGAAAAUCUAGAAGAAAUGGAUAAAUUCCUGCACACACACAACUUGACAAGAUUGAAUCAUGAAGAAAUAGAAAACCUAAACAGAUCAAUAACAAGUAACAAGACUGAAGCAGUAAUAAAAAUCUCCCAUAAAAGAAAAGCCCAAAACCUGACAGCUUCACUGCUAAGUCUACCAAACAAUUGAAGAACUAAUAUCCAUUCUACUCUAACUAUUCCAAAAAGUUUAAUGGGGGGAAUACUUCCAAACUCAUUUUAUAAGGUCAGCAUUACUUCCAGGCCAAAAUCACUAAUGAAUAUAAAAGCAAAAAUCCUCAACAAAAUACUAGUAAACCAAAUUCAACAAUACAUUAAGAAGAUCAUUCACCAUGAUCAAGUAGGAUGCAUCUCAGGUAAUCAAGAAUGAUUCAAAAUAUACAAAUCAAUAUAUGUGAUACAUGAAAGUAACAGAAUAACAAAACCCACUUGAACAUUUCAAUAGAUGCAGAAAAAUAUUUGAUAAAAUUAAACAUCUCUUCAUGAUAAAAACUUUCAACAAAUUGGUUACAGAAAGAAGGUACCACAACAUGCUAAGUGUGACAUACGACAAACCCUUAAGCUAAGAUUGUACUGAAUGAAGGAAAGCUGAAAGCUUUUCUCUAAGAUCAGCAAUAAGACAAAGAUGCCCAGUUUCAUGCUUCUAUUCAACAUAGUAUUGGAAGUCCUAGCCACAGCAAUCUGGCAAGAGAAAGAAAUAAAAGCUAUCAAACUGGAAAGGAAGAUGUUAAAUUGUCCCUGUUUGCAGGCAACAUAAUCUUAUAUAGAGAAAAAUCUGAAGUAUUGAUUUUAUACAUUGAAACAUCCUUGAACCUCAGGGAUGAAUCCAACUGGAUCAUGUUGAAUGGUCUUUUUAGUGUGCUUUUGAAUUCUGUUUGCUAGUAUUUUGUUGAGAAUUUUUACAUUUAUGUUCAUCAGGCAUAUUGGUCUGUAGUUUUCUUUUCUCAUAGUGCCUCUGCAUGGUUUUGGUGUAAGGAUAAUGUUGGUCUUUCAAAAUAAGUUUGGACAUAUUUUCUCCUAUAAUUAUUUGGAAGAAUUCGAGAAACAUUGGUAUUACUUCCUUUUCAAAUAUUUAGUAGAAGUCAUAGUAAACUUACCAGUUCUUGGGCUUUUCUUUGAUGAGUAUCUUUUUAUUUCUGAUUCAAUCUCCUUACCUUUUAUUGGUCUGUUUAGAUAUCUCUUUCUUCAUAACUCAAUCUUGGUAGGCUGUAUGAGUCUAGGAAUUUAUUCAUUUUUUUAGGUUAUCAAAUUUGAUGGCAUACAAUUCUUCAUAGUAGUCUCAUACAAUUCUUUUUAUUGAUGUGGUAUCAAUUGUAAUGGCUUCUUCUUAAUCUCUGAAUUUAUUUAUUUGAGUCCAUAAAAAACUUUUAGAACUGAUGAAUGAAUUCAGUAAAGGUACAGGACGCAAAACCAACAUACAAAAACCAGUAGCAUUUUUAUACUAACAUUAAACUAUCGGCAACAAAAUCAAGAAAAUAAUUGCAUUUACAAAAACUUUACAAUAACUACGAAAAAUAAGUACUUUAGAAUAAUUUUAACCAAGGAGAUAAAAAAAUCUGUAUACUGAAAACUGUAACAUAUUUACUAAAGGAAUUGGAGAAUACACAAAAAAAGUGAAAAGAUACCCUCUGUUUAAGGAUUGGAAGACAAUAUUGUUAAAAUAUCCAUAUUACCCAAAGUGACAUACAGUUUCAAUGCAAUCAAAAUUCUAAUAUUAUUUUUCACAGAAACAGAAAAAAAAUCUAAAAUUUGUAUGGAGCUACAAAAGCCUUGAAUAGCCAAAACAAUCUUAUGCAAAAAGAACAAAGCUGGAGGAGACAUACUACCUGACUUUAAAAUAUAUUACAAAGCUAUAGUAACCCAAUCAUCAUGGUUGCAUAAAAAUAGAUAUGCAGACCAAUAGAAUACAAUAAAAGUCCCAUAAAUAAAUCCGUAUAUUUAUAGCCACCUGAUUUUUUGAUAAAGGUGCCGGGAACACACAUUAGGGAAAGGACAGAAUCUUCAAUAAAUGAUGUUGGUAAAACUGGAUAUCCAUAUGCAGAAGAAUGAAAUUAGGCCCACAUCUCUUACAAUGUAUUAAAUCAACUCAAAAUCGAUUAAAGACUUAAGCCUAAGAUAACAAAACUUUGAAACUACUAGAAGAAAUCAUAGGGGGAAUGUUCCAUGACAUUGGCUUGAGCAACAACUUUUUGGAUAGGACAAAAUCACAGACAACAAAAGCAAAAAUAGACAAAUUGGAUUACAUCAAAUUAAAAAGCUUCUCUAUAGCAAAGGAGGAAAUCAACAAAAUGAAGAGAGAAUCUAUAGAAUAGGAGAAAACAUUUGCAAACUAUUCAUCUGAUAAACGGUGAAUAUCUAGAUUAUAUAAGAAACUUAAACAACUCAAUAGCAAGAAAACAAAUAACCUGAUUUUAAAAUGGGCAAAAUACCUAAAUAGAUUUUUUUAAAACACUGUAAAAAAUAUCUAUCAGGUAUAUGAAAAUGUGGUCAAAUCACUAUCAAGGAAAUGUGAAUCAAAUCCACAGAGAGAUAUCACCUCACUUCUAUUAGAAUGGCUUUUAUCAAAAAGACCAGAGUAAGCAAAGAUGUGGGGAAAAGGAGCCUGACACACUGUUAAUGGAAAUGUAAUGCUGUUAUGUACAGCCAUUAUGGAAAAUAGUAUGUAGUUUUCUCAAAACAUUAAAAAUAGAACUCCCAUGUUAUCCAGAAAUUUCACUACUGGGUAUAUAUCCAAAGGAAAUAAAAUCAGUAUGUGGAAGAAAUGUCUAUAAUUCCAUGGUCAUUGCAGCAUUAUUCUCAAUAGUCAAGAUAGGGAACCAACCAUGUGACCCUCUAAGGAUGAAUGGAUAAAGAAAAUAUGGUGUAUGUACAAUAUUUACCCUUAAAAAGAAGAAAGUCUUAUAAUUUCUGACAACAUGAAUGACCCAAGAGGACAUUAUGUUAAGUGGAAGAAGACCCCCCUACCCCCCAAAAAAGCUGUAUAAUCUCACUCAUAUAUAAAUCUGAAAAAGUUGAUCUUAGAAGUAGAGAGCAGAAUUGUGUUCAAUUCUACAUGGAUGGGGUUGAAUUGGAAAAGGGGAUUUGGUGAGAUGUUGGUCAUAAAAUACAUAAUAACAGUUAGACAGGAGGAAUAUGGUCAAGUAAUUUAUUGCACAGCAUGACGUCUAUUGUGAAUGACAAUAUAUUGUAUUUUUCAAACAUGCUGAGUGGAUACUGUGUUCUCACCACAAGGCAAUGGAAUACAUAUACAUUUCAUUUAUAUUAUAUUAUAUUAUAUUAUAUUAUAUUAUAUUAUAUUAUAUUAUAGUGAAGUCAAUGUAUUUGUUAAUUAGCCAGAUAACCAUUCCACAAUGUUUAUAUACUUUCAACCCCAUAUUGCACAUGAUAAAUACAUAGAGUUUUAUAUGUUUUUUAAAAAUUUCUUUAUUUUUUAAAAUAAAUUUGAAAAAAAAAGAAACACACAGAAACUCUUUGACUAGAAAUAGUGACUCUCCUAUGUCUAAAUCUACAAACCAAUUGCAUCUGUAGUCAAUCUUCCUUCUGAGCUCCAGAAUUCCCUGUCCUGCUUUCCCUGGAGGAAGCUAGAAUUAUUAAUUAGUCAUCAUUUUCUUGUAUGCCAAUUUCUAUCUACUGGUUCUUUACUGAAGUCCUUUAAAAAUCCUCUUUUCUCUCUGCUUCACAGACAGGAAAGUUCUGCUUGAUCAUUCUUCCCUGUUUUGCCAGAUCUAUAACUUAUUUUUUUUUCCAGAAAUAAGCUCCCAUAAGGCAUUAUCAAGACUCUUUGUCUCAUUUUUUUCACUACUUACACAUAUCUCAACCCACUGACAUCUGGCUUUCAUCGUCCUCAUUCCUUUCAACUGCUCUCAUAAAGGGUACUGAUAUCUCACCUAUUGUUAAUCCAAUGUAUUUUUACUUCCUAUUUUACAUAUGUCUCAGAAGGAUGUGACACACUUGAGACUAUUACACCUUUAAAAAUUCUUUCCACUGAUUUGAUGACAUAAUUUUGGUUCUUUCUUUCUUUCUCCUUGAGAUAUAUUCACUUUUAUUUUCCCUUGCUGUAUCUUUCUCACUGCCAUUCUUUAAAUGCUCUCCCAUGAUGAUGACUAAACUCCCUUCUCUUCUCACACAAGCUCUCUCUGUUAUAUAACCAUACUUAUAUGAAUUCCAUUGCCUUGUACAUGCCAAUGACUCCCUAAUCCAAGUUAAUCUGUAUUCCCUUCCUGAGUGCCAAACACAACUCUCUUCUAGACAUUUCUUCUGAAAUAUUUUUUAAAUACCUCAUGCACAUGUUAAACACUAAACUAAUCAUGCUGGCUCAGUUUUCCCCUUUAAACACAUCUUUUUCAGUGUUCAGUUUAGUAAAAGUAUCCCCAUAUCUACUCACUUAUCAGACUGGACAAAUCUUUCUUCAUUUUCCCCUACAUGCAAUCAAUAUUGAAUUCCUGCCUAAUGUACUUCUCAGCUCUUGAUCCUACCCUUUCUUUCCAUCUCCACUGACACACUUUUAAUUCCAAGCUGAAAUUUAACAAAUUUCUCUCAUCUACAAUCUCCAGAAAGAUAUGUAUAUCACUCUAAUCAUUUGGUACUCUUAAUAGCUUUUGAGUAAUCUAAAAAAAUGCAAAUCUGUUCAUGUUGCGAGCUAUAUUAGACCUUUUUAGCUUCCUGUUACCUUUAUGUCAAAGUCUAUAUGUUGAAGUCUAAGUUCCUUCACAUAACUUACAAUUCUCUUCAUAAUUCUAGGUUUCUCUACCUACUCAGUCUUGCCUUGUCAUAAUCGCUAUCAUUUUAUAAGGCAUAGAUACUCUGGACUGCUCUUGUCUCCAAGAAUGUGUUGUGUCACUUUUCCCCAUGUGUCUUUGAGGAUGCUUUUGCCAGGUCUGAAAUCUUCCUCCCCUUUUACCUGGCUGAUGCCCACUCACUUUCAGGUCCCAACACAUAUGCCUUGAGACAUUUUCUUGACCUAAGAAUAAGUUAGUUUCCAGUGACAAGUGUGUCUAAGCAUCUAAAAUCAAUAAUUCCCUUUAAUUUAAUUACACUAUUAACAGUUAGGGUUUAGAAAAAAAAAGGCUCACACAACAUAGUUUUUUAAAUAUAGAUUUUAGAAGAGUUGAAAAGCCAAACUAGAUGAGAGGGCUACCCAAAUUUAAGCAACAAUUGGAAUCUAUAGGAACAAAGGGAAAAGGUGGUGCCAUAAGUGCCCCAAAUCCAGGGUGGCCAGAUGUGAGUUGAAACCAUGGAAAAGACUGUCCAGUGAGAUGUGGGACCAUGGGCUGAGUGGCCACCUGGAGGAACCGGGAAAUGCUGAAGAGAUGUAGCCACUGUUAGAAAUAGUGGCAGGAAGUACAGUAAAAGAAAGGAAUACCUUAGAUUUGCUUGUCUCUCUGGCUCUACCUCUGACCUCCCACUAGUGUGUUUUUGUGGCAGAACCCAAACUGAAGCCUAGUAACAUGGGAAGGAGAUGCUGUCCAGAAACAUCAGCCCCACUAGAAUACAGAGAGUCAGGGGAAGAUAGGUAGGGGACACAUGACCAGCACUCACAGUAUGUUUUGAACAAUUGUUUAUUUUAAGAGGAAAAAGACUGUGCUUUUCCUGUUUACUAUUUUCAGAAUAUGGCCUUUGCCUAGUUCAUAGUAGGUUUUCAUAAGUAUUUAUUUGAUGGAUUAAUGAUGUCAGUGUCCCCAAAUAUGUAUUCCUAUUAUAUCUUAUACAUAUAUAAAUAAAAACAAAUAUAUACACACACAUAUACACACACACUUUGUUUCCAGAAUUUCAAAUAUUCUUAGUUAAGCUUUUGUCUUGAUUACAUUGUGAUUACACAAAUUCCUUAAGACACAGUUCUUUAGUUUCCUGUGCUGUACCUGAAACAUACUUGCCUAAUAAAUUAAAAAAUCAGGUAUCUGAAAUAGAUAAAACUAGAUAAGCACUAUUCUUCAUAUAUGCCAUCCUAAUUCAGGUUCUUUCUGCUUGAGCAUCUUACAACUCUACUGUUUACUUCCCCUCAUAAUGUAUCCUUCCCUAUCUUACUCCUUCUUUUUUCCAUUUCUUUGGAUGAAUUUUGCUUCCUUAGUAAACUCCAUUCUUGACAAUUUCCUUCAUAAGUGUCAAUUUGGCUUGUGGCUCAGGAGACAGAUAGUUAUACUGCAUUUUCUAACAUACAUUAAAAGCUCUGAAUUAUAUUCUGAUAUCAAAUAACCGUAGAAUUAUACAAUGACAGCUCUGGAUUGUACUUUGAUAAAUCAUCUAGUUUAAUUCCGUUCUCUGUAAAAGGUUAAUAAUGGCAGUGUAGAUAGCGGCUACCUCACACAUUUUUUUUUUCACCUUUCCUUUUACUUAAGCUUGCAUGGAUGGUAUAUCCACCAUCAUGCAAAUUACUCUAUUCCAAUAUUUAAAAGAAGAUUUACAGAGAAGUUCUUCCUUAUCUCCUUCUCCUCUUCCUCCUUUUACUCCUGCUUCUUCUCUUUGUGGGCAUUUUUUUCUUGGUAUCUUUCCUUGCUCAAACAUUCUGAAACAUGAGGAAGAACUUGUUGGUACAUAUAAUGGCAUUAACUUUAUGUUAGAAGAUGGUUAUUACUAUACUGAGAUGGUCUUCACUGGUGGAGCAGGUACAAAGUUUAUAGUCUGCAAACAUAGAACUUUAUCUUUUGUACACAGACUUAGGUCCUGAGUCCCAUUUCUGCUGUUAUUAGAAAAUUGAUGCCAAACAAUUUUCUCUGUCUCUCUUAUCCCAGUAGUUAGAUAAUUAGUCAAUUCAGUAUUUUAUCUCAUCCUUCACUAUUUUUUCUCUUUCUCUCCUUGGUUUAGAAGAUGAGUGAAGUGGGCAGGGACUUAUAUGGCAACAAUUGAAUUACUCUCAUUUUGUUUUCUAGUCACCAUGUCAGUGCAGUUACCUUUACCCAACAGAGAAUUAUUUCCGCAUGUACUUUUCUAUUCUCAACCACAUCUCCUGGGGAUGUAGAAUACUUGGGGAUAUUCUUUCAUGCUACUUCAGAUUCAAAGAAAAAUGGUGGUGGUGGUCGUGGUGGUGGUAUUGAGAGUGAAUUUUGUUGUUGCUGUAUUUGUUUUAGCUUUGUUUCCUCAACUUUCACACAGUAUACAAGACACAGAUUUUCUUUUCCAGGAAAUUCUUAAAAAUCCUCUGGGAUUUCCUCCUGACACAUACUUCCCCAAUAAUUUUAAUAGAUAGAGGAGAUGCAAGGUUUAUUUUGUAUACACAUCUGCUUUGGUCCUCAAUAUUUUAUCACAUAUCAAACUAUUUUCUCUUUCGGGAUUGGAAAAAUGACCUUACAUCAUUAUAAUUCUAUGUCAGUCUAUGGUUUCUACUAAGGAAUUUUAUUGCUGAGCCAUUCAGAUUUGGGGGGGAUGUGGCACUGGCUAAGGUUGUGUUCUCAUGGGCUCCACAUGGGUCCAGUCUCUGGUUCAGAGAGAUCCAAGCCACACUUAAUGUCGUCUAUGUGACUAUGAGUUCUUCCCCAAGCCUUGCGAUGGAGUCCAGUUUCUUUCCUCAAAGUAAGUACUUUCUCUCCAAAUUUACCUAAAGUCACCAAACUUACAGUCUGAAGUGGUUAUUUUAGAAUUAGUGUUUCUUCUCUAAUAAGAAGUUCCAUUAGCUAUUCAGACUUUUCAGAUAGAACAUUGCUAAGAUACAAUAUAACUCAUCUCUCUGUAUCAAAACUAUACAGACUUUGGUGACAUUUUGCAGAAUGAUUCUUUUGAAACCUAAAUGUUUCCUUUAUAUGCCGCCUUUAUAUGUCAUAAUGAAUUACACUAGAACAAAUUCAGGAAUGAAAAAAUGUUGUAGUCUGUAUAUCUAUAUAACUAAAGUAGCUCUGAACUCCUUGUUUUCCUUAGAAAGAAGACACUUUAUUGAGUUAUUUCCAAGCAAGCAUUGCCAUUUGAAAAUUAAACUAAAUUUCAAAAUUUCAGAAACUUCUUUUUAAAAAUUUUGCUCUCCUUGUUUUACUAUUUAAAAACUAUCUUGUAUUGUUACAUCCCUUUAUUUUUCAGUAUUGAAUACAUUUGUAUAUUAAGUCCAUAAGUAAUAUGGACUUCAUAUAUGCUAUACUAUACUUCCUUUAUCUCUGUCUCUGUCUUUCUGCCUUGAGUAGGUAUGAAUGCAUGUAUCUGUGCCAGACUUAUAAAGAUGCAACCACUUUGAUUAAAUCUACAGUAGUGUUGGUAUCAAAAGAAUGCAGUCCUGUAAUUCAAAGUCAUUUCAAAAAACAUACUUUCUUGAAUUACGUUUCUCAAACAUCUUAAAUUAGAAAUACUGUUCAUAUUAUAUCUAUUGUUCUCACUCCAAAGCUGUUCUUGUUCCUCAUCCUUCACUCUCUUUUCCUUUCCAAAAGGAAGAAAUUCCUCAGCAACCCCAACCCCAGCCUUCAUGGGCUCAAAUUGAGGCAGUUUAGCUCUUUAAUUUGUGAUCUUAGUAUAACAUUAUAUUGUUGUGCAUAUUUCAACCUAUAAUAUAUUGAUACUCAGAGUAGCGUAUUUUAAUGAAAAAGUUCAACCAGUGUAAUACAUUUUCUCUUCUAACAAAUUGCGAAUAAGGCUAUUGUAGGAAUAGUCUCCCAAGUAAAACUUUCCUUUUGAAAUAAUAGAGCAUAUUUUUAUAAGCAGAUUACUGAAUAAUGACAGUCAAAAAGCAUCUAGUUCAGAUUUUUUUUAAAUUGGAAAAUUAUUCUGGAUUGUUUAUACUAUUUUUCAUAUAUGAGAAGCAGACAUGAUUAUUGGUGGUAUAUCAUCUCAGUAAUGCCUUACAGUGAAGUUUUAAAUUUUAGUCAAAAUUUUAUAUAGCCUUUUUAUCUUGCAGAGAACUAAGAGAGAGAGAGUAUAUGUUUAAAUUUUGGCAUAGAAAAUAAAAAAUAAUUUUUCUUAGAUAAUUUAAGUUACUCUCUUCAAUUAGAUUGACAUCAUCAGCUUGUCUAUGAUGCAACAAGACACUGUGAAGAUUCUCUCUGGUUUUUACCUAUAAAUUUCUUGUGAACAUUGCCUAAAAGAAGUGUGUGUGUGUGUAUGCAUGUGUGUGUGUGUGUGUGUUUGUGUGUGGUGUGUGUGUGUGUUCCCCUUGCACUGGUAUUGAUAACAACCGUUUUUGUUUUUUUUUUAAUUUUCUAGUUCACUAUGAAACUGCUCUUUUUAAUCCUUCAAUAUGGCUUCAAAUAUAUUUUCAAGACUGGGAACUUUGCCAGUUUAUUUUAAUUUUUAUCUCUGAUAGAGCAUCACAGACUGUAUUGAAAGAAUACUUUUAUAUAUUAUUAACUAUCCUUAUAAUUUAGUUUAAUAUUAAUUUGUAUUCAAAAAUAUUGCUGGAUACCUCUUGCAGCUCUAGGUGCUCCUGAGAAAUAGUUUUAGUUACCUUUUAGAUUUUUACUUUUUUAAAAAAAAUGUAUCCCUAUAUAAAAACAGCUUUGCUGCAUCCCACAGAUUUUGACUCCUCUUACCCUCCUCCUCUAUCAACUUUACAGCUCUAAAUGGAUUGCCUGUUUGUGUGAUUCAGAUAUCUUAUCCCGCAGCUGUCUGAGACACUCACAUUCUUAGGCCAAGUCUGUCACCCUUAUCCACUUACAGUCAAAAUUGGGUAAGGAGGUAGAAGAAUGUAUUGUGAAAGGUAUUCUUUCCUUCCUUCCUGUGUAGUAGCAGUCCUGCUUCCUGACCAUGAAGAACAAUCUCCUGCCAAGAUGGUGGCUCCUUUUCUUGCCUGCUGAUCUGUUCACACAGGACCCUGAAGUAUUCAACACAGCUUAAGCUUUACGAGAAUCUUGCUGUGUCCUUUGUAUAAAAUGUUUUCCCUCUGGGAAAUGACACGUCUAAGCAUAGUGGCCAGAGAUUCAGCAGUAGGAAGCACAAUGAGCCGCUGGUAGUGACGGUAGUCAGGGCAUGGUAGGAUUUUUGUCCCCAGGAUUUUCACCUUCUUAUGUUAUGCCUGUGAAUAUGUUACCUUCAAGGCAAAAUGAAUUAAAGUUUCAGACAGAAAUGAGUUUCCUAAUAUAAUAAUCAUGAAAUAAGAAGAUUAUCCUGGGUGAUUCUGGUGGGUUUAAUGUAAUCAUAAAGCCUUUACAAGCAAAAGAAGGAGGUGGAAUAUUUGAUCCAGUACACUCCCAGUUGUGGCCACAGGGAUGCUUGUGUCACUCCACACCCAGUUCAUGGGGGCUAAGAAAACAGAGAGAGAGAGAGAGACUCAAUUUGUACAGGAGAACUUAAGGGAAGAAAACAAAGUAUCUGCUUGGUAAUCCAGAAAAUUCUUCUGGAUCUUACCCAAGAUGAUCAAAGUGAUACCAGUGCAAAUCUGCAAGAACAAAGCUGUAGUAGGCUUUGGGUACCCCCUAAUUCAGAUACAGCUUACGUAAAAACACACAAGUUUUUUCAAAUACCUAAAAAUUGUUCCCAAGAAAGAUGGGUACAAACAAUCCCAAACUGAGAAGAAUACAAUAAAUAACUACUCUUCAAUGCCCAGACAGAGACAAACAUCUAUAAGCAUCAAGGCCAUACAGGAAAACAUGACCACACCAAAUGAACUAAAUAAGGCACUAGGGACCAGUCCUUGAGAAACAGAGAUACGUGAUCUUUCAGACAGAUAAUUCAAAAUAACUGUGUUGAGGAAACCCAAAGAAUUUCUAGAUAAACACACAGAAGGAUUUCAGAAUUCUAUCAGAUACAUUUAACAAAGAGAUAGAAAUAAUUAAAUAGAAGCAAGCAGACAUUCUGAAGCUGAAUAAUGCAACUGGCAUGAAGAAUGCAUCAGAGUCCUUUAAUAGCAGAACUGGUCAAACAGAAAAAAGAAUUAAUGAGCUUGAAGACAGGCUAUUUAAAAAUACACAACUGGAUGAGACAAAAUUAAAAAGAAUAAAAAAUAAUUAAGCACAUUUACAGAAUCUAGAAAAUAGCCUCAAAGGGACAAAUGUUAAGAGUUAUUGGCCUUAAAGAGGAGGUAGAGAAAGAGAUAGUAAUAGAAAGUUUAUUCAAAGAGAUAAUAACAGAGAAUUUCCCAAACCUAGAGAAAGACAUCAAUAUCCAAAUACAAGAAGGUUAUAGAACACCAAGCAGAUUUAAAACAAAGAAGACUACUUCAAGGCAUUUAAUAUUCAAACUCCCAAAGAUCAGGGUUAAAAAAAAAGGAUUCUAAAACCAUCAAGAGAAAAGAAACAAAAAACAUACAAUGGAGCUCCAAAAGGGCUAGCAGUAGACUUUUCAUUGGAAAUAUUACAGGCCAGGAGAGAGUGGCAUGACAUAUUUUAAGUAAUGAAGAAAAAACCUUUUCCCCUAGAAUAGUAUAUCUGGCAAAAAUAUCCUUCAAACAGGAAGAAAAAAUAAAAACUCCUAUGAAAACAAAAGCUGGGGUUUUUCAUCAACACUAGAUGUUUCCUACAAGAAAUACUAAACGGUGUAGUUCAAUCAGAAAGAAAAACAUGUUAAUGAGCAAUAAGAAAUCAGCUGAAGGUACAAAACUCACUGGUAAUUGUAAGUACACAGAAAAAGCAGAAUAUUAUAACAUUGUAACUGUGAUGUGUAAACUACUCUUAUCUUAACUAGAAAGACUCAGUAAUGAACCAAUAAAAAAUAAUAGCAACAAAAACCUUUCAAGACAUAGACAGUAUAAUAAAAUAUUAACAGAAACAAUAAAAACUUAAAAAGCAGGGGUAUGAAGUUAAGGUAUAUAGUUUUUAUUAGUUUUUUUUUUUUUUUGCUUUUGGUUUGUUUACUUAACAGUGUUAAGUUGUUAUAAGUUUAAAAUCAUAUAAUUUGCCAGUCUCAUGAUAAACUCAUGUCAAGAAACACAAUGAAUAUACAAAAAAUAAAAAAGCAAGAAAUUAAAACAUAUUAUCAGAGAAUAUCACCUUUACUAAAAGGAAGACUAAAAGGAAACAAAAAAAUAAGAAAGAAAAUAUCAUAAAACAACCAUAAAACAAAUAACAAAAUGGUUAUUAUUGAUUAUAACAUUAAAUGCAAAUGGACUAAACUCUCUAAUGAAGAGAGUUUCAGCCUGGCUGAAUGGAAGAAAAAACAAGACCCACAAAUCUCUUGCCAACGAGAAAACACUUCACCUAUAAAAAACACAAAGUAAAAAUAAAGGGAUGGGAAAGGAUAUUCUAUGCAAUUGAAAACUAAGAAAGACCAGGAGUAGCUAUACUUAUAUCAGAAAAAAGAGACUUCAAGGCAAAAAUGAUAAGAACAGACAAAGAAGUCCAUUUUAUAAUGAUAAAAUUGUAAAUUCAUGAAGGGAAUAUAACAAUAGUAAAUUCAGUGAGAGGAUAUAUAUUUACAAACACACAUAUAUGUAUAUAACAAUUCUCUUUCUCUUUAUAUAUAUGUGUGCAUGUAUAUAUGUGUGUGUAUAUAUAUGCACAUAUAUAAAUAUCUAUAUAUACACACAUAUAUAUAAUUGUUAUAUCUUCUUUCUCAAUUUACAACUUUAUCAUAUAUAUGAUGGUUAAUAUUGAGUGUCAACUUGAUUGGAUUGAAGCAUGCAAAGUAUUGUUGCUUGGUGUGUCUGUGGGGGUGUUGACAAAGGAGAUUAACAUUUGAGUCAGUGGACUGGAAAAGGAAGACCCAUCCUUAAUUAGGGUGGGCACAAUCUAAUCAUUUGCCAGCAUGGUCAGAAUAAAAGUAGGCAAAAGAACGCAGACAGAUUAGACAAUCUUAGCCUCCAAGCCUACAUCUUUCUCCCAUGCUGGAUGCUUCCUGCCCUUGAACAUCAGACUCCAAGUUCUUCAGCUUUGAGACUCAUAUUGGCUUCCUUGCCCCUCAGCUUGCAGAUAGCCUACUGUGGGACUUCACCUUGUGAUUGUGUGAGUUAAUACUCCUUAAUAAUCUCCCCUUUAUAUAUACAUCUAUCCUAUUAAUUCUAUCCCUGUAAAAAACCCUGGCUAAUACAACACCCAACACAGGAGCACCCAGAUAUGUAAAGCAAAUAAUUCUAGAGAUAAAUAGAAAGAUAGGCCUCAAUACAAUAAGAGCUGGAAACUUCACCAUCACAUUUUCAGCACCGGACAGAUCUUCCAGACAUAAAAUCAACAAAGACACAUCAGGCUUAAUAUGCACUACUGACCAAAUUGACCCAUAAAUAUUUACAGAAUAUUUCCUCCAAAAGCUACAGAAUACACAUUCUUUUCCUCAGCACACGGAUCUUUCUCGAAGAUAGACCAUAUGUUGGGUCACAGAACAAUUCUUAAAGUGCUCAAAAUAAUUGAAAUAAUAUUAAGCAUCUUCUCUGACUUCAGUGGAAUAAAACUACUCAUAAAUCAAACAGGUAAUUUGGAAACUUUAUAAACAAAUGGAAAUUAAACAAUAUGUACCUGAAUGAUGAGUGCAUCAAUGAAGAAAUUAAGAAAAUUGAAAAAUAUUUUGAAGCAAAUGAUAAUGAAAACACAACAUACCAAAACCUAUGGGAUACAGCAAAAACAGUACUAAGAGGGAACUUUAUAGCUAUAUAUACUUACAUCAUAAAAGAAGAAAAACUUCAAAUAAACUACCUAAAAUGCAUCUUGAAGAAUUAGAAAAGCGGGAUCAAACCAAACCCAAAGUUAGUAGAAGAAAAUACAUAAUAAAGAUCAGAGCACAAAUAAAUAAAUUUAAAAUGAAGAAAACAAUACAAAAGAUCAACAAAACAAAAAGUUUGUUUUUUGAAAAGAUAAACAAAAUUGAAAACUUUUAGCCAGGCUAACUAAGAAAAAAAAGGAGAAUAUCCAAAUAAAUAUAAUCAGAAAUGAAAAAGAAGACAUUACCAUUAUGAUUGUUGCUGCAGGAAUUCAAAGGAUCAUUAGAGGCUACUAUAAGCAAAUGUAUGCCAAUAAAUUGGAAAAUAGAGAAGAAAUUAAUAAAUUCCUAGAUACAUACAACCUGCCAAUAUUGAAUCAGGAAGACAUCCAAAACCUGCACAGACCAAUAACAAGUAACAAGAUUGAAGCAAUCAUAAAAUUCUCCCAAAAAGAAAAGCCUCAGACUUGAUGGUUUCCUCACUGAGUUCUACCAAACAUUUAAGAAAAUACUAACACAAAUCCUACUCAAACCAUCCUAAAAAGCAGAGGAAGAGUGAAUAUCUCUAGAUUCAUUGUAUGAAGCCAGUAUUACCCUGAUACCAAAACCAGACAAAGAGACCUCAAAUAAAGAUGACUAUAAGCAAUAUCACUGAUGAAUAUAAAUAUGCUCAUCAAAACACUAGUGUAUCAAAUUAAACAAUAAGUUAAAGAAAUCAUUCAUCAUGGUGAAGUGGGAUUUAUCCCUGGGAUGCAAGGGAGGUUCAACAUAUGUAAAUCAAUCAAUGUGAUUCAUCAUAUCAACAGAAUAAGAGACAAAAACCAUAUGAUAAUUUCAAUUGAUGCUGAGAAAGCAUUUGAUAAAAUUCAACAUCGCUUCCUCAUAAAAACCUCAAAAACCGGGGUAUAUUAAGAACGUACCUGGACAUAAUAAAAGCCAUAUACAACAGACCCAUAGCUACUAUCACACUGAGUAGGGAAAAACAGAACACCUUUCCUCUAAGACUGGGAACACAACAAGGAUGUGUACUUUCACCACUGUUUUUCAACAUAUUACUAGCUAGAGAAAUCAGACAAAUGAAAGAAAUAAAGGUCAUCCAAACUGGAAAGAAAGAAUGCAAAUUAUCCUUCUUUGCAGAUUAGUAUACAGCAAAAGUACAAAAUUUAAAAAAUAUACAGUCAUACCAGAUAUUGUAUAGGAACUGGGGUUGGCAAAUAUGUAGAAAAUGUUAUUUAAUGUAUUUUUAAAAUGCCACAAAAAGCCCUUUAGAUGUCAUUGUGUAUGUGUCUUUUUUUGUGUGUAUGUAUGUGUGUUGUGUGUGCAUGUGUGUAUGAAAAAGAGAGAGAUUAAUUUUCCUUUAUAAUUAAAGAGCUUUAUUGGAACUUUAGUAAAACUGUUAAAAUGGGCUCUAAUAUUUUAAGUAAGAAUAAUUUGAUUUUAAAAUAAACUAUAUUUAUCAGUUACUCUCUUUUAUCCUAAAGUUAAAACUCACACCUGCAUAUAAGAGUUACAUAGUUAAAGACAAAAUAAUUACUGAAGAAAAUAGAAGAUAAAGAGGUAGCAUUGCUGAUAACUUGGUAUUUGAUAAUACCUUUACUUGCUAUAUAGGAGUUCUCUGGACAUAUUUUUCUUUUCACUACGUCAUAUCAUUCUCAAGUAUUACAAGCUUAUAAUGGGCAAGACUAAUAGGAGCUUCUGCAAAACAUGCCUUCUUUAAACUUAGGUCUAAAAAUGUGAUUUUGUCAGUUAGACUUUCAGAACAGGCAGAUUGUCUCAUGUUUUACAGAAGACUGAACAGAGAAUAGACAAUUAUGGUAACAGACUGCCCUUAUUUUUACUUUUUAUUUUGCAGUAAUUGUAGACAAACAAGAAGUUGCAAAAAAUAUCACAAAAAGGUAUUACACAUCUUCACCCAGCUUCCCCCAGUGUCACACCUGCAUAAUUGUAGAACAUAAUCAACAUUAGGCGAUUAACACUGUCACACUACUACUAAUUAAGCAUAUAUGGUUAAACUCAGCUUGCCUGCUACAACUUUGCGCAACCUCUGAGUGACCUGGAGUCACAGUGCUAACAAUUGAUCAAACCUGAAAGAAAUGUACUAUCAAGACAUUAAUAUAUUCCUAUAUCAAAGACAACUUGCACUAUCUUCUCAGCGUAUUUUCUGGUGAAAAAUAAAUGAAUCAGUAUUUUGCACCUAGUUUAUGUUUUCAUAAUUCUUGCUAUUUAGCCUUGUCAUACCUGGUUUUACUUACAUGAUCAGAAGAGUAAUUAAAAAAAAUUCUUGGUAUGAAACUGUAGCUUCCCUGAAACUAAAGUGUUUCAUAUGUAUCUGCUAUUUCAAAAUCCGAAGAAGCUGCCUUGUGUGACCAAGAAAGGAACAUGAGAGCUGCAAUCUGUAUUUUAAAGAAAUUUUCUAAUAUAUCUAGAUAGUCGAAAUUGUUACAUGAAAUUGUUCAUGGCAGUGGCUCAGUCUAACCCCAUCACUUUGGGAGGCGAAGGCGGGUGGAUCAUCUGAGGUCAGGAGUUCAAGACCAGCCUGGCCAGUAUGGUGAAACCCGGUCUAUACUAAAAAUACAAAAAAUUAGCUAGGCAUGGUGUCGAGCAUCUGUAAUCCCAGCUACUUGGGAGGCUGAGGCGGAAGAAUUGCUUGAACCCCGAGGCGGAGGUUGCAGUGAGCCAAGAUCGUGCCAUUGCACUCCAGCCUGGGCUACAAGAGUGAAACUCCGACCCAAAAAAAAAAAAAAAAGUUCGUAAUAUUUUCUUAUAAUUUCAAUGUUUGCAGAAUGUAUAGUAAUGUCUCCUCAUUCAUGUAUUAUUAUUAUUUUUUCUUUUUUUGUUUUUUUAUUUUUAUUUUUAUUAUACUUUAAGUUUUAGGGUAUAUGUGCACAACGUGCAGGUUAGUUACAUAUGUAUACAUGUGCCAUGUUGGUGUGCUGCACCCAUUAACUUGUCAUUUAGCAUUAGGUAUAUGUCCUAAUGCUAUCCCUUCCCCCUCCCCCUCCCCCACAACAGGCACUGGUGUGUGAUGUUCCCCUUCCUGUGUCCAUGUGUUCUCAUUGUUCAAUUCCCACCUAUGAGUGAGAACAUGCGGUGUUUGGUUUUUUGUCCUUGUGAUAGUUUGCUCAGAAUGAUGGUUUCCAGCUUCAUCCAUGUCCCUACAAAGGACAUGAACUCAUCAUUUUUUAUGGCUGCACAGUAUUCCAUGGUGUAUAUGUGCCACAUUUUCUUAAUCCAGUUUAUCCUUGUUGGACAUUUGGGUUGGUUCCAAGUCUUUGCUAUUGUGUUUAGUGCCGCAAUAAACGCACAUGUACACGUGUGAUUAUAGCAGCAUGAUUUAUAAUCUUCUGGGUAUAUACCCAGUAAUGGGAUGGCUGGGUCAAAUGGUAUUUCUAGUUCUAGAUCCCUGAGGAAUCGCCACACUGACUUCCACAAUGGUUGAACUAGUUUACAGUCCCACCAACAGUGUAAAGUGUUCCUAUUUCUCCACAUCCUCUCCAGCACCUGUUGUUUCCUGACUUUUUAAUGAUCGCCAUUCUAACUGAUGUGAGAUGGUAUCUCACUGUGGUUUUGAUUUGCAUUUCUCUGAUGGCCAGUGAUGAUGAGCAUUUUUUCAUGUGUGUGUUGGCUGCAUAAAUGUCUUCUUUUGAAAAGUGUCUGUUCAUAUUCUUCACCCAUUUUGAUGGAGUUGUUUUUUUUUCUUGUAAAUUUGUUUGAGUUCAUUGUAGAUUCUGAAUAUUAGCCCUUUGUCAGAUGAGUAGAUUGCAAAAAUAUUCUCCCAUUCUGUGGGUUGCCUGUUCACUCUGAUGGUAGUUUCUUUUGCUGUGCAGAAGCUCUUUAGUUUAAUUAUUUAUAAAUUUAUCUUUCUUUGAUCAAUCUUGCAAGAAGUUUAUCAACUUCAUAACUAUUGUUAACUAAUCAGAAUUGAUCUUAUGGAAUGUUGUUUUUGUCCAUAUUUUUACAUUUUUUUCUACUCAGCUCUUUAUUAUUUUCUUUCUUUAACUUAUUUUCAUUUGAAUUUUGCUUUUCUUUUUUUAUUAAAUUCUUAGAGUGGGUGAUUAAAUCAACAGUUUAAAAAUUUUUAUUUUAAUCCAAUAUAAGCACUUAGAGCUAUUAAUUUCCUUUCUAGCUUUAUAAGCAUCCCAUAAACUUGUGUAUGUUGUAGUUACAUGUUCAUUAAUGUCCAAGAAACUACUUUUCUUUGUGAUUUGUUUUUUGGGUCAUGGGUUAUUUAGAAUUGUGCAUCUACUUUUCAAAUAUUUUGGAGUUCUCUAGGGAUAGCUCUGUUAUUUAUUUCAAAUGUAAUUAUUUUGUGGUCAGACAGCUGGAUUUUUUUUUUCUUUUUUUUUGAGGUGGAGUCUUGCUCUGUCGCCCAGGCUGGAGUGCAGUGGUGCGAUCUCAGCUCACUGCAAGCUCUGCCUACUGGGUUCACGCCAUUUUCCUGCCUCAGCCUCCAGAGUAGCUGGGACUAUAGGCGCCCACAACCACGCCUGGCUAAUUUUUUGUAUUUUUAGUAGAGACGGGGUUUCACCGUGUGAGCCAGGAUGGUCUCGAUUUCCUGACCUCGUGAUCCACCCGCCUCGGCCUCCCAAAGUGCUGGGAUCACAGGCGUGAGCCACCACGCCGGGCCCUGGAAUUUUUAAAAACAUAUUGAGAUUUCCUUUAUGGCCAACAAUACGCAUGAUAUUGGUAAAUAAUUUGUGAAUAUUUGGAAAGAAUUGCCAGCUAUUUUAAGGUUAUUUUAUAAAUGUCAAUUUGGUCAUGUUGGUUGUUGGUAGUGUUCAAAUCUUCUAUAUUUCUACUGACUAACUGUCUUCUGGCUCUAUCAGUUAUUCAAAAUUCCUACUGUAUUUGUGAAUUUAUCUUUCUUUGUGGUUGUCAGCACUAUGCAUUAGGUAAUUUGAAAUUUCUGUUAUUUGAUGAAUAUGAGUUUAAGGUUAUUACAUCGCUUUUGCCAUUAUGAAAUGACUAUUUAUAACUGGUAAUAUUCUUUGUUCUGAAAAAUACUUAGAUAUUGAAAUAGCCAUUUCAACUGUUUUUUGAUUAUUUAAAAAAUUUUUACAAUUUUUAAAAUAAUGUGUGUUAAGAGUUUAUUUUAUUUUAAGGCAGGAUGUAGUGUAGUCUUUUUAAAUUUUGAAUUCAGUUGUAUUAUGUUGAAUAUUUAGAACAUUGACUUUUAAUGUGAUUAUUGAUAUUAUUGAAUUUUUUUCUUUUUCUUCUUUCUUCCUUUUAUUUUUUUUUUCUUUUUGGACUCAGGGUCUUGCUCUGUCACCCAGGGAAAGCAAUGGCACAAUCAGGCUCACUACAGCCUUGACUUUCUGGGAUCAAAUGACCCUCCCACCUCAGCCUCCCAAAUAUUCUGCCUUUUGAGUAGCUAGGACCAGAGGUGUGCAUCACCAUGCCCAGCUAAUGUUUAAAAUUGUUGGAGAAGAGGUCUCACCCUAUUGCCCAGGCCAUUCUUGAACUUCAGGUCUCAAGUGGUCCUCUGCCUCCCAAAUGCUGGGAUCACAGGCAUGAGCCACCACGCCCAGCAAUUAGAUUUCAAUUAAAUCAUUUUUUCUAUUAGUCCUUUUUUGUCCCUUCUUCCAUUCUUCCUUUUUUUUUCUUUUUAGCCAACAUUCUAGCUAAACUAUUAUUUUUAUUGUAUUAUUUUACCUCUCGGCUUAUUAACUAUAAUUUUGGUUUCAUGUUUUAAUAGCUGCUUAGAGUUAAUAGCAUAUGUUUUUAAUUCAUCAUAUUGUAACUUCUAAUUAUAUCAUACUACUUUACAUAUACUGUAAGAAACUUAUACUAGUAUAUUUUCAUUUCUCACUUUUUAACUUUUGUGUUAUUGUUAUACAUUUUUAUUUUAUAUAUGUUAUACAUUCAUUAUAUUGUUAUCAUUUUUUUUGCAACCAGGUAAGUAUAUUUCAGAAGAAUUUAUACCUUAAAAAACUCCUAUGUUUACCUGUAUAGUUUCUUUUCCAAUGUUUCUUAUUCUUUUGUGUAGUUCCACAUAUCCCUCUGGUACCAUUUUCACUUUGAUUGAAGGACUUCCUUAAACAUUUCUUGUAAUGUGUGUCUGUUGGUGAAUUUGUUUAGGUUUUAUACGUUUGAGAGAAGUCUUCACCCUCUCUUUUAAGAGGUUAUUGCAUGUAAUGUUCCACUAUUUUCUUGUUUGCAUUGUCCCAUACUAAAAUAAAUAUUCUGACAAGUUUAUCUUUGCUUCCAUGCACAUAACAUGGGUUUUUCUUUGGGAAGAUUGUAAUACUUUCUGCUACUUCCUUUGUAUGAGCAAUUUAAUUAAAUUGUCUCGGUGUAAUUUUCUUUAUGUUUCUUUUACUUGGAGAUUGUUGAGUUUCUUAGAUAUGCGAGUUUAUAAUUUUUAUCAAAAUUUGAACAUUUUCAUAAUUCUCAAUAUUACUCAAACUUUAUUUUAUGUUCCCAUUUCUUCCCUUGGGGACUUUGCACACAAGCUAAGCUUAGUAGUCAUCUGAAUAUUUGAGCAGAUCCUCUGCAUAUCUCUUAAGUUCUCUCUCUGCUCUCCAGUUCUCUGUGAUGCAAAUUCUUGCCACCUUAAUUUUUCUGAAUUCUCAGCUACACCUGCUAACUCAGGGAGUCCAACAUGCUAUGACAGAAUCCUCCCUUUCUGUGCAAUAGCCUAAAAAUACUCUUUUUGUACCUGUUCCAAGGCAGACUAUUAGGAUGGGACACACACACAAAUACACACACACACACACCAUCUCACAGCUAUCGCUAACUUGCACUACCCAGUAUCCAGUAUCUUGCAAACAUUUUGUCUGUGGUAUGAUUGUUCCAAAGUAGACAGUAAAUUUGGUCUCUGUUAUUGAUACUGGAGGGGAGCAGGGAAGUACUAGUUAGAGAAGGGUGGGGUACCUGGUGAGGGCUACACCUUGGACCUGUGCCAGGAACCUAAGUGAGGAAAAACAUUUCUGUUUUCACACCCAAAAAAUUGUCUUUUGGCCCACUACACCCCCCGCCAUUCUGUAUCCAUAAAAACCUGAGACCUAGUGGGCACAGACACAAGUAGUUGGACAUUGGGAGGAGUAAAAGAACACACUGACACACACCAGCAGACACUGGUAGGCCAUUGAUGGUGGAAAGAUGUGGAUGCCAAGGGGAAUUUGGCCUGGGGCGGUCAGAGGAGAGUCUGGCCACUGGUGGCCUGACUCCAGGGGAAGACCACGUUCCCAAUGCAUUCCUCUUCUGGCUCCCCAUUCACCUCGCUGAGAGCUACCUCCAUCACUCAAUAAAAACUUACACUCAUCCUCCAAACCCAUGUGUGAUCCAAUUUUUCCUGUACACUAGGGCAAGUACUCAGGAUAUGGAAAGCUCUCUGUUCUUGCGAAGAGGCAGAGGGUCUAAUUUAGCUGAUUAACACAAGCUUCCUGCAGUUGGCAAACCUGAAAGAGCACACUGUAACAUGUGCCCACUGGGGCUUCAAUAGCUAUAAACACUCAUCCCUAGAUGGUGUCGUGGGAUCGAAGCCCAAAAAUGCUCCCCACGACUUCUGCAGCUGCCUGUCUGCAUGCUCCUCCUAGGGGUUUGAGUAGUGGGUGGGCACUGAAGAAGAGAGCCACACCACUGUUGCAUGUCCUGUGAGGGGGAUAAGGGAACUUCUCCCACUUCGUUAUGCCCAUCUUGGCUGAAAAAUAAAAUCUAUAUCUAACUUGCUGUUUUCUCUUUGUCACCUAUGUACUUUGUUCUUUUCUAAAUUUUCUUGUUUUGCUGCGUCUUUUUGGAGUAAUGGUGAUUUGAUGUUCUAUUUUAUUGUUUAUUUUGGCUUAUAACCUUUAUCUUUUAUUUCUAUGUUUUUUGUUAUUAUUUAGCAAUAUGUUACGGUUACUGGAAAGGGGUCCUGAUCCAGACCCCAAGAGAGUGUUCUUGGAUCUUGCACAAGAAAGAUUUCAGGGUGAGCCCUUAGAGUAAAGGAAACUAAAUUUAUUAAGAAAGUAAAGGAAUCAACAAUGGCUACAUCAGACAGAGAAGCCCUGAGGGUUGCUGGUUGCCCAUUUUUAUCGUUAUUUCUUGAUUAUGUGCUAAACAAAGAGUGGAUUCUUCAUGCCUCCCUUCUUUAGACCAUAUAGGGUAACUUCCUGAUGUUGCUAUGGUAUUUGUAAACUGUCAUAGCACUAGUGGGAGUAUAGCAAUGAGGACGACCAGAGGUCAUUCUUGUAGCCGUCUAGUUUUGGUCAGCUUCUUUACUGCAACCUGUUUUAGCAGCAAGGUCUUUAUGACCUGUAUCUUGUGCUGACCCCCUAUCUCAUUCUAUUGAAGGGGUGGGUUGCCCCUCCACACCUGUGGGUGUUUCUCGUUAGGUGGAACGAGAGACUUGGAAAAGAAAGAGACACAGAGACAAAGUAUAGAGAAAGAAAAAGGGGCCCAGGGGACUGGCGUUCAGCAUAAGGAGGAUCCACGCCGGCACCGUCCUCUGAGUUCCCUUAGUAUUUAUUGAUCAUUAUCGGGUGUGGCAGGAUAAUAGGAUAAUAGUGGAGAGAAGGUCAGAAGGUAAAGACGUGAACAAAUGUCUCUGCAUCAUAAACAAGGUAAAGAAAAAAGUGCUGUGCUUUUGAUGUGCAUAUACAUAAACAUCUCAAUGCCUUAAGGAGCAGUAUUGCUGCCAGCAUGUCCCACCUCCAGCCCUAAGGUGGUUUUCCCCUAUCUCAGUAGAUGGAAUAUACAAUUGGCUUUACACCGAGACAUUCCAUUGCCCAGAGACGAGCAGGAGACAGAAGCCUUCCUCUUAUCUCAGCUGCAAAGAGGCGCUCCUUCCUCUGUUACUAAUCCUCCUCAGCACAGACCCUUUACGGGUGUCGGGCUGGGGGACGGUCAGGUCUUUCCCUUUCCACGAGGCCAUAUUUCAGACUAUCACAUGGGGAGAAACCUUGGACAAUACCUGGCUUUCCUAGGCAGAGGUCCCUGCGGCCUUCCGCAGUAUUUUAUAUCUCUGGGUACUUGAGAUUAGGGAGUGGUUUGAGAUUAGGGCGUGGUGAUGACUUUUAACAAACAUGCUGCCUUCAAGCAUUUGUUUAACAAAGCACACCCUGCACAGCCCUUAAUGUAUUUAACCCUGAGUUGACAGGGCACAUGUUUCAGGGAGCACACGGUUGGGGGUAGGGUUACAGAUCAACAGCAUCUCAAGGCAGAAGAAUUUUUCUUAGUACAGAACAAAAUGGAGUCUCCUAUGUCUACUUCUUUCUACACAGACACAGUAACAAUCUGAUUUCUCUUUCUUUUCCCCACAUCUGUGACUUAGAAUACCUAAUCUGAGAAUGCAGCCCAGUAGGUUUCAGCUUUAUUUUAACCCAGCUCCUAUUCAAGAUGGAGUUGCUCUGGUUCAAACAUCUCUGACAUUUCCACUUACUUUCUUUCUUAUUCUUUGCCACUGAUUUCAUAUAAUUUACUUCUAUAUGUGGUGACACCCUACAAUAUAUGUUCAUAACUUUGUACUGACAAUUUUCAUUCAACAUAUGUAACUAUGAGAAUCACUUAAAUACUUAACCACAUAGUUACUUUCAUGCGCAUCCGUGUGAAGAGACCACCAAACAGGCUUUGUGUGAGCAAUAAAGCUGUUUAUUUCACCUGGGUGCAGGUGGGCUGAGUCCGAAAAGAGAGUCAGCCAAGGGAGAUAGCGGUGGGGCCAUUUUAUAGGAUUUGGAAAGGUAAUGGAAAAUUACAGUCAAAGGGGGUUGUUCUCUGGUGGGCAGGGGCGGGGGUCACAAGGUGCUCAGUGGGGGAGCUUCUGAGCCAGGAGAAGGAAAUUCACAGGGUUAAUCACUCAGUUAAGGUGGGGCAGGAACAAAUCACAAUGGUGGAAUGUCAUCAGUUAAGGCGGGGCAGGGCCUUUUCACUUCUUUUGUGAUUCUUCAGUUACUUCAGGCCAUCUGGGCAUAUAUGUGCAAGUCACAGGGGAUGCAAUGACCUGGCUUGGGCUCAGAGGCCUGACAUUCCUGCCUUCUUAUAUUAAUAAGAAAAAUAAAACAAAAUAGUGUUGAAGCGUUGGGUCGGCGACAAUUUUUGGGGGGCGGUAUGGAGAGAGAAUGGGCGAUGUUUCUCAGGGCUCCUUCAAGCGGGAUUAGGGGUGGUGUGGGAACCUAGAGUGGGAGAGAUUAAGCUGAAGGAAGAUUUUGUGGUAAGGGGUGAUAUUGUGGGGUUGUUAGAAGAAACAUUUGUCGUAUAGAAUGAUUGGUGAUGGCCUGGAUACGGUUUUGUAUGAAUUGAAAAACUAAAUGGAAUAAGAGAAGGAGAAAAACAGGUAUAAAAGGACUAAGAAUUGGGAGGACCUAGGACAUCUAAUUAGAGAGUGCCUACAGAGCUUCGUCAUAGUCCUGCCAGCAAAGAUUAUUUAUUUACUUCAAGAGUUAAGAGUGGCAGUUUGGGGAUAGCACAAGGAGAUAUCAGCUGUGAUGGCUUGGAGAAACAGUGUAAACCAGCAGUGUAAACAAGAGCAGGGCAUGUAUGAGUAGUUGAGAACGGUGAAUAGGAGUAUGACUAGAGAGAAGAUAGUAGGGAUGACAAGUUAUUUGGGGGCACAGUCUAAGUUGGUCUGGUGUCUGGAAUGAGACUGGGGCCUAAUAAAAAGGAGCAUCUAUACAGGAGCUUAAAUGGGCUGUACCUUGUAGCAUUCUGAGGACAGGUCUGACUUCUGAGAAGGGAAAGUGGUAAAAGUAUUGUCCAGUCCUUUUUAAGUUGGUGGCUGAGCUUGGUGAGGUGUGUUUUUAAUAGACCAUUAGUCUGUCACUGAAUACUAAGAGCCUGAAAAAAUGCUUGGCUGAUUUGACUAAUAAAGGUUGGUCUGUUAUCAGACUGUAUAGAGGUGGGAAGGCUAAACUGAGGAAUUAUGUCUGACAGAAGGGAAGAAAUGACUGCGGUAGCCUUCUCAGACCCUGUAGGAAAGGCCUCUACCUAUCUAGUGAAAGUGUCUACUUAGACUAAGAGGUAUUUUAGUUAUCUGACUCAGGGCAUGUUGAGUAAAGCUAAUUUGCCAGUCCUGGGCAGGGACAAAUCCUCGAGCUUGAUGUGUAGGGAAGGGAGGGGGCCUGAAUAAUCCUUGAGGAGUAGUAGAAUAGCAGAUAGAAUAGCAGAUGGAACACUGAGAAGUUAUUUCCUUGAGGAUAGAUUUCUAUGAUGGAAAGGAAAUGAAAGGUUCUAAGAGGCAGGCUAGUGGCUUGUACUAUAGCAUAGCCUGCCUUUGCUGGUGUAUGGUGAUUAGGCCUGGUGGAACUGCCAUCAGUAAAUCAAGCGUGAUCAGGGUGAGAAGCAGGGAAGAAGGAAAUGUGGGGAAAUGGGAUGAACAUCAGGUGGAUCAGACAGAUGCAGUCAUGAAGAUCAGGUGUGGUAUCUGGAAUAAUGUGGGAGGCUGGAUUGAAGUCCUGGCCAUGAACAAUGGUAAUUGUGGGACUUAACAAAGAGUGAGUACAGCUGAAGGAGCCGGGGAGCAGAAAGUAUAUGCGUCAGGUAUGAGGAAGAAAAUAGAUUUUGGAAGUUAUGAGAAAUGUAGAGAGUGAGUUGAGCAUAGUUUGUGAUUUUGAGGGCCUCUAAAAGUAUUAAAGCAGUGGCAGCCGCUGCAUGCAGACAUGAGGGCUAGGCUAAAACAGUAAGGUCAAGUUGUUUGGACAGAAAGGCUGCAGGGUGCGGUGCUGGCUCUUGUGUAAGAAUUCUGACCGCACUAACCAUGCCUAGGAAGGAAAGGAGUUGUUGUUUUGUAAGGGAUUGAGGUUUGGGAGAUUAAUCGGACACGAUCAGCAGGGAGAGCAUGUGUGUUUUUAUGAGAAUUAUGCCGAGAUAGGUAACAGAUGAGGAUGAAAUUUGGGCUUGACUGAAGUAAUGGGGGCUGUCUGUGAAGCCUUGCGGCAGUACAGCCUUGGUAAUUUGCUGAGCCUAAUGGGUGUCAGGGUCAGUCUAAGUGAAAGCAAGGAGAGGCUGGGAUGAAGGGUGCAAAGGAAUAGUAAAGAAAGCAUGUUUGAGAUCUAGAACAGAAUAAUGGGUAGUAGAGGGAGGUAUUGAGGAUAGGAGAGUAUAUGGGUUUGGCACCACGGGGUGGAUAGGCAAAACAAUUUGGUUGAUAAGGCGCAGAUUCUGAACUAACUUGUAAGUCUUGUCUGGUUUUAGGACAGGUAAAAUGGGGGAAUGGUAAGAAGCGUUUAUAGGCUUUAAAAGGCCAUGCUAUAGCAGGCGAGUGAUAACAGGCUUUAAUCCUUUUAAAGUGUGCUGUGGGAUGGGAUCUUGACAUUGAGCGGGGUAAGGGUGAUUAGGUUUUAAUGAGAUGGUAAGGGGUGCAUGAUCGGUUGCCAAGGAGGGAGUAGAGGUAUCUUAUACUUCUGUGUUAAGGUGGGGGGAUACAAGAGGAGGACGCAAAGUAGGCUUUGGAUUGGGAAGAAGGGUGGCAAUGAGAUAUAGCUGUAGUCCAGGAAUAGUCAGGGAAGCAGAUAAUUUAGUUAAAGUGUCUCAGCCUAAUAAGGGAACUGGGCAAGUGGGGAUAACUAAAAAGGAGUGCUUAAAAGAGUAUUGUCUAAGUUGGCACCAGAGUUGGGGAGUUUUAAGAGGUUUAGAAGCCUGGCCGUCAAUACCCACAACAGUUAUGGAGGCAAGGGAAACAGGCCCUUAAAAAGAAGGUAAUGUGGAAUGGGUAGCCUCUGUAUUAAGAAGGGGACGGGCUUACCUUCCACCGUGAGAGUUACCCAAAUCUCAGCGUCUGUGAUGGGUUAGGGGGCUUCCGAGGUGAUCGGGCAGUGUCAGUCUUCAGCCGCUAAGCCGAGAAGAUCUGGGAAGGAGUCAGUCAGAGAGCCUUGGGCCAGAGUUCCAGGGGCUCUGGGAGUGGCUGCCAGGUGAGAUGAACAGUCCGAUUUUCGGUGGGGUCCCACACAGAUGGGACGUGGCUUAGGAGGAAUACCGUGCUGUGGGCAUUCCUUGGCCCAGUGGCAGAUUUCCAGCAUGUGUAGCAAGCUCCUGGGGGAGGAGGUUCUGGAGGAAUGCCUGGCUGCUGCAGUUCAGGUGUUUGGAAGUUCUUGUGUGCUGGAGAUGUGGCUGAGGUUUGUCUCACAGUGUAGGCAAGGAAUUGCAACUUUUUUCUGUUAUUGCACACCUUGAAGGUGAGGUUAAUUAAGUCCUGUUGUGGGGUUUGAGGGCCAGAUUCCAAUUUUUGGAGUUUUAUUUAAUGUCGGGAGCAGAUUGGGCAAUAAAAUGUAUAUUGAGAAUAAGAUGGCCUUUUGACCUUUUAGGGUCUAGGGCUGUAAAGCGUCUCAGGGUUGCUGCCAAACGAGUCAUGAACUGGGCUGGAUUUUUAUAUUUGAUGAAAAAGAGCCUAGACGCUAUCUGAUUUGGGAUAAAGAAAAAGGAGCAUUAACCUUGACUAUGCCUUUAGCUCCAGCCACCUUUUUAAGAAUAAAUUGCUGGGCAGGUGGGGAAGGGCUAGUCACUGAACGAAACUGUAAGCCAGACCAGGUGUGAGGAGGGGAGGCGAUAAAAAGAUUACAGGGUGGAGGAGCGGAGGCUGAGGAAGAAUUGGGACCUAGCUUGGCCUGGCGAGGAGGGGAGAGGUCAGAUGGGUCUGUAGAAAAGGAAGAUUAGAAAGACUCAGCGAUGCUUGGGGUUGGGACUGAGGGGACAGGUGGGAGGGAAAGAAGGAAGAUUUGGGAUGAGUUGCACUGGGCACAGAGACUAGGAAGGGACUGAUGUGUAAAAGAAUGCCUGGACAUCAGGCACCUCAGACCAUUUGCCCAUUUUACGACAAGAAUUAUUUAGAUCUUGCAGGAUGGAAAAACUGAAAGUGCCAUUUUCCAGCUAUUUGGAACUACUGUCCAGUUUGUAUUGGGGUCAAGCGGCAUUGCAGAAGAAAAAAAGACGCUUAGAUUUCAGGUCAGGUGAGAGCUGAAGAGGUCUGAAGUUCUUAAGAAUACAGGCUAAGGGAGAAGAAGGAGGAAUGGAAGGUGGAAGCUUGCCCAUAGUGAAGGAGGCAAGCCCAGAGAAAAGAGUAGAGACACGGAGAAGGAGUGAGGGUUUGUUGCCUCCCAGAAAAGCAGAGAAAGGGUUGGGGCACAGAAAUAAGGGAUUGGGGCACAGAGAUAAGAGGUCGGGGUGUGGGAAUAACGGAUUGGGGGUUCUUGCCCCCUAGAAAAGCGGGACUUGCUGCUAACGGUGAAGGAGAAGGAGUUGAGGGGUACUUGCCCCUCCCCCAGAAAAGCGGGACUUGCCGCAAAGGGUGAAGGAGAAGGGGUUGAGGGGUACUUGCCCCUCCCCAAGAAAAGCAGAGAAGGGGUAAAGACACGGAGAGAAGGUGUUGGGGUACUUGCCCCUCCCCCAGAAAAGCAGAGAAGGGGUAGAGACACAGAGAGAAAGGGUUGGGGUACUUGCCCCUCCCCCAGAAAAGCAGAGAAGGGAUAGAGACACCAAGAGAAGGGGUUGGGGUACUUGCCCCUCCCCCAGAAAAGCGGGACUUGCCGCUAAGGGUGAAGGAGAAGGGGUUGAGGGGUACUUGCCCCUCCCCCAGAAAAGCAGAGAAGGGGUAGAGACAUGGAGAGAAGGGGUUGGGGUACUUGCCCCUCCCCCAGAAAAGUGGGACUUGCCACUAAGGGUGAAGGACCAAGGCAGGCGUCCCUGCGUGGUCUGACACCUUUGAAACGUGGAUGAAUAAUCAGAAAGGCGUCCCUGCAAUGAUUAAACACCAAGGGAAGGCUGCCUUCCCAGUCCAUGACUGGCGCCAGAGUUUUGGGUCCACGGAUAAAACAUGUCUCCUUUAUCUCUACCAGAAAAUGAAAGGAAUUGAAAUUAAGAGAAGGGAGAGAUUGAAGUGUGGCGCCAAGAUUGAAAGGAGAAAGAAGUUGAGGGAUAGUGAGGGAAGUUGGAGAAGAGAGUAAAAAGAGGCCGCUUACCAGAUUUGAAAUUGGUGAGAUGUUUCUUGGGCUGGUCAGUCUGAGGACCUGAGGUCAUAGGUGGAUCUUUCUCAUGGAGCAAAGAGCAGGAGGAGGGGACUGAUCUCCCAAGGGAGGUCCCCUGAUCCAAGUCACGGCACCAAAUUUCAUGCGCGUCCAUGUGAAGAGACCACCAAACAGGCUUUGUGUGAGCAAUAAAGCUGUUUAUUUCACCUGGGUGCAGGUGGGCUGAGUCUGAAAAGAGAGUCAGCCAAGGGAGAUAGGGGUGGGGCCAUUUUAUAGGAUUUGGGAAGGUAAUGGAAAAUUACAGUCAAAGGGGGUUGUUCUCUGGUGGGCAGGGGCGGGGGUCACAAGGUGCUCAGUGGGGGAGCUUCUGAGCCAGGAGAAGGAAAUUCACAGGGUUAAUCACUCAGUUAAGGUGGGGCAGGAACAAAUCACAAUGGUGGAAUGUCAUCAAUUAAGGCAGGGCAGGGCCUUUUCACUUCUUUUGUGAUUCUUCAGUUACUUCAGGCCAUCUGGGCGUAUACAUGCAAGUCACAGGGGAUGCGAUGGCUUGGCUUGGGCUCAGAGCCCUGACAGUUACCAUUCUUUGGGCUUUUUAUUCCUUUGUGCUGAUCCAAGUUUUCAUCUUUUAUUAUUUUCCUUCAGCCCCCAUUUUUUUUUUUUUACAUUUUUAUAGUUCAGGUUUGCUCACAGUAUAUUAAUUUUCUCAGGCUUUGCAUUGUGCGAUAAAGUCUUCAUUUACUUCAUCUGGAAAACAACUAUCACUCUAUCUAGAAUCUAUCAUUAAUAGGUUUAUUUUUAACCUUACAGAUGCUUUUUCAUUGCUGGCAAGGAUAAUUAAUGAUAAGUAGUCUAGCGAAAUUCUUAUCUUUCUUUCUUUGUAAUGUAUCAUUUUCUCUCAAGGUUAUAACAAAUUAUCUUUAUCACAGGGUUUUAACAACUUAUGUGUGAUGUCUUGUCUCUUGAGGUGAUAUUCUCUGUGUUUAUUGGUCUUGAAUUCAUUGAGAUUUUGAAUCUGUGACACUGUAAUUUUCCUUUGGAUUUUGAAAGCUUUAUUCUUUAUUUCUUCAAAUAGUUUUCUGUUUUGUUGAUUUUCUUGGCACUCCUGUUACAUGCCUGUUAGUCCACUUAACAUUUUUCCAGAGAUCACUGAGGUUGUUUUUGCUGCAAUUUUUUUUUUUUUUUUGAGAUGGAGUCUUGCUCUGCUGCCCAGGCUGGAGUGCAGUGGUGCCAUCUCAGCUCACUGCAAGCUCUGCCUCCCAGGUUCACGCCAUUCUCCUGCCUCAACCUCCCCAGUAGCUGGGACUACAGGCACCCACCACCACGCCAGGCUAUUUUUGUGUUUUUUAGUAGAGACGGGGUUUCACCGUGUUAGCCAGGAUGUUCUCAAUCUCCUGACCUCGUGAUCUGCCCUCCUCAGUCUCCCAAAGUGCUGGGAUUACAGGCGUGAGCCAUCAUGUCCGGCCUUUGCUGUAAUUUUUAUCUCUUCAUUCUAUAUGUGUAAAUUCACUGUUCUUUUUUCUCUAGUGUAUAUAGUAUGUUCUAAAUCUCAUCCAAUGAAUAUUGAAUUUCAUAUAUGUUUUUAUCUUGGGAAGUUCUACUUGGCUUUUUUGAUGUGGUCUAUUUUAUCUCCUUGUGUUAAUGUUAUAUUCAACAUUGUUGAGUGAAUAAAGUAUAUUUAUAAUAGCUUUUUAAGGUUUGUUUCUAUAAUAUGGACUCUGUUUCUAUUUACUGAUUUUCUCUUGCUUUAGGGUCAUACUUUCCUUCUUUUAUUACUAUUGAUUUUUUAUUGAAUAUUGAGCAUUUUGUUUUUUCUAUUUUUGGUGUGUGUAACAGAUUUUAUUAUCCUCCCUAUCCCAAAGAAUGUCCCUAUUUUUUCUGGCAAUCAGCUAACCUACAGUUUACCCAGCUUGAUCCUUUUGUGACUUAUUUUCAACUUUGGUAGAGGAGUUUUAGAGUGGUUUUUAGUUUUUAAGUCUACUUUAAUAUUACUAAAGUCUCACCUGAAUGACAAUCUAGGUCUCUUCUUAAUGACUGAGGAGUUUGAUAAAGAUUCUUCACUCUGCUUUGUUUGAAUGUGAAGGUCACCCAGCUCUGUAUACAUUUCCAAAACUUUGGCUCAUUUAUUCUCAGUUGUUCUUUUCCUGACAUUGUAAAAUUUCUGUAAUGCCUUCAAACAUAGUUUUCUGUAUCACCUAAUUAUGUCCAUAUGAAGAUUCCUGAAGUUUUGUGUAUGAAAAACCACCUCAUUCUCAGCUAUUCAAUUUCUAGCUAUUUCAUCCUCUUCAAAUUCUGAUAUCUAUUUAAUUCAAUAAAACUCACUCGCUUUACUUGGGAUCAUUCUCCUUGUAUGAUGGUCUUGAAGUGCCUCCAAGCAGAAAGCUGGGGUUAAAUGAGCUUUUGUCCAUGAUUUCCCUUGUCCCAGGAACUACAGCAUUGUGACAUCUCAUGUACAAUGUCUGUAACAUGGAUUUUUAUCUUCUGUUCAUUUUGUUUUCUUUUUCCUAUGGGAGGGUAAAUUAGUCACAGUGAAUCUAUCACUUCCAUAAGUCAUUCCAAAUGGUAUCUGAGAUAUCAUGAAGUUUAAGAACUGACAAAAGAUAGAUGAGAAAAAUCUCUUUACUUUUAUGUAUCAGUUUUAGGUAUGUUUCAGAAACUACACACUCAUUAGCUUUACUUUAAUUCAUAAGCAAACAAUUUAGUAUAUGGUAUUAAACUGAUAUUAAUGUAGAUAGAAUGGUAAUCACUAGGAUUAUUUCACUAGGAAUAAAUAAGGAGAAGCAACUCAUUUAGCCAUUGCACUAGUGUUACUGAAAUGGGAGAGUUCCCUAAACCCCUUGUGGGACUUUUAACAGGGGUGUGGCUUGCUUGCUGGGCUGUAACAUGUUCAAACCCCUUACAGGAGAGGGACAUGCAGAUGGGCAGAUGCAGGAGCUGGGGUGAGCGUUUGAGCUCUGGCCCCACAAUAGCAUCUAGGAGUGUGUUACUAUUAAUGCUUUUUUAGCUGACAGCUAAGUGUUAAACCAGAUCAGUGGAUGGCUAAUUUUUAAACCAGUUCACUGGACAGCUAAGUGUUAAACCAGCUCAGUGGAGAGCCAAGGUGACAGCCUUUAACACCCUGCCCUCUUGGUACCCGGGUCCUUGUCCAGCAUCCAGGAAGAAUCAGGUCACUUGGACUUGAAGGUUGGUGAAUAAGGGGAUUUUAUUGAGUGAUGGAGGUGACUUUCAGCAGGAUGGAUGGGGAGCUGGAAAGGGAAUGGAGUGGGAAGAUGAUCUUUACCUGAAGUACGGUCAUCCAACAGCCAAUCUUCUCUAUUUCUGUCCCCAGCCAAACUCCUUGUUCAGAUGCUCCUUCUUUUCUCUCCUUCUCAGCCAUGCCACUCUGCUGCUCUGCCACUCUUCUGCUCUUUGUUCCUCUGUUUUUGGAGCUUGGGAUUUACAUGGGCCCAAGAUAGGGGCGUGGAGGGCCAUAGUGUUCUUGGAAAAGACAACAUUUGGGUGCGAAAACAGAAAUGCCUGUUCUCAUUUAGGGCUGUGGGUUUCCAGACUUGAGAGUGGGCCUUUGCCAGGUAACCACCCUCUUCUACCCAGUAUUUCCCUGCCUCUUGUCUGUAUCAUUAUUAGAUCAGAUUUGUGUGUGUGUGUGUGUGUGUGUGUGUGUGUUUGUAUGUUCUGUAUUUGUAUCAAGGUUUGAGAAAUAAUUUCAUGUUUUGGUUGAGGGUAUGAUGAAACAGUAUGAGAGAGAUGGUGAUUUAUGCUAAGUUAUCCAACUGAAAAUGAAAACAACCUAAGGGAGAAGUUGUUCAUUUUUAAAUGUUUAGUUUUAAACCAUCAGAACUCAGCCAUUUUGUACAGGCAAGUUAAAUGGUCUCCUGGAUUUAGGGUAAUUUUGAGAGGUUCAGGUUUUGUCAGUGUAGAGACAAUCUCCUUUUUUAUCAACAGAUUUUUUUCUCAUUAGAAUCUUAUGUCUUUUGGGCAAGUUGAAAACGCAAUGAGAAAUUUAACUGUAUCCUUUUGUACAUAAAAUAUAUCUUUAUAUGUAAAAUAUUCAUAAUUCUUCUGCAAAUAUCUUUGGUUAAGUGCUUCAGUGGUAAUAGAAUACAGGAUAGAGGACAUCUUAAAUUGAAGAAUUAUUCACAGUGGCCAUUUUCUAAGCAGGUACUCGGUUAAACAACUCUUGUACAUUUUAGAACUAUUCACAAACACACACACACACAACUGAUCUAAUAAUAAUACAGACAAGAGGCAGGAAAAUACAGGGUAGAAGAGGGUGGUUCCCUGGCAAAGGCCCACCCUCAAGCCUGGAAAAUCCCAGCCCUAACUGGGAAGAGGCAUUCCUGUUUUGCGCCCAACUGUUGUCUUUUCCAAGACCACCUUGGCCCUCCACAACUCUAUCUUGUACCCAUAUAAACCCCAAGCUCCAUAAAGAGAGGAACAGAAGAGCAGAAGAGUGGCAGAGAAGUAGAGUGGCAUGGCUGAGAUGGAGAGAAAAGAAGGAGCAACUGAAUGAGAGGAGUUUGGGGACAUAAAGGAGAUUGUCAGCAACUUAAAAUUAAUUAUGUAUAAUUUAAGACUCAUUAUUCACCUUUUUUACUUCUAGUUUCAUUUCUUCUGUUAUAGUCUUCACUCUGAAUUAUUUAAAGUUUGAAUACACUGCUUUUUUCCAAUUAUAUUUAAUCAAGACUGUGGGUGACUGUCUAAAUCUGCUGGCUGUGGUAGAUGAACAAUACUUUGACUGAUAUACUAUUGAUUGCAGUUCUACUUGUGAUUGAUUUUCCCAUUUAAAACUAUCUUUGACUAAUUGAACCUCAACUUUUUUCUCAAAAAUAAACAAGUUAUAGUAUUUAAAUACCUGAAGCGCACUGAAGAAUUGGAUGUCUUUCUAAUUCUUUGUUGGCAUAUGCUAAGACUAUCUUCUUCCAUAUUUUAGCAUGCAAUAUUAAAAAAAUUGGAAAGCAACACAGUGUGUCAGUCUCAAACUCUCUAUGUCACAUAGUACAAAUGUUAAAUUUUAAUGUAUUUUUUUCAAGAAAAUAAAUUGAACACCCAAUAGGUACCAGAAUUCAUGCUAUACCUGUGUUCACUUUCCUCUUGGACUGUGAAAGUCACAUAAGCAGACAUGUAAUGUGUUGUGCUUAAUAAGGACCAUUAUCAUUCCGCAUCCUCAUCUACUUCUGUCUUCUCCUAGACAUCAGCUAGCAUACAAGGCUAAAUAUUGUAUUUCCCAAAUUAUUUUGUAUGUUCUGGUUGUCACUUAGUUUCUGCCAGUGAGAUUUAUUCUUUUAGAGCUGGAAGUGUAAGCUGACAAGCAAAGUCAGAUAUGACCAUUGACAGUCGCUAGUUUCCAUUUCCAGAGUCUAGUCACCAGCUCCAUGACUGUGUGGUGGUUGUGAUGGUUGUAGUAAUAAUGAUGAAAGCAGCAGCAAUUUUCUCAUGCUAGUUUGCAAGAGCAUUGACAUUAAAUCUAAAUGUCAUUUAUUUCUCCAGCAUGUCCAGUGAUUUUGUAAGACUUAAUUAUUCUUACUAAAUUAUCUCUUGUUGAAACACCUGAAGUAAUUUCUGUUUCUUGAGCUGAAUGCUAAUUGACAUAGAUUGUAUAUAUGAUACAAAUAAUGCUUGCGCUGGUAUGUGUGUAUAUGUAUAUGGGCCUGUGUAUGUGUACAGAGUCAGAAAAACCUAGAAUUACCUUCUUGAUUUACUACACACUUCCCGUUUGAACUUGUUGAACCUCAAUUUCCUUAACUUACAAUCUUUAGAAAAUGCUUAUUAUGCCAUAUUAUUAUAAGGAUAAAAUUGUGGAAUAUAUAUAAAAUAUCUCCAACAAGUAACAGCAGUAAAUAAAUUGUGACCAGCAGAAGGGGAGUAGUUAUUAUAAUGACAUGAGAAUUAAAAUUAUGCCUUAUUUUGAUAUCUUGGUUUCUAUAAAAAUUAAUUAUUUUUGUUUGUUCUACAUAUUUUACUCAAUCUUCUAACAUUUAGGAGAUGCAGUAAAUAACAAUAAAAAUACAAAACAGAUGUGUGAUUUUCGUGAGUUCCAAGAUAUCAUUAUGACAGGUAAUAAAUAAACUAAACAUGCAAGCAGAAAAAUGUACUUUAGUAAGUAAACAGAGUUUUGUAAAUGUGUCCACAAAUGGCUUGUGUUGCUAGAAAGUAAAAUCACAUUCAUCUUGGAUAUAACAAUUGAAAUGAAUAUGCACUGAAUUUCAUAGAAAUCAGAGUAGUUUUAGAAAAAUAAUUUCAUUUUAGUUAGAAACUAAUCAAGGCAUAGGUGCUAUUCUGACUAAAUUAAAUUUGUUUAAAUAUUCAGUUUAUAUGUAAAUGUGUUGUUUGAUAAAUGUCAAGAUUUUUCUUAAUUUUAACAAAUCUUUUCAUUAGAAACAAUAUUUUUCUCGAUUUAUAUAAUCUACAUUUUCCUUUACUUUCUCUGAUGAGUUUGAAAGAACACCUGCAUGACUAAAUUCCUUUGAAUUGAUUUUAAUACAAAUAUAAUUUAUAGAAAGCUUUACUUGUUCUUUUAAUCAUUUUGUCUUUCUUUGACAAACCAAAUAAAUGAAAAUAAGAUGACAACUUAAAAAUUAAUUCAACAUCAUUUAAAGUAAAUAUGAAUAUACUUACCUAUAAUGCAAAGAUAUUUUUGUAUGGUGAUUUUUGAACAAAGCAAUUUGAAAACAUUGAGUUCUUAAGUGAUGAAUAAAAUUUACAAGUAUACCAGGAAGAAAAUAUAAUAAAGUGGGUACAAUUUUAAUAAAAACAAGUUUAAUUUAAACUUAUUUCCCUAAUACUUUUAAUAUUGGAAUUUUUGACAAUGUAUUCAAAUUAUGGCAGGAUUUAGAGAAUGUAGGCUCUUCUGUCAUCUACUUUAUCAAAUACUAGUUUCUCAAAAAUGUAUCAUUCAUUUACUGUGAUUAUAUUGCUUUUCUUCUUUCUUUCUUUCUUUCGUUCUUUUUUUGUUUGAUUUUUGAGACAGUCUUGGACUGGAAUGCAGUGGCAUGAUCUUGGCUCAAAGGAACCUCUCCCGGUUCAAGCGAUUCUUGUGCCUCAGCCUCCAGAGUAGCUGGGAUUACAGGCGCCCGCCAUUAUGCCCAGCUAAUUUUUUGUUAUUUUUAGUAGGUACAGGUUUUUGCCAUGUUGGCCAGGCUGAUGUCGAAAUCCUGGGCUCAAUUGAUCCACCUGUCUGGGCCUCCCAAAGUGUUGCGAUUACAGGCAUGAACCACUGCACCCAACCACUGUGAUUGUAUUUUUAGUGCCUUUCUUUAUCCCUUUCAUUCUAUUCCUCAAAGAAAGCGAGGGAGAAAAAAAUGUAUGCUAUUUUUCCAAAGAGAUUAUUGUGAAAAGUUAAACAGAAACUUCUUUAGAGUAGGAAGAUUGAUUCCUCAAAAUUUAUUUCAUGAGGUGGUGGGAGUAGCUCCCCUGAACUGCUGCCUCCAAAGUUGUGACCCACAUAACAUGUCUAGAGUGGUCUGUACACCCAUGGCUUAUGGUGACCAGGUUUUCAUCUGGGGGUUUCUAGGAAGAUGAGGAAUAACUAAGGAAAAAUAAAGAUGAAGAAGACAAAUAUUACCAAUGAUCAAAAAGAACAACAUACACUGAGCUGAUCAAAUUUUAUUAACACAUAGGGCUUAAUAAACAUCUCAAUGUAUAUUUUAACUCACACUUCCAGAAAUUUAUUUUUGUGGUUUUUGUUUUGUUAUUUUACAGGCAAACAAAGUGAAAUUUUAUUUUGUAUAUUGUAUUUCUGUUAUAAUUAAUUUUGGUCAAGAAAAGAGAGAGGCAGUGAUAGAAAUGAGAGAGAGAGAAUAUAAACAGAGAAGGUGGAUAAGAAAAUCUUUAUGUAAAUAAAUGCAUUAUGAGAAAAAUGUAUAGGUACCAUAUAUCUCAGAUUAUGAAAAAACUAGUGUCUUGUUUAUCAUAGUAAAGAGACAACUUGUACCAAAGGUAAGCAAUACAUUUCAAGACAUUUAUAGCUAGUUUUGUUAAACUUUGUAGUAUGUAUAAUUUUCUCUUUAUUAUUUUAUAGAAAAUCUUGUUCUUUUGAUGAAAAUGUUAAAAUUAGAAAUAUUACAGAGCUCAGGAGUUGAGUAUCCUCUGAAUUUUAGUAUUAUUAUAUUCAUUUAAAACUCAAUCCAACAUUUUAUAACACUGUGUUGCAUUAUUGGACACAAAUUCAUGUUAAUUUGAGCUAACAUCUGCAUUUAUUCACUGCGUUUCCAUUCUCUGAAUAGGGCUAUCAUUUGGGUCAUAGCUUAGUCUGAGUUACUUUCCAGUAGUUUCAUAUGUAAACUCAUUUCAGAUAUACAUAGUCACAAUUAGAAAUGUAAAAAUGGGCUCGCAUUUUUAUCAAAAUGCCAUAAGCUUAUAGGUACAGAUAUUUUAGCUCAUGCCCUUGUAAAGUUUUCAAGAAAUAACAUAUAUAUUGCCUGAUUGCUCUUUUGUUUCAACAGUGAUUUUUAUUUUGGGUAAAUAAUGUAAGCAUAUAUACAAAAACCUAUACAAUGGAGAAAAGAUAAGAAAAACAUGAUUCAAAAUCUAAAUGUAAACACAAAUAUGUAUGUGUGUAUAUCACAGGAUAGAAAUUAUUUUAUAAACCUGAGACCAUGACAUCAAUUCAGUUUUUAGUUAAACUGAUUUCAUUUAUCUUUUUUGAGGUUGAUAGAAAAAAGAAAGUAACUGAUUCGUUUAAGUGAAUAAUGAGUAAUUAAGCCAUAAAUAGACACUAGGGAAAUAUAAAUGCAUAUUGCUAAAUCAAAGAAAUCAAUCUGAAAAGGCUGCCAACUCUAUGUUUCCAACUAUCUGAUAUGCCAGGAAAAGAAAAAUAAUGAAGACAGAAAAAAAAACAUUACUUGUCAGAUGUUAGGACAAAGGCAGAAAAGGAUGAACAGGUAAAGGACAACAGACACAGAGUUUUUAGAGCAGUGAAUCUUUUAUUCUUUAUGAUAUUGUAAAGGCGUAUAUAUGUCAUUAUAUUUUUGUGAAACAUAGUUUGAACAGCACAAGUUUGUAUAACACAAAGAGUGAACCCUAAUGUAAAAUACAGACUUCAGUUAAUAAUGAUAGGUCAAUAUUGGCUCCUCAGUUAAAACAAAUGUACCACAUUAAUAUAAAAUCGGGGUAUAUGAAAACUCUUAUACUUGCCAUUAAUUUUGUUUUUCGUAAAGCCCCAACUACUCAAAGUCUGUUAAUUAAAAACUACUGAAGCAACAAUAAACUUCAGGUAAAUGUGUGCUCACAACAAGAUUGAUUAUUAGAUGGCUAUCAUUUUAAAGGUUUUGCAAAAUUCAUGGGCUGUCAAGGAGAAAAAAAGUUGCUUUUUUUCCUUCUCAAAUGUCUUGAAUAGAAAAAAAUAUAUAGAGUUUUAAUAGAAAACAAAUAGACAUGCCAAAAAUUCAUUGCAUUUCCUGGAUCAAUAGCAUCAUAUUACUUUGGGAAGGACAAAAAAUAAAACAUUAAAUGAAAAAAUUAUCUUAAUUAUUAUUUGUCCUAAAGAUGUAAUUAAUAGUAUGGAAAUAUCCUAAAGGGAUGUAUCAGUCAGCUUUCAAUUACAAAAACUGACUGAUACAUUCCUUGAGCCCAGGAGAUUGAUACAGAAAUAAGCCAUGGUUAUGCCACUGCACCUGGGCAAUAAAGCAGACCCCAUCUCUUAAAAAAAAAAAAAAAGAAAAGAAAAGAAAACACAAACCCCUCUAGGUAUUUUAAUCAGAGGGUAUUUAAUACAAAAAUUUGAUUACAUAGGUGACUGAAUAGAUCACUUAUUUGGGAAGUGGAACAAGAUGGCCAAAUAGAACCUUCCAGCUCAUACUUCAUUCUCUUCACUAAGGAAUGCCAAAUUAAACAGCUAUCCCUCCAAGAAAACGCCUUCAUAAGAAUAAAUAAAUCAGGUGAGAAACCACAUACCUGGUUUAAAUAUAAUAUCAAGGGAAUUCGCAUUAAAGAUGAUAGGAAAGACACUUACAUUUUCUACACCACCCCUCCACCAACCCGAGGCAGAGCAGCAUGGAAAGAGAAUCAGUAUGCUCAGGAAGGGAGAGUGAAGUGAGUGUGGGUCUUUGCACUGGAACUCAGUGUUUCCCUGUAACAGCAAAGCACAACACACGACAGAUUUCUACUGGUGUUCGUGGAAGGAACAUUUAGACCAGAUCUUGCCAGAAGAGGAUUCUCCACUCCAGUGGGAGGAAAUUGAUUCCUGGCCAGCUUUACCACCAGCUGAUUAAGGUGCCCACUGGUCCAGAACAAAUUUGAGUGAUAGGCCACAAUAACUGGAGUUUUUGGACAAACACUCAUGCUGCACUGAUCUUGGAGCCAGUGGACUUGGGAUGUGCAUGACCCAGUGCGAUACCAGUUGUGGCAAGAAAAGGGAGUACCCAUGUCAACCCUCACCCAACUCCAGGCAUUGCAACUCCAGGAGAGAUUCCUUCAACUUGAAGGAAGGAAAGGGAAGAGUAGAGAUAAUUUUGUCUUGCCACUUGGGUACCAUCUUAGCAGCAUAAAGCAUCAGGCAGAUUCCCGAAACACCAGGCAGAUUCCUGGAGCCCUUGAUUCUAGGUCUUUGCUCCUAGACAGCAUUCCUAGACCCACACUGGGCCAGAAGGAAAUCUGCUGUCUUGAAGAGAUAGACCUGGUUCUUGCAGGAUUUACUAGCUUCUGACUGAAAUAACCUUGGGCCUUGAAUAAACAUCAGUGUUAGCCAGGCAGUAGUGGCCAUGGGCCUUGGUCAAGCCCCAGUACUGUGCUGGUCUACAAGGCUUCAGGUAUGAUCCUAUACAGUGUCAGCUAUGGUAGCUAUGGGUAAGCCCAUGUCACCAUUCCCCUAACUCCAGGCAGCCCAGUAUGGAUAGAGACUCCUGAUUAGGGAUAAAAGAAGAAAGGGAGAGACUUUUACUGGUAACUCAGGAAGUUCUUAUCUUACUCAAGUUCACCAAGCCUGUAUUUCGAAGAGUCUGCAAGAAAUGCAGCAUUCCUGGGCUUAGGGUGACCCUAGUGCUGAAUUAGUUGCAGGGACCACAGGAUUUGGUAACAACACUCAAUCCCCUUUAAAUUUGUGAAAAGCCUUUUCAAAAAAUAGGUACAAACAAGUCUAGACUGCAAAAAUAUGAAUCAACACCCAACUCUUCAAUGUUCAGACAUAGACAAAUACCAAAGCACCAUGAAUAUCGAAAAAAAAAUGACCUCACCAAAGUGACAAAUCUUAGAGUGACAGAGACAUCUGAUCUUUCAGACAGGAAAUUCAAAAUAGCUGUCUUGAAGAAGCUUAACAAAGUUCAAGAUAACACAGAGAAAUAAUUCAGAUUUCUAUCAGAGAAAGUUCACAAGGAGAUUGAAAUAAUAGAAAAAAGAAAAAAUUCUGGAGCUUAAAAAAUAAUUUGACAAACUGAAAAAUGCUUCAGAGUCUCUCAACUGCAGAAUUGAUCAAGCAAAAGGAAUAAUUAGUGAAUUCGAAGACAGGCUAUACAAAAUACGUGGUCAGAGUAGAAGAAAGAAAAAAGGAUUAAAAAAUGAAGCACACACACAAGAUAUAGAAAACAGUAUCUAAAGGAAAAAUCUAGGAGUUAUUGGCAUUAAAGGGAUGUACAGAGAGAGAUUAGAGUAGAAAGUUUAUUCAGAGAAAUAAUUACAGAGAACUUUGCAAACUUAGAGAAAGAUAACAACAUCCAGGUACAAUAAAGUAAAAGAAAAGAAAGCAGAUUCAACACAAAUAAGACUGCAUGAAGGCAUACAAUAAUCACUCAAAGGUCAAUGAUAAAGAAAUGACCCUAAAAGCAGCAGGAGCAAAGAAACAAACAAAAAACAUAUAAAGGAGUUAUGAUGUCUGGCAGUAGACUUUUCAGCAGAAACUCUACAGGUUUGAAGAAAAUAGGAUGACGUAUUUGAAACGCUGUAGGGAAAUAAUUUCCAAUGCAGAAUAUUACAUCAAGCAAAAUUAUACUUCAAACAUAAAGGAGAAAUAAAAACGCCCCUAGAAAAAUAAAAAUAAAAGCUGAGAAAAGACCUAUCUUACAAAAAAAUAAUAAAGGGAGUUCUUCAAUCUGAAUGAAAAGGAUGUUAAUGAGCAACAGGAAAUCACCUGAAAGCAUAAAACUCAGUAGUAACAGUAAGAACACAGACAAAUAUAAAGUACUCUAACACUGUAAUUGCAGUAUUUAAGACUUUCAUAUUGUUAGUGGGAAGUUAAAAAGCAAACCUAUCAAAAUAAUAACUAAAACAUAUUUUUAAAAGAAAGACAGCAUAAAAAGAUGUAAAUACAGACAACACAAUGUCAAAAGGCAGGGUUGAAGGGGAUGGGGUUAAAGAGUAGAGGUUUUUAUCUUUGCUUGUUUUUUUUUUUUCUUUUCUUUGUAAUCAGAGUUAAGUUGCCAUUAGUUUGAAAUAAUAGGUUUUAUUAUUUGUAACCCUUAUGGCAAACACAAAACAAAAAACAAGAAAUUAAACGUAUCAACAGAGAAAAUUACUCUUACUCAAAGAACAUAAGAAACAAGGAGAAAAGAAAGAACCAAUAAAAUAACCAGAAAAAAAUACUAAAAUGGUAGAAGUAAGUCCUUACCUAUCAAUGACAUUGAAUGAAAAUGGUCUAAAUUAUCCACUCAAAAGAGAUAGAAUGGCUGAAUGGAUUAAAAAACAGAAUUCAACAACAUGAUACCUACAAGAAACUCACUUCACCAAUAAAAACACAUGGACUGAAAAUAAAGUGAUGGAAAAAGUUAUUCUAUGCAAACAAAAACCAGAAAUUCACAGGAGUAACUCUACUUAGAUAAAAUAGAUGUCAAAUCAAAAAUUGUAAAACGAGCAAGAAGGUCAUUAUUAAAAGGGUCAAUUCAGCCAGAUGAUAUAAUGAUUGAAAAUAUAUGCACUCAAUGCUGGAGCAUGCAGAUAAAUAAAGCAAAUAUCGUUAGAGCUAAAGAGACAUAGACCCUCAUACAGUAAUAGCUGGGGACUUUAACAUCAUAUUUUCAGCAUUGCACAGAUCAUCUAGACAGAAAGUCAACAAAGAAACAUGAAACUCUGUAGUAUAGAUUACAUGGAUUUAAUGAAUAGUGGUAACAUUGUAUGCAACAUAUUCUUUUACUGCAGAAUAUAUUACAUUCUUCUCCUAAGCACAUAGAAAUUUAUCAGCACUUCCAAGGAUAGACUAUGUGUUAGGCCUACAAAAUAAGUCUCAAAAAUAAAAAUAAAAAUAUUAUAUCAAGUAUCUUUUCUGACCAAGAUGGAAUAAAACUAAAAUUAAACAACAAGAGGAACUUUGGAAGCUAUACAAACUCAUAUAAAUUAAACAAUAUGUUCCUGAAUGACCACUGGGGUCAAUGACAAAAUUAAAAGAAAAUUUUAAUAAUAUCUGAAGCAAAUAGAAAACAACACACCAAAACCUAGGGGACACUGCAAAGGCAGUACUAAAAGGGAAGUUUACAUUAAUAAAGGCCUACAUCAAAAAAGUAGAAAAACUUUAAAUAAAAUACCUACUAAUGCAUCUUAAAGAACUAGCAAAGCAAGAACAAACAAAACUCAAAAUUAUUAGAAGAAACUAAAUAAUAAAGACCAGACAAGAAAUAAAUGAAAUUCAGACUAAAAAGUAAUACAAAAGAUCAACAAAAUGAAAAGUUGUUUUAAAAAAGAGCAACAAAAUUGAUAAACCAUUAACCAAACAGAAAUGAACAAGACUCAAAUAAAAUCAUAGAUCAAAAAGGAGACAUUACAAAUGGUACUACAGAAAUUCAAAGGAUUAUUAGUAGUUUCUCUAGGCAAUUAUAUGCCAAUAAGUUGAAAAACCUAGAAGAAAUGACUUUGGAGUCUCUCAACUGCAGAAUUGAUCAAGCAAAAGGAAUAAUUGCUGAAUUCGAAGACAGGCUAUACAAAAUACAUGGUCAGAGUAGAAGAAAGAAAAAAGGAUUAAAAAAAUGAAACACACAUACAAGAUAUAGAAAAUAGUAUCUAAAGGAAACUAAAGGUUUUCUUUAGUUUCUUUAGGAAAAUAAAGAUUUUCUAAAGGUUUUCAUCAUUUUAUGUGACUAGAAAUGACUAGAUACAUAAACCUUCUAAAAUUCAACCAUGAAGAUAUCUAAAACCUGAAUAGCCCAAUAACAAAUAAUGAGAUAGAAGCAGUAAUAAAAAAUCUCAUCAAAAAAAGCAUCUUAUCUCACCACAUUCCUUCACUGACGACUUCUAUCAAAUAUUUAAAGAAGAACUGACACCAAUUCUACUCUUCAAAUUAUUCCAAAUAGUCGAGGAGAAGAGAGUACUUCUAUAUUAAUUCUAUAAAACAAGUAUUACCUUGAUAGCAAAACCAGACAAGGACACAACCAAGAAAGAAAACUACAGGCAAAUAUCUCUGAUAAACAUAGAUGCAAAAAUCCUCAACAAAAUCCUAGCAAAUUGAAUUCAACAAUAAAUUAAAACAUCAUUUAUCAUGAUCAAGUGGGAUUUAGUCCAGGGUUGCAAGGAUGGCUCAAUGUAUGCAAAUCAAUAACAUUAAAGGAUCAUUCAUCAAAAUUAAGUAGGCUUUAUUUCAGGGAUGCAAAAAUGGCUCAAUAUACAUAAAACAAUAAAUGUGAUACAUUAUACUAUCAGAAUGAAGGAUAAAAGCCAUAUGAUCAUCUCAAUAGGUGCCAAAAAAGCAUUUGAUUAAAUUCAACAUCCCUUUAUGAUAAAAACCUCUCAAAAAUUGGUUUUGGAAGGUGAAAACCUCAACACCAUAAAAGCCACGUAAGAUAAACCCACAGACAGUAUCAUACGGAAUGGAGAAAAAAUGAAAGCCUUUCUCUGAGAUCUGGAAUAAGAUAAAGAUGCCCAUUUUUACUGCUUAUAUUCAACAUGUUACUAGAAGACCUAGCAAUUAAACAAUUGAAGGAAAUAAAGGGCAUCCAUUCAUGAGAAACCACCCCCAUGAUCCAAUUACCUAUCACCAGGCCCCACCUCCAACACUGGGGAUUAUAGUUCUACAUGAAAUUUCAGCAGGGACACAGAUCCAAACCAUACCAAAACCAAAAAUCAAUGAUUUCAAAACAAAACAAAACAAAAAUCAAAAUUAAUUUUAAAAAUCAAUGGUUUUUUGAAAGAUCAAUAGAAUCGAAAAUCACCUAGUAAGACUGAUAAAGAAUAAAAAGGGAAAAUAUAAAUUACCAAUAUCAGAAAUGAAACAGGACAUUUCUACAAACAAUGCAAACAUUGAAUGGAGAAUAAGGAAAUGAUACAGAAAAUCCUACAUACAUAAAGUUGACAAUAUAUAUAAAAUGAACCAAUUCUUUUAAAAAAUACAAACUACCACAGUUUAUCAAAUAUCAAAUAGAUAAUUAUAUCCCUGGAACUAUUAAGAAAAUUGAAUUCACAAUUUAAAGUUCUCAUAAAGUAAAUCUCCAUGUUCAAAUUAUUUGAGUUGAGAAUUCUACGAACUCUUUAAAGAAGUAAGCAAUUCAACACAGGCUAUUUCAGAAAAAGAAAAAGAGGAAACAUUUCUAAAUUUAUUUUAUGACCCUAGUCUUACCAUGAUUCCAAAACCAUACAAGGACAAUACAAACAUAAGGCAAUGCCAGGCCAAUAUCUCUCAUGAAUAUAAACAUAAAAAUCCUCGACACAAUGGUGGAGCAAAAAUAAUUCAGCAGUAUAGGAAAGAAUUUUGUACUACGAUUGAGUGAAGUUUUUUCCCAGAGAUGCAAGCCUAGUAUGACGUUUGAAACUUAAUCAAAGUAAUCCACCAUAUUAUCAAGCUCAAGAAGAAAAAAAACCACAAGAUCACAUUAAUCGAUAUAGGAAAAGCAUCUCACAAUAUCCAACAUUCCAUUAUAAUAACAACUUUCAGAAAAAUAGAAAUAGAGGGAACUGUCCCCAUUUACAUCAAGUAUAUUUACAAAAAUCCUAAAGCUAACAUCCUCUUCUUAUUUGACAAAGGUUGUCCAGAAUAUACAAAAAAUAAACUCUCAGAACUAAACAGUAAGGAAAUAAAAAUCCUAUUAGAAAACGUGCAAAAGACAUAGACCUACAUUUCACUGAAGAGGAUAUAGUUUCAUAAGCAAAUGAAAAUAUUUUUACUUUCAUUAUCCAUUGGAGCAAUCAGAUUUAAGCCUCAAUGAGAUAUUGCUACACGCUUAUCAGAAUCGCUAAUUGUUUUUUAUGUGAUAACACCAAAUGUGGACAAGGAUUUGGAGGAACUGGAUUAUUUACAAAAUGUUGGUGGGAAUUUGAAUGUAAAAUGCUACAAUCAUUCUGAAAAACAGUUUGACAUUUUCUAAGACAAACUAAACAUUCAACUACCAUAUAACUCACCAAUUGCUGUCUUGAGCAUUUAUCCAGAAGAAACAAAGACACGUGUUUCACACAAAAACCUAUAGAGGAAUGCACAUAGCAACCUUGUUUAUGGUAGCUAAGAACAGGAAACAAUACAGAUGUAUUUCAAUGCAUGAAUUGUUAAACUUUUGUGCAUUUAUACCACUAAAUACUACUACAACAACCUACCUGAAUCUCCAGAAAAUUGUUCUUAGUGAAAAAACUAAUUCCCAAAAGUUGCAUACUGUAUGAUUCCAUUAAUGUAACAUUAUUCAUAUGACAAACUUACAGAAAAGGCAAAGGGAGCCAGCCCCUCCACACCUGUGGGUAUUUCUUGUCAGGUGGGACAAGAGACUGAGAAAAGAAAUAAGACACAGAGACAAAGUAUAGAGAAAGAACAGUGGGCCCAGGGGACUAGUGCUCAGCAUAGGGAGGACCCACACUGGCACCGGUCUCUGAUUUCCCUCAGUAUUUAUUGAUUACUAUUUUUACUAUCUCAGCAAGGGGAAUGCGGCAGGAGAGCAGGGUGAUAGUGGGGAGAAGGUAAGCAAGAAAACAUGUGAGCAAAGGAAUCUGUGUCACAAAUAAGUUCAAGGGAAGGUACUAUGCCUAGAUGUGCACAUAGGCCAGAUUUUUGCUUUUCUUCACCCAAACAUCUCAGUGGAGUAAAGAGUAACAAAGCAGUAUUGCUGCCAACAUGUCUCGCCUCCCGCCACAUGGUGGUUUUUGAGGAUACAAACAAAUGGAAGAACAUUCCAUACUCAUGGGUAGGAAGAAUCAAUAUCGUGGAAAUGGUCAUGCUGCCCGAGGUAAUUUAUAGAUUCAAUGCCAUCCCCAUCAAGCUACCAAUGACUUUCUUCACAGAAUUGGAAAAACUAAAGUUCAUAUGGAACCAAAAAAGAGCCCGCAUUGCCAAGUCAAUCCUAAGCCAAAAGAACAAAGCCGGAGGCAUCACACUACCUGACUUCAAACUAUACUACAAGGCUACAGUAACCAAAACAGCAUGGUACUGGUACCAAAACAGAGAUAUAGACCAAUGGAACAGGACAGAGCCCUCAGAAAUGAUGCCGCAUAUCUACAACCAUCUGAUCUUUGACAAACUUGACAAAAACAAGAAACGGGGAAAGGAUUCCCUAUUUAAUAAAUGGUGCUGGGAAAACUGGCUAGCCAUAAGUAGAAAGCUGAAACUGGAUCACUUCUUUACACCUUAUACAAAAAUUAAUUCAAGAUGGAUUAAAGACUUAAAUAUUAGAUCUAAAACCAUAAAAACCCUAGAAGAAAACCUAGGCAACACCAUUCAGGACACAGGCAUGGGCAAGGACUUCAUGUCUAAAACCAAAAGCAAUGGCAACAAAAGCCAGAAUUGACAAAUGGGAUCUAAUUAAACUAAAGAGCUACUGCACAGCAAAAGAAACUGCCAUCAGAGUGAACAGGCAGCCUACAGAGUGGAGAAAAUUUUUGCAAUCUACUCAUCUGACAAAGGGCUAAUAUCCAGAAUCUACAAUGAACUCCAACAAAUUUACAAGAAAAAAACAAACAACCCCAUCAAAAAGUGGGCAAAGGAUAUGAACAGACACUUCUCAAAAGAAGAUAUUUAUGCAGCCAACACACACAUGAAAAAAUGCUCAUCAACACUGGCCAUCAGAGAAAUGCAAAUCAAAACCACAGUGAGAUACCAUC